GACACUUUCCCUGUAUUAGAAAAACUAACACUGAAGACGAAUGAUAUGGUGAAGGGGAUAUGUGAUGGACAACUCUCAUUGCAGUGUUUCCAAAACCUUAAGCAUCUUAACCUCCAGUUCUUUCCUGAGACAUCCACUACUCUUCCGUAUUCCUUCAUUCGUUUGCUACCAAAGCUUCAGAAGCUUGUUAUAAAUAAUGCUUCCAUUUUUGAAAUAGUCCGGUCUGAAGGACUUAGCGAAGAGGAAAGGCACACAUCGGUAUUCUAUCAGUUAAAGGACUUAAGGUUGUCUCAACUUCCAGAGUUGACGUUAAAGACUUUUAACCCGUCUUUGCUAUCUUUCAAAAAUCUAACAACACUGAAAGUUUCAAGAUGCCAUGGGUUCAUCAAUUUAAUUGCAUGCUCAACAGCUAAGUGCCUGACGCUACUAGAAAGAUUGAGCAUAGAUGAUUGUGAGAUGAUAGAGGAAAUCAUAGCGUGUGAGGCUGAAGAAAUACAAGGCAGCAUUGUAUUUCCCAAACUGAAGUAUUUGCAACUAAGCUGUCUGCCAUGUCUAGCAAGCUUUUCCUUGGCCCAUCACUCGUUGGAAUUCCCAGUCUUGCUAAUGGUGAAGGUGACAAAGUGUCCCAAAAUGAGGAAUUUCUGCCAAGGAGAUUUAAGCACACCAAGGCUGGAACAAAUACACUUGACAAGAGAUGAGGAAGGUGAACUGCAGUGGGAAGGCGACCUUAACACUACCAUAAAACAUUUGUUCGAUGAAAUGGUACAAAUCAUUUAAAGGAUUUAAAUUCAUGUGUUUUACAUACAUACAUACAUACAUACAUACAUACAUAGUUAAUUGAACAAUUCUUGGUUUGUUAUGAUCAUGCACAGAAUGUGCAAAAUUCUGAGGUGACGGAGGUUACUGAUCAGUUGCCCAAGCUGGAAUAAGGAAAUAUUUUUGGGUGCUUAUGCGAAAAGCUCAAUUUCGUUUGAAUUCAAAACAAUUGGUAAUUGACUCUUCUAUUUUCAUCAUGGCUUAACCAAUGCUUUAUAAAGUGACCAUAGCGAUGCCCUUUUCAUUGUAGGUUGAGUUGCUCUACUGAAGUACGAGGCUGCAACUUUUGGUAAAAUGUGAAAGGUUAUUUCAGUUUUUGUAAAACUACUAUUUGAACUGUUACAUUUCACAUUAUACCUUCAAAAUUGAAGUUCAAGUGCAUCAUGCAUGGCAUUGGGCUACAAACAUGUAAACUUUUACUAGUAAGUUUGACCCCUGUUUGAAGGAUUUUCCAACUUUUGAUGGUUACCAUAUCAAUGUCAGCUUAAAGCUAUCAAGUAUCUUUAAUGAGGGAUAAAAGUAGGCAGCUAUCUAUUAAUGAUACGGCUGAUUCUGAAAAGACGGCUGAAAUUGAAUCAAUGGUUUUUUGGUAUUUGCCUGAUGGAAGAACAGGACCUAAUGUUACGUGGAUUGUAACACCCUUAACCCGUAUCCGUCGCCGAAGUAGGGUUACGAGGCAUUACUGAACAAACACAACCAUUUUUAAAAUCAAACUGAUCACAAAUAUGAAAAUUAAAUUACUUUUGCAUAGCUAUUUAUAAUUUACAAUCAAAAUAUAAUCAACAUCGUACUCAAACCUAUACAUGCCAUAAGAUUGAGUUCAAAUAUUUAACAAAAUACCAAAAGUAGUCGAUAGUGUGAUAAACUAUGCUGAUAAUCCCCGAGCUCGUAACGCGUCUCUAAAAUCUAUAAAAACAAAUGGGCAAAAACAAACAAAGUAAGCUUUUAUAGCUUAGUAAGUCUAUAGCAUACCUAAAAUACAUAUAAAAGAAUCAUAUAAUUCCUUAAGAAAAUUCAUUGAAAUCACAAUUAACAAUUAUAAUUACUAAUCAAACAUUUGUUUAAAUUUUAAAAGGAUGUAUAUUUAUCUAAUACACCCAAACAGACAAAUGUAUAUACAUUUUAUGCAUAUAAUCUACAACCAUGAAUCGCCGAAUGCAUAUAUACAUAUAUGCAUGACAAAUAUUAGAACCAAAUGUAUAUACACUUUAAACAUAUUAGCCGAGUGCACAUAUACAUAAGCUUAACAAAUAUUAUAACCAAAUGUGUACAUGUAUUUACCACAUACAUUUAUCCAAAGUCAUAUAUGUACUUAUCAUGCACAUACAAUCGAAUAUAUAUAUAACUUUAUCAAUCACAUUUCAUAUCUCAUUAUACAUGUAUAUAUAUAUAUCGAUCAUAAACUUUUAACCUAACUCAUAUUUAUGCCUAUAACCGAAUACAUUCGCAUUCAACUUUUACUUAUAAACAAAUAUUUACACAUAUAUGUAUUAGCAAUUGCACAUAAGAUUACUCAUCAGUUUCUUAUACCAAAUGCACCCAUAAAAAUAUAUAUAUAUCAACCACCUAUGUCGAGUUUAUGCACAACAUCUUCAAACACAUAAAUCUGAACAAUUCACACAAUUUUAACAGAUUCACCGGCACUUAGUCUGCUAGGCUUAAAACCUGAUUCAAUACACUGGCAAUUAGCCUGCUAGACGUAAAGUCUGAAAUAUUUCACCGGCGUCAAGCCUGCUAGACGUAUAGUCUGAAACAUUUCACCAGCAUCAAGCCUGCUAGACGUAAAGUCUGAAUUAUCUCAUUGACAAUAAUCAUUUUAGGCCCCCAAGCUCAAACACUCAAUUCACCCAAAUAUUACUCAUUUUCGAACUAUAUAGGUAUAUAAAUUCCAUGCUUAAAUAUUCAGCUCGAAACUCAAAAUUUAUAUCAUAGAAACACAUGAAUAUAUAUAUAAAACUCAACCACCAAAUCCAUUUUGACAAUUCAAUAAAUCAACUGAACAUAUUUAUGCAUAACCUUGCAUAACCUUACACUUCAAAUCCUACUACAAAUAUAAUACUAUUUAACUAAAAAUAUUCUUGAAUAAUAUACGCUUUACAUUCCAACAUAUUAAAAUUUUACACACAUAUAUAUACAUGAUCAAAACUAACAUAUGCAAAUAUCAUCUAAUAACAAAUUUCAAAACUAAAUCUUAUACAUGCAUACAUAUACACUCAAACCGCUUAUACUUUUAUAAUGACACAUCUUAAUUCGAUUCAAAAGUCUAUAUAUACAUGUAUAUUUACAUGUUUAAUAAUAAAACUCUUAUAUCUAUGUAUAUUUACGAAUCUCUAAGUACAGAUAUACAUAUACAUAUCUUUGAUUAAAUCAAUAAUUUAUACAUGUAUAUACGUGUAUGAAUUCGAACCCUGUAUAUAUAUAAAACUCUUAUACUUCAACUAGAUUCAUUAACAUUUAUGUAUAUACUUAUUUACCUUUGCACUUUAGCUAAAUUCAAUUACCUAUAUAAGUAUAAACCUCUAGGUUCGAAUAUAAAAGAAAAUACAUAUAAGCCAAUCAUACUUUUAAUUUAUUCAACCGAUAUACUUUAAAUUAUAAUUCAUCAAAAAUAAAUACAUAUACAUACUUAUAUAUUGUUUUUAUGACAUUAAAUAGCUAAUAGACUUACCUCGGAAGAUGGAAAAUCGAAGUCGGACGAUUAUUCGACUAAUUUGGCUUUUCCCCGAUCUAACUCCGUUUUCUUUGGUUCUCGAUCUAAAUAUAUUCAAAAUAAGAUAAUUUAUUUAUUAACACAUUAAAUUUAAUCCAAAAACACUUAAUUUGGCAAAUUACUAUUUUGCCCCUAAUAUUUAUACUUUUUGCUAUUUAGUCCUUUUUGCACAAAACACAAAAUACACAAAAUUUUCCCUCACUAAGCUAGGGCCGAAUGUUCCUUGUCUUCAUACUAGUCCACACAUUUCAUUUAUUUCACAUUUUAGUCCCCCAAAAAUUUAAUUUCACAAUUUAGCCCUAUUUACUCAAUUUCACUAAAAAUCCCAAUACAAAACAUAUUAAUCUAUCACAUAUCUUUCAUUUUUCAUCAUCAGCUAUCACAAAGUCCAACCAUUCAUCAAUGGCACAUUUCAAAAUCAUCAACAAUUCACAAAAUUAAAACAUGGGUUUUGAAGAACACAAAGCAACGAUCUCAAAAACGUAAAAAUUAUUAAAAAUUAAAACCUAAACAUACCUUAAUCAAGCCAAAAUAAGUGCCGAACCUAGCUUGCUAUUUUUUUCUUCUUUUUCUUUUGUAUAUUCGGCAAUGAGAAAGAUAACAUGCAUGGCUUUGUUUAUUUUAAGUUUUAUUAUUUUCAAUAUAUUAUACCAUUAUUAUUUUACUUUUAUAUUUAAUAUAUAUAUAAUAUAUAAUAGCCAUCAUUGCCGUCCACUACCAUUAAUAUUGGCUAAAUUUCAACAUGAAACCUCCAAAUUAUAAAGACAAAAAUAAUUAAGCACUUUCAUAUUUAGCCAUCAAAUUUUUAUUUUAUGCGAUUUAGCCAUUUUCUCAAAUUAAGCACACAACACUAAAAUUAAUUCAUGAAACUUUCACACAAGUAAAUUCACACAUAAUAAACACGUAAAAUAAUAUUAAAAUAUUUUUUAGACUCGAAUUUGUGGUCCCGAAACCACUGUUCCGAUUAGGGUCAAAACCGGGUUGUUACAUGGAUUUUGAUCAAGUUUUAAAAUUUCAGUUGUAGGCAUUACUGAUUGUUGCCAUUUGGUUAUUAAUACUCUGAUUUUACGGUUGACUGUCUUGCUUAUACAUUGCAAGGUUGGCGGGUUUCAAGUAUGAAUUUCCAAGUCGGCUUUCAUCCAUUAUUAACUAAGUGUUUCAAUCCAUGGAGUUUAUGGUUUAUGGAGUUUAUGGACAAUUUGUAACACCCCAAACCCGUAUUCGACGCCAAAAUAGGGUAUGAGGCAUUACCAAAACACAUACAUUUAUAAACGUAUUAAACUGAGUUAUAAAAUUUCAUACAGAUUAAAACUUUUAAAUUAUUAUCUUCGAAUCGCUAAUUGGGGCUUACAAGCCCAAUAUAUAUACUCAUUUGAUCCAAGCCUUAUAGCUAUCUCCAUUUGUUCAUUUCAUAGCCAUAUAUGAACUUAUAAUCCUUCACUUUCUCGUCAUAUGAAUUUAUCAAUUAUUACUUGCUUCUUGCGAGUACCUGAAUUGAUCCAUAUCAUUUCAUAUUCUCAUAUCGUCAUAUUUUUCCUAUUAAACCAUUGUAAUAUAUUAAAUAUUCAAUAUCUUGUAAAGAUUCACUAAUCUAUCCCAUAUACUUUCACACAGAUUAAUUUACAAUUCACAAGUCUUAUCAUUUCAAAGCUUAUAAGACACAUGUACAUGUCUACUAAUUCGUAUGAGUCUCAUACUCAUUCAUAUGCUCAAUAAAUUCGUUAAAUCAUUUCAACAUCAAAGAAUCCACAUUAUGUCAGAAACAAUACUAAUAACAAUCAUAAAUCUUUUCAUAUUAAUUUCAUAUAUCGCUUACUGAACUUCAAAUAUCAUUUCAUAAAUAUGUAAUUCACUAACACAUCUUGCCAUAUAUAGUAUCCAAUUGGUGAAAUCACUUAAUUGAAUUCAACUUCAACAAUCACAAUAAAUCUAUCACUUGAAUAUGAGUCCAUGUAACACUUACCAACUUUGUCAAAUUAGUGACCGUCUUACGGAAUUGAGUACUUAUUUUCUCGAUGUCAUAGUCCAACUAUGGUCUUACACAUAAUCACAUAACAUAUACCGAUGUCAUAGCCCAGCUAUGGUCUUACACAGAAUUACAUAUCACUUAUUGUCAUGGUCCAUCCAUGGUAUUUCCCAUCAAUUCGUCUUCAUCACUGAACGAAAGUACUCAACCCUGCAUUCUACUCAAUUUGAACUUAUAAUUCAAUUUUCGUUCUUUUACAAUUUUCACAAUUCAAUAGCAAACAUAUGAAUUAACAUAUUAUAUCAUUCCUAAAAUUAUCAAAUAAUCAUUAAAAUUUAACCAUAAAACACACCUUUAACAUAAACUAACAUCAAGAUCAAAUUUGCAUUAUGCCAUUUAUAACUCUUUUCCUGAAUCACAUAACAAAAUAUCACAAAUAUAUAUAUGAAUUCUGUAACUAUGUAUCAAACUUACCAACAUGAGUUAAUUCAUAAACCAUUCAUGACAUUACUUCAUGCCAAAUCAUAUUCCAAAUAUACCACACAUAUAAGCUAUGAAACUUUAUUUCCUCACAUGAGCUUAAACCAUAACCAAUUAUGCAUAAAACAUUCAUAUAUUUUAUUUUCCUCCUCCUCCUCUCCAUUCCACAUCCUUAAUGUACAUAACACUCUUAUAAAUAACGUUUUCUAUAAUUUUACUAUUCACUCACAUGUAUAUUCAAAGCUGUCUAUCCACAGAGUCACUAAAUUAUUUUUAUCCGGAGAUACAGAGCUCCAAAUUAAGAUCCGUUAAUUUUUCCUGAAACUAGAUUCACAUAUCUUCUUACCAUAAAAUUUUCAAAAUUUUUGGCUUAGCCAAUAAGUACAGUUUAUUCUUUAAAGUUCCCCUGUUUCACUACUCGACAAUUCUGACCUCUCUUCACUAAAAAUUAAUUAUCUCACUGUACAGAACUCAGAUGGUUACGUUUAUUUCACUUGAAAAUAGACUCAUUCAGGGUUCUAAACAUAUGAAUUUUAGCCUGUAAUUAUUUUUGUACAAUUUUUAACAAUUUUCCAAAAUCAAAAUAGGGGAUUCCAAACUCAUUCUGACCCUAUCUCACUAAACUUAAGAUAUCUCAAAAUAUAUAAGUCUUUUCUUGCUAUGUUUCUUUUAUGUAAAAAUAGACUCAUUAAACUUUCAUUUCAUAUCUUAUUCACUCUCCAAUUCAAUUUCCACCAUUUUUGGUGAUUUUUCAAAGUCACACAACUGUUUCUGUCCAAAACUAUUUUGUUGCUAACUCUACUAUUUCAUAAUUUCACUUUUUCACUUUUGAUCACUAUUCAAUUCAAUUCCAGACAUAUAUUCAUCAUUCAAUUACACUUAAUUGUUACAUGAUCUCAUGUAUUUUCACUUAGUCAAUUUCUCGUUGAACACUCAGAAUAUACACGGAUACGUAGAGAAUUAGCACAUAAGUGCCGCACUGAUAUGUAGUCGAAGCUACCAUUGAUACGUAGUCGUAGCUAUCACUAAAAUGUAGCCGAAGCUACCACUAAUAUGUAGCCGUAGCUACCAUUGAAAUAUAGCCGAAGCUACCACUGAUCAAUAACACUAAAAAUGUCCACGGGCCGGCUCACACAAGCUGUUAGGUGUCUGCAACACAUGCUAGAUCACCCAGCACCCGGGACUCACUGUAACACUGGUCUCUAGUGACAUGUCACUAGUAUCCACUUCUAUUCCUAAGUUCAACUGGGAAUUUACACUUAACACUUUAUUUUAAACACUUUAACACUUGAAUAAUUCAUAAAAAAUUUUCCUUCCACAUUCAAUAAUAAUUCACAUAUCAAGUGUAAUUCACAAUUUAUAAAAAUAUAUUGCUAUUAUUUACACAUAACUUACUUUGGUGCAAUAAUAUAAAAAUUUAGCAAUUUAGUCUUUAAUCUUUUCUUUUCUCCGAUCAAGAUCAAUCCAACUUCUUUCUUGAUUUAUAAUAACACAUCUGAAUUAUUUAAUACUCACAUUUAUCAAAACAGAUCUUCACUCAAACUUUUAAAAAUUACAAUUUUGCCCCUAAACUUUUGCAUAUUUACACUUUUGCCCAAAUUCUCGUAAAUUAAACUUCAUCCCUUAUUCUUAUGUAUUAUGACAUGCUGAACAGUUUUCCCUUCUAUGGUAACAUCAAAUUCCCACUCUAACACUUUUAUAUGAACAUUAGGUAUUUUUACCGAUUAUGUCGUUUUACUCGUUUUCACUUAAAAUCACUUAGAAAAAGUUGUUUAACAUAAUUUCAAGCUUCAUAUUCUACCAUAAAACAUCAAAAUAAACACAUUUCACCUAUGAGUAUUUUUCCAAAUAUAAACCCUAGGUUAAAUUAUUGCUAGAAUAAGCUAAAUAAAGUUACCGGGACUCUAAAAACAUAAAGAACAUUAAAAACGGGGCUUGGAAUCACUUAUUAUGGAGCUUGGAAGCUUGAAAACCCUAAAUAUGGCUUCCCACUUACUAUUUUCGUUCACCAUGGAGAAGAUGAGCACAUUUUGCCAUCUUUUUCCCUUUUUAAUUCUUUUUAUUACUAAAUUACCAAAUUGUCCCUAACUUAAAAAUUUCCUAUUUCACUUAUCUCAUGUCCAUUUUUGUCUACCAACUUAACCAAUGGUCUAAUUACCAUAUAAGGACCUCCAAUUUAAAGUUUCAUAACAAUAUGACACCUCUAACAUGUAGAACUCAACUUUUGCACUUUUUACAAUUUAGUCCUUUUGACUAAAUUGAGUGCGCAAACGUCAAAAUUUUGGAACGAAAUUUUCACGAAAUCAUUUCGUGAAAUUGUAGGUCAUAAAAAUAUAAUAAAAAUAAAUUUUUUCUCGUCAAAUUUAUGGUCCCGAAAUCACUAUUCCGACUAGGCCCAAAAUCGGGCUGUUACACAAUUGUUGUCUAUGUUGCUCAUUGCUGCAAAAAAAAAACCAAACACAAUGCAUGCAUAAACCAUUAAAAAAAAAGAACAUAAGCAACUAAUAAUGAAAUAUAUUAAAAUGAAGAAUGGCAAUUAAUUUCAGAAUUACCAAAAUUUCGGUAAAUAUAUUAAAACAUCUGUCUCUAAUCUGUUUCAAUUUUGAUAUUGAAAAAAUUGGUAUUUCUAAAAAUAUCAGAGUGAUUAAAUUAUUUUUAUUUUUGAAAGUGAUAAAUUAAGGAUAAUUAAUCACAACGUUAAUGUUUUUCACCAAUUAUACAUAAUUUUCUUGGUAUAAUGAUAAAUUUAGCCCUCAAAAUUGACACAUUCUAUCAAUUUGUUAUUGAUUUAAUAAAUUUAACCCACAACAUUUACACAUUUCGUCAAUUUGAUCAUCAUUUAACGUAUUUAACCCAUAAUAAUUACACAUUCUAUCAGCAUUUACGCAAAAUAUAUAAUCAUCAAGGAUUAAAUUUAUUUUUAUACUAAUCAAAAUUAUGUAUAAUUAACAGAAACUAUUAGCGCUUGAUUAAUUGUUCGUGGUUACUUUCAAAAAAGAUAACGAUUAAUUUGUUCAAUAUCAAAAAGAUGUUUUUUAAUUUUUUUAAUUUCAUAGGUAAGAAAAUCUCAAAAAAGAAAAUCUUUGAAAUAAAAAAAAUAGUAUGUUUUUAAUAAUUAUUUAAAUUUACUCUCACAUUAUUUUUACCCAUUCAAAGCUAGCAAGUCUUUUAUGUACAAAAUGGUAUAGCUCUGCAAUUUGGAUUAACAUUUUGGUGACCUCCAUGUGAAGUGAAAGAAAAUUGACAAUGUCACACAAUUAUUAUUUUUCCCUCCAUACCCCUAUGCCGCCAAAGAAAGUUGAAUUAUUAAGGCACAAAAGUACUAAGGAGUAGGAGCUAGAAAAAGAGGGGCAUGAAAAUAAAGAGACUUACAUUUAUUAUUUGCAUAAUACAAAAUCAGUCUUUAAUAUUUACAUAUUUUAUUAAUUUGAUUUUUAUUUUUAUUUAGUUAAAUUUGACUUUAAACCCUUUAAAAAAAAGUUGAAUUUGAUCAUUAACCUUUUAAAAAGAGUCAAAUUAUUAUUUAACGGAAAUGUUAAAUUUUGAAAUACAUAUAACAAUUCGCGUGUAUUUCAUAUUAUUUUUUUAAAAAUUUUAUGAUUUUUUUUGAAAUUUUGAUUUUUGAAUAUUAUUAGAAAGUUAUUUGGUAUCCUGUUAGCGGAAUUUUUAAAGUCCACCAACAAAAUCAAUGGGUUAGCAUGUGUCUUACAAAUAUAUAAUAAAAUAUUAAAAAAUAAAUAUUUUUAAAAAAAAGAUAUAUGUCAAUUUUUUAAAGUUACUUAUGAAAUAAAAAUAAUAUAUUAUCCGCGUACCAGGUACUCACCUUUUUAAUUAAGAUUUAAAAAUAAAAAAAUCGUUAGUAAAAUGAAUGGAUUGCAAAUUGAGAAUUUUGAUAUUGGAUAUUAAAAUUUUCUUAAAAAGAAGACAUAGCAAGAUACGAAAGUUAGUAACUUAUUUGAUUUAAUUUUAAUUUUUAAAUUUAUGCAUUUUAUUAUGAAUUUUUAUUUUUUGUGUACUCUGUAAAAUUUGUCUGAAAUUUGCAAUUUUCAAUUUCUCACGUGAGUUUGAGAUAAAAAGAAAUUACUUUUAGGAUUGGUGAAACAAGGGUUAUAGUCCAUACAUGAGUUUCGUUAAAUAUUGUCUAUAUAUAUAUAAGUAUAUACUCUUCUCCAUGCUGCACAUUAUUGCAAAAAAAGAACACACACAAGGGACCAAUCUUAGAUCUUCACAAAGGUCAUCUGAGAUCAAAGGAGAAGAACAAGAAAAACAAAGGUGAGGGGUUUGAAGAAAGAGCCAAAUAUAUAAUAAAGGAAAAAUUAAAUGAGAGAGGAUGGGUUUCAUUUAAAGAUUAAAUGUUUCUUUUUUGGUAAAAACAUUUCUUUGGUCCCUCUCCAUUUUGAUGUUGAGCAAAUUGGCCCCUUUCUAAAAAUUUUGGAGAAAUUUGAUCAUUGUUAUUUUGAAAGUAAGCAACUAAGUACAAUUAAUCACAAGUUUUAUGUUUUCAUCAAUUCUACAAUUUUUUCUUGGUAUAAUAAAAAAAUAUAACCUUCAAAGUUUACACAUUUUAUCAAUUUGAUCUUGAUAUAACAAAUAUAACUCAUAACAUUUUCACAUUCCAUCAAAUUUGUCCUGAUUUAACAAAUUUAUCCCGCAAUAUUUACACAUUUUGUCAACAGUUACGCGGAAUAUAUAAACAUCAAUGGCUAAAUUUAUUAUUAUACCAAUUAAAAUUAUGUAUAAUUGAUGGAAAAUAUUAACGCUAUAAUUAAUUGUUCGUAAUUACUCACUUUCAAAAUUGAAUAUUUACAUCUUUUAUUAAUUUGAAUUUUUUAGUUAAAUUUAAUUUUAAAUCCUUUAAAAAAGUUGAAUUUGAUUAUCGACGUUUAAAAAAGAGUUGAAUUAUUAUCUUUUAAUAAAAAUAUUAAUCAAAAUGUUAAAUUUCAAAACAUGACAAUUCGUAUAACAAUUCAGGUGUAAUUCAUGCUUGUUUUUAUUUGAUUUUUUAUGAACUCUUUUUGUGAGAAAUUUUUAUUUUUUAAUAUUUUUUUAAUUUUAAAUUUAUUGGCGUGACAUAUAAGAUAAAUAAUACUAUGUCAACAUAAUGACAUGUGGACUGCCACAUGGUUGCUAUGCCAACUUCGUUAAAAAUUAAUAUUUUAGUCAAUAUUUUAAAAAAAACACGAUUUGACUCUUUUUUAAAGGUUAAUGGUCAAAUUUAAAUUAAGAAAUAAUAAUGAUCAAAUUGAAAAAAGAUGUAAAUAUUAAGUGUUGAAUUUAUUAUUAUACUUAUAUUAUUUUAAGUAAAAUUUUUCGGAUUUGAAUUUGAAUUAUUUCAUGUUUAGAUUACAUUGAGUUCAAGUCAGUUUAGACUCGAAUAUUUUGGGAAAUUUAAAUAGUUUUGAGCUCAGAACAUUUCAAGAGAAAAUUAGCAAGUCAAAUUACAAUUAUAAAAUAAUAUAUAUAAUUUAUAUGUGUAUGUAUAUAAGUUUAAAUUACAAAUUAAUUACUAAAAGUGAUUAGGGCAUUAGUAUUUGUGUUGUCGCAUGGGAGUUUAGGUUCAAUCUCUUGAUUGAAAUAAUAUUUUUAAAAUAUUUAUUUAAUAUUUCCAUAUACAUCAAAAUCCUUGUUAAAUUUUAAUUUUGUUUUUGUUAUUAGAAUACUUGAAUCAAUAAAUUUUUAAGGCACAUAUCAAACCCAACAAUCAAAAUUAAAUCACACCAAAAUAAGGCCAAGAAAUCCUGAACAGCUCACCAAGCAACACUCAAAUAUCAUAACUUAACCCCCUUGCAAAUAAUAAGAGCAUAGACGGAUAAGCACCAAAAAGACUUGCUGCAGAUAAAAGGUCCCAUGCCCAUUACAAACUCUGCCCAUCAGUUCCUGCCAGAGGAGCCAUGGCCAAGAAAACUAUUAGUCUUAAUGCAAUCCACAAAACGUGUGGGACAUUUCCUUAAGGUCAGCUCUUUUGAGCUCAAGUCCUUUUUGCUGGCAAAUUUGUUGAUAUAGGAGCAACAUUGGUCAUCACAAUCAACAAAGGUCUUGUGAAAAAAAUAGUAUGUCUAUAAUGAUAACAUAUCGCAAAGAAAAGAGAAAUAAAAAUAAAGAACACACAGGUUUUACGUGGAAACCCUUUCGGGAAAAAACCACAGGUAGAGGAGAAGAAAAUUCACUAUGUCGAAUUCGAAUGAUUACAAGAGGAGUUUCGACUACAUCGAUUUAUAGGUUGAAAAAAACCUAAUUAUAAUCAAAGUCGAAUAUAUUAUGCUAAUAAAUACUAAAUAUAUUAUACCCAUAAAUACUAAAUCUUCUAGAAAGAAGAUAUAUUUUGUUUAACUUGACUUGCAAGCAAUCUCUUAGAAUUUGGGUUACACAACUCUAACAAUCUCUACCUUGACACGAAUUCUCAAUGAACAAGUUCUUCAUCGCGAACUCUCAACAAACAAGUUCUCCACUCUUCCAUAAAACCCUUUAAGGGUUUAACUUCAACAAUGAACACCAAUCAAGUCUAAGCAAUGCUUAAACUUGGUUAUAGGAAGUGACUUAGUCAUCAUAUCUGUAGGAUAUUCAUGAGUACUAAUUUUACUCACAACAAUAUCUCCACGAGCAAUAGCAUCACGAACAAAAUAAUACCGAACAUCAAUGUGUUUUGUUCUCUCAUGAAACAUUUGAUAUUUUGUAAGGAAUAUGACACUCUGACUGUCACAAAAUACUGUACUGAUUUAAAGGUUUUCAUUGAGUUCACUAAAGAGUCCCUUCAACCAAAUAGCUUCUUUACAAGCCUCAGCAAUUGCCAUGUACUCAGCUUCAGUGGUAGACAAAGCGAUUGUAGUUUGCAAAGUGGCUUUCAACCUGAUUGCACAACCUAUGAUUGUAAAGACAUAACCUAUGAGAGAUCUUUUUCUAUCAAGGUCUCCAGCAAAAUCAGCACCAACAUACCCAAUGACUCCAUCUCUAGUUCUUCCAAACUGUAAGCAAACAUCAGUAGUACCUUGUAAGUAUAUUAAGGGUCUGUUUGAUUGAAGGAAUUGAUUUUCCGGAAAAUCAUUUCCAACUUUUCCAGCGUUUGAUUGGCGGAAAACAUUUUCAAUUUGGAAAAUGAACUCCAAAACAAGGGAAAAUGGGUUACAUUUUAAGGAAAAUGUCUUACCCUUUCAAUUUCCGUAAGACAUUUUCCGUGCUCUCCUCUCUAUCGCCUCCUUCAUUCCUUCCUUCAUUUCUGGUAGAAAAUUGCUUCUGUUUAUCGAUUUUCCAGUAACUUGUUUUUUUAAUUAUUCAAUACUUGUUUUUUUAACACAAUUACAAUUAAUUUAUUUGAUAUUAAUUUUUUUCAAUUUAUAACGAUUAAUAUUGUAACUUAAUAAUUGAGUAUUAUUAUAAAUAAAUCAUUGCAAUAUAUGUAAAAAUAAUUUAAAAUAUAAAAAUUUAUUAAUAUAUAUCAAUAUAUGUAAAAACAAUUUUUUCAAAAAAUAUUUCCAGGAAAUCUGCCAAAUAGCCGAAAAUAUUUUACACAGAUUCAAUCAAACACCAGAAAAUAUUUUCCAGUAAAUCAUUUUACAGAAAAGUAAAACAUUUUCCCGAAAUUAUUUUACGGAAAAUAUUUUACUGGCAAUCAAACAGACCCUAAAAUCCACUGAAUUACUUUAUAAUGUUCUUUACCAGGAUUCACCAUUUAUCUGCUAACUGUACUGACUGCAUAUGAUAAAUCUGGACGAGAACAAACCAUAGCAUACAUGAGAGAUCUCACUGCACUAGAGUAUAAAAAUGUGACAUGUACUCAAUCUCAUCAUCUGAUUGUGGAGACAAAGCCGAUGAAAGUCUGAAAUAGGCUGCUAAAGGAGUACUAACAGACUUAGCAUUUUGCAUAUUAAAUCUGCAAAGAACUUUCUCAUGCACCCUUUCUAACUUAGGUACAAUUUACUUGCUUUUCUAUUUCUGAGAAUCUUCAUACCAAGUAUCUUCUUCGCUGGUCCCAAAUCUUUUAUCUCAAAUUUUUCACUUAGUUGGACUUUGACCUUUCUUAUCUCUCCUUUAUCUUUCGCUGCUAUCAACAUGUCAUCAAUAUAAAGGAGUAGAUACACAAAAGAACCAUCACUGUUUUUCUUAAAGUAAACACAACUGUCAAAGAUACUUCUUUUUAAAUCAUGAGAAGUCAUAAAGGAAUCAAAUCUCUUGUACCACUGUCUUGGUGACUGUUUCAAACCGUAAAGGGACUUUUUCAGCAAGCAAACAUAGUCCUCUUUUUUUGAGUAUAAAACCCUCUGGUUGUUGCAUGUAAAUAUCCUCCUCAAGUUCUCCAUGUAAAAAAGUAGUUUUUACAUCUAACUGCUCAAGCUCCAAAUCAUGCAUGGCCACAAUACUAAGCAAAGCUCGAAUCGAACUAUGCUUCAAAACUGGAGAGAAUACAUCUGUGAAGUCUACUCCUGGAAUUUGACUGUAACUCUUUGUAAUAAGUCUUGCUUUAUAUCUAGGUUCUUGAACUCCUUGAGUCCCCUCUUUCUUUUUAAACAUCCAUUUACAACGAACAACCUUUUUACCUUUAGGAAGUUUCACAAGAUCUCAUGUUUUAUUUUUGUGGAGUGAUUCCAUCUCCUCUUGCAUAGCAAACAUCCACUUUUCUAAGUCUUCCCGGUUAACUGCAUCAGAAUAAUUAGAUGGCUCUUGGUUUGCAUUUAUAUCUUUAGCCACAUUUAAAGCAUAAACAACUAGAUCAGCCUUGGCAUACUUCUUUAGAGGUUUAAUGUCUCUUCUAGUUCUAUUUUUGGCGAUAGAGUAUUGUGGUGGAGAAGCAACUCUAUUUUGAAUUUUUGUACUAACUUGAGGAGUCGACUCUGUUGUAGAUUCUGGAUUAAUCUGAUGCUCCACUUGCUUUUGAUUUUCUUUGUUGGAAGAGUCUUUAAGAGAUAAGUUAGGUAGCAUAACAGUUUCAUCAAAAACAACAUCUCUGCUAAUCACAACUUUUCUAUUUUCAGGACACCAUAACUUAUACCCUUUUACACCAGCUUUAUAACCAAGAAAAACACAUUUAAUGUAUCUCGGUUCCAAUUUUCCAUGAUCAAUAUGAGCAUACGCAGGUCACUCAAAAAUCUUUAAAUCAGAAUAGUCAGCAGGAUUACCAGACCAUACCUCUUGUGGAGUCUUUUUCUCAAUGGCGACGGAUAGAGAUCGGUUGAUCAAAAACAUGCAGUAGAGGCUGUUUCGGCCCAAAAUAACUAUGGUAAGUUGGCAUUUGACAACAUAUACCGAACCUUCUCCAUGAUCGUUCUGUUCAUUCGUUCUGCAACGCCGUUUUACUGUAGAGUAUAACGAACUGUCAAGUGUCUCACGAUUCCUUCUGACUUGCACAGUUUAUUAAACUCAUCAGAACAGAACUCUAAGCCAUUGUCUGUGCGGAGGUAUUUUAUUUGUUUUCCCGUCUAUUUUUCAAUCAUAGUUUUCCAAGAAGCUGCUUGCCACCAAUGCAGCUUAGUCGAAAUAUUUAGAGUUACGAGUGGAAAAUGCAGAGCAGAAGGCCAAGGAUGCUCAAAAGAAAAUAGUUGAGCUCGAAAGGUAGCUCAAGGCUUAGGUAAAGGAAGCUGCACAAGGGAGCAAUAAGCUUGAGGAGGUUGAUAAUGGACCAGAUGAUAAAAAUUCAGAAAACACUAGGAUCCUUUGACUCAACAGGUAUCAACUUUGAUAGAGCGAAGAUAUCUAAGGUUCGUUUUGUGUGCCUUUUUGAUACUAUGAUACUUCUAUAUCGAUUUUAGAUCAUUGAGAAUCGAUGAUAUGGCUGGACUAUGGAUUAAGCGGGAAGAGGAACUUCAAAAUAGGAUAAUUUAACUGGAGAAAGAAUUAUCUCGAAAACAAGCAUUGGACUCGGAAGUUGAGCGUCUAAGCGGAUCAUUGGAUGUAAUUGGCAAAAUGGAAGAUGGAGAUUACGUAAAUGUUCUAAGAAAGCUGGAGGAAUACCUUAAGGAUGUAGAGACAUUGAAUCGAUAUCUUAUUGCAAGAGAAUAACGGAGCAACGAUCAGGUGCAGGAAGUUUAAGAAAGAUUGAUCAGUGUAAGCUAUUUUUCUUCACUUACUAAAAUGUUUUCCACUCGAAUUUCAUUGCAAGAACCCCGAAGUUCUUCAAACAUUUGACCUUAUAUGUUAAUAGAUGGUAAUUGCUUUGCAAACUAAUGGUUUCUGCUGUUGUCAUGGUGUAGUAUAUUAUGGAAUCUGAAUCAACCAUUGGAAUCAAAAGAAUGGGAGAGCUUAAUCUAGAACCUUUUUUAGACAAAUACAAGAAGAAAUUUAUUAUUGACGGUGUUUGAAGUCCGAACAAUUAUCCUCGUUGUGGCAACAACAUAUUAGAAAUCCACUGUGGCUUCCUUUCAAGAGCAUUCAUACAUCAUAUCUUGAUUAUCUUUUUUGUACUUUAUAUAUGAAAGUCUGCACAUUAUAGACUACUCAUCUUGUGGUAAUGAUAUUCAAAUGAGAAAUCGUUCUUCAUUAAACCGUAAAUCCUUAUCCUUUACGCAUCAUUGCAGUAAGUGUUGCAGAACCACUUUAAAACACAUCAGGUUUUUAUCGACGAAAACACUUAUGGAAUGAUCUUCUGAGGUUUGGGUUCAUAGGCAACUUUCAACAUGGACACAUUAGUAACCAAUGUAGUUUUACUUUAUUUUUAUGUGUGAAUCAGUUAAUAGUUGAUGAAGAUAAUGAAGGAUUGAAGGAAUUGAGAAAUGAAUGGGGUGAAACGAUCUACAUGGCCGUAAUUGUUGCAUUACUGGAAAUGGAAGAGUACAAUCUAAGUGGGAGAUACAUAGUUUUUGAACUUUGGAAUUUCAAAGAUGAUGAAAAGCCAGCUUAAAAGAAGCUAUUGAGAUCUUCAUCCACCAUUUACAGAACAAACUGAGUCGAUCCCUGUACUUCUCGAACUGAUGGUAAGCUGAGUUGUUCCUGGUACUAGACUAUCAACAAGCCAAGCUAAUCCCAGUAUUUUGCGUAACAUUUCCAUGUAGUUAAUCUUAUUUUGCUAAUAUAUAAUCAAAUGACCAGUAUUUUGUUUAACCCUCAAACAUCCUGCGUGGAAGCAAGUUAUUCAUAUGAAUUGCUUGAAUUGCUCAUAUGUCCAAUGAAUUAUAAAGGAAUGCUGCUGAAUUCCCAUCGAUACAUACAUGCAUACGUAUUAGUGAAGUAUAUUCCAAUAUAAGAUCAAUAUUGGGAUUUACGUUUUAUAGAGCAGCAUUAAUGAUUGGUAAUAUACAUUGGUUCCAAGGCAAACCCAAAUAUUUUAACCUACAACUGUGGCAAAUCAAAUUUUACAGUAACCUAAUUAUAAUGUGAAGUCAAAUAUGAAAGUAACAUUGGUUUAUAUAUAUAUUUUUUUUUCUCAAAAUUCUAAUAAUCAAGUUGGUAUAAGUGAUAAACACUGAGCUUGCCACGUGUGUUAAACCACGUUUUUGUUAUGUGCCACUCCGAAGACAUCGGGCCUCUAUUCAGGCUGGCAUAGUCAGGACGUGGUAGCAUACUUCAGGGCCCUGGUUAGAAAAUAUCCCACAUCCGAUAAAAUUGGAACGAUACAGAGAAGAUUGCAAUCUUCUUUUUUUUCCCCUGGGUUUGGUGUUCAUAUUCAUGGGUUUUUGUGCACUUAAGAUUGCAAUUAGAGUUUUCUUUCUUUCUUUUACUGGGUUCGGUCUGUUUUACUCUCUUGAACUGUGAAUUUGAUUUCUUUUUUUUGCCAUUUUUUCAGCUUUGUUGCUUUUUUCCCCCUGGGUUUAGUUUUCAUGUUCAUGGGUUCCGCGCACUUGAGAUUGCAUUGGAGUUUUUUUUUUCUUUUCUUUUUACUGGGUUUUGGCCAGUUUUACUCUGUUGAACCGUGAAUACCUCAAGUUUUCUGGGAAUAAAUUGUUGCUUAUAUAUCUGCUGGUCAACAGUGCUAAUUUUCUGAUAUAUUGGCCAGAAUUGAAGGAAGAAGGUCCAAUUUUGCUUUUGAUCCUUCUACUACUAUCUUAAGAUUUAAAAGAAAUUCAAUUAAACAAUUUCUUCCAAUAAAAUUAAACAAGAAGGGACCUGCACACUUAGACAUGUUUCUCUUUGAAAAAAAUUCAAACAGGGUUUUAAAUUUUGCAAUGUGUUUUAUGUAAAUCAAAUGAUAUCCUGAAUUUUGCUAAGGGUGUUUCAUAUCCUUGAAUCCUUCUUUUGCUUGGCAAGUGAUUCAUUGAGUUUUUGUGAUCAAAUUUCAUGUUUCUUUUUUUAGUAUGGGAAUUUGUGGGAAAAUGCUUGGCAAUAUGGAAAUGAAACCAAUUUCCAUUUCCAAAGGCAACAGCAAAGUGGUGAAGCUUAUUGUUGAAAAAUUCUUCAAUAAUGUCAAUAAUGAAAAAGUAGAAAAUGGAAAAACAGAGAAUAAUUUUGGUUCUUCGUCCUAUUUGUAGUUAUAGUGAAUGGAUUUCUUUGAUUUUAGUAACUAAUAUUAUGAUUCCAACAUUUGGGGUUUUAAUCUCAAUAUAUGAACUUGGCUUUGCUUCUUAGUGUUAUUGUUGAACUUUUUAGGAUACCUCUAUCUUAAUCCAUUUAUGUGAUUUGAUAAUGAUAUUUGCAGGCACUUAAAUCUUCCAUUGAAAUGGAGAACACCAACUACGAGGAGGAGCUGAAGAAUGAUCGCAGGCUUGUUUGCAGUCUCAUAUACGAGAUUAAUUGCAGAAAAGAACAGUUGUCCCAAAUGGAACGUGAAUAUAACGAGAUGACCUCAACUCUUCGAGGACUCAUCAAUGGCCUCAUAGCAAAAAUUAACUCCAAGGACAGUAAUCUGUGGGGUUGGGAGCUUCAAUAUAAUGUAACCGUGAGACAGUUGAAGGGCAAGAAUGCUGCGUUGCGCCUUGCAUUUGCUGAAGGUACUUUAGAUUAUAUGUGUAUGUAAUGAGCAGAAUACUAUGUGUUAAUUGAAUCGUCUGGUACCCAUUGAUUGAUCUAUAUAAAUGUCAGGAUUUGAACCCCAAACUUAGCUUUUAUUACGGGAACCGGAUCAAUUUAGGCUCGGAUAAGCUUAAUGUGUUCAUAAACAGAUAAGAACAUAAUAUAUGGGAACACUUUGGCCAUACGAGGCUAAUGCUUAUAUGAUUCGCAUUACAGACUACAUGCUCCUAGUGAUAACUCUUCUGUAAGUACUAUUAGUCGAAUAGCUUUAUGAUGUAUUAAUCUAUCAAAUCUGGGUGUCAUAUUAUGAGUUCCAUUGCUAUGUUAAUCUAUGUACUAACAAUAUUAUGAAGUAAGGCAAUUUUGUGUACAUUAUAUUGGGAUGCAAGCUGAAUUCCCAUUAAUCAGUUUCAACCAUACAUACAUAUACAUAGAUAUAUAUAUGAAGUUAAGAACGUAAGUGCUGUUAAAUGGUACAUUACUCAGAUUGGUAAUAUAUUGGUGCCGAAUGUUCUAAAAUUUAACCAGCAUUACUGGUAAUAUAUUAGUGCCAAAUUUGACUAUUAUUGUUGAUAUAUCUUCAAAAAUUUCAGAUUUGAUAAAUAUAAAAGGGCAAUAAUGAAUAAAAAUACUGACUUUUUGAGAUCUUAUUUAAUGAAGGGAAGUUGAAUGUGGAAACUAAAUCGACCUAAGGGAAAUAAAAGCAAAAUAUGGAAAAGUUUUCUCGGGAAAACAAGUGUUAUCCUUCAUUUAUCUUGAUGAUUCUCUAACGCCGCCAAUUUUCCCCCCUAAGUUUACAGCAAGAAGACAAACGGCAACGUUAAGCCAUAUUCAUCCCAGGUUAAUUUUUUUUGUAAAUUAAACAUUUUUUGUAUACAUUUUGUUACCUAUUUAUUUUAUGUUUUUGAAGUUUCCAUUGCCAUUUCUACCUUUCCAAAAUGGUGUCUUUUUACUUGUUUUUUACUGGGUUAUUGACAUUUGUUCCAUAGAAUAAAUUUCUUUGAUUUUAGGGUUCUAUAUGUAUUUUUUUUAUGAAUUUGAACUUCAGUUAUCCAUAAAAAUUCUACCUUUAAUCUCAAUAUAUUUAUAGUCUAUAAGUUUUGACUUUUCUUCCAAUAAUAUAUCUCCAAAAUUCUAACUUAACCUUUUUAAACUUUGUCAUGUCAUUAUUAUUAUAGUUAAUUGCACCAAAUAUCUCCAAACUAUGGCCCUUAUUCUAAAAUAGUCCUCAAACUCAAAAUACGAGUAAUAUUUGGCCAUAAAAUGUAUAUAUUCAUUCCCUCUAAGCCAGUCGGUUAAGCCUCACAAUCCAACGUAACUGUAAAUCUUUCUUGGCAGCCAUGAAAUCAGUUCUAAAAUCCCUUGCAAACUCAAUCUUCCUUGUUCUUUUCAUCAUCUUUUCAUCUUCUACUCCACUUGUAUUGGCUCAAUGUGAAGCAGAGACCAGGACUAAUGGAUGCCAUAACUACAGAGAAUCCAUGAAGCUAAAAAUCAUUGCCAUUGUCGCAAUUUUACUAUCCAGCAUGAUUGGCGUGUGUCUGCCAUUGUUUUCUGGUCAGGUUCCGUCACUUAAACCCGACAGGGACUUGUUCACCAUUGUCAAGGCAUUUUCCUCCGGUGUUAUUCUAGCGACUGGGUACAUGCACGUGCUACCGGAUUCUUUUAACGACCUUAUGUCCGGGUGUUUGCCUGAAAACCCAUGGAGAAAGUUCCCUUUCACAACCUUCGUCGCAAUGCUGUCGGCUGUGUUGACCCUUAUGGUGGAUUCAUUUGCAAUGAGUGUAUACAAGAAACGUUGCGGUAAAGCUUUAAUGGCGGAUGCUAACAAUGGUGGUGGAUUGGAAAAUACGAACGUUGUACAAAUCGAUAAUUUUGAACACGGCCAUAGCCAUUCACUUGAGAUGAAUGACGACGUAUCAUCACAAUUGUUAAGGCAUCGAGUUAUUGCUCAGGUAUAUAUACAUGUUUGAAUCCUCAAAAUCGAUGGUUUUGCUUUUCAAGUCUUUACAUUAUGUAUUUCCUAAAUGUAGGUAUUAGAGUUGGGAAUUGUAGUUCAUUCAGUGGUGAUUGGCCUUGCAAUGGGAGCCUCUGGCAACCAAUGCACCAUUCGAUCACUCAUUGCUGCCCUUUGCUUCCAUCAAAUGUUUGAGGGGAUGGGACUUGGUGGAUGCAUACUGCAGGUAACCCCCAACAUUGCACUAUAUAUUUUCUCAUUCAAAUAUCCAUUUAGUGUACAAUAUUGAUUAACAUUAUGUUUGAUAUGUGCAGGCUGAAUAUGAGAUAAAAAUGAAAGCAAUCAUGGUAUUCUUCUUUUCAGCCACAACGCCACUUGGAAUAGUUCUGGGAAUUGGUUUGUCCAAGGUUUACAGUGAGACGAGUCCAACUUCACUUAUGGUGGUGGGACUACUUAAUGCUUGCUCAGCAGGGUUGCUGAAUUACAUGGCACUGGUUGAUCUACUUGCAGCUGAUUUUCUGGGCCCUAAGCUUCAAACAAAUAUGAAGCUCCAGGCUUGGUCAUAUGUUGCAGUUUUACUUGGUGCUGGAUUUAUGUCUUUGAUGGCAAAAUGGGCUUAGUCAUUUCAACAUAUACAUGUCUUUUUGUAAUCUUCUUUUUUUUUUCUUUUUUCUUUUUGCUUCAACAGAUAAGUUUAUAGUGGAUCAACACUUAUUCAAUCAAUUAUAAAAUUUAGGCAAAGAAUUGAGGCAACAAGGCUUGAACAUUGAUCUUUAAGAUCGUUUACUCCAUAUUGCAGGGCUCAUCACAAAGUAUAUAUAUCAGAAAAGUAUGCAAACUUCAAUUUUGUGUCAAUAUCAUUAUAAUUUAAACUGUUUAAUGUUACAUCAGAUGUAGAUGUCUUUAAGCCAAUGCUUAUAGCCACAAAGUCUCUUUGGUGCAAGCUAUAAGGACAGAGUUAUGUUAUAAAUAAACAAAUUAAAUAAUUUGUAUUUAAAAUAUCAAAUACUAAAAACCAAUAAAUAAGAUUAGAAAACCAAAAAUCGGAUAAAGAAUCAAAUUUUACUAGAUGUUGGGACUUGUUUUGCACAGUUUCCUUAAGAUAAAUUUGUCCGCUCCUACUGUACUUGGUGAAAUGUUGGGAGACUGUCUAAUAGGAUACAACAACACAAUGACCGAAAUAGUAGCAUCUCUACAGAGACCAAUGAACAACCUUGCCUUUUUCUAUCAUCAGAACAUUGGAAAAUAUAGAGAGAAAAAGAGAAGAAUUUUCGAGAGCAAAAUAAACUUGGUUUUAGAGAGUUUUUUAGUGUAAAAAAUUUUGAAGAAUUCUUAAGCAUUCAAGAUGGAGGAAUUUUUGAAAUAUCCAUAAUUAAAUAUACAAAAUCUGUAUUAAAUGAGCAAUUAAAUCAUAAUAUAUGUCCUUUUUAAAUUAGAUUAUAUAUAUUUGUUGAGAAAAAUAAAUUUUGUGUUGGGCUUAAAAUAUCCAUAGGCCCAACUGACCGGUCUAGACAUUUCACAUCGCCCAUGUAGUGCGAGUGCGCUUCAACCCCAAUGGGUUCGGAUCUACACCCCCUGCGCGUGAGACAAAGUUUCAAACUUAGUCAUUCAAUCAUCUUUCAAGUGGGUUCUCAUAUAUAAACGCAUCUCACAUUUGGUAUUUAAUCAAUGUGAGAUCUAAGCUUUUCUUUUCCUCAACAAAUAUUCACAAGUAACUUACUUUGAGUAUUAAUUUCUCGCUCAUCACUCAACCAUUUUGAGCAUACGAUAUACUGUUUUAAAGGUAUCAUGGAGUAGAAUAUAAAAUCAUAAUUUUAUGAUUCAAUUCUCCACUUAUACCAAUUGAGAAUAUGCUUCAAAGUUUCUAAAAAUUACAAUUUUUUUCAACAUUUUAUACAUCUAGUUUAAAGGUAUAAUCGAGUCCAGUAGAGCCCGAAUAAUGGCAAGCUUGAACUUGACUCAAACAUCACUUUUUAAGCUCAAUCUUGAUUCAAAACAUGAUUGAGCUGAUUAAGCUCGUUUAUCAAUUUUUAUAAUCAAACUCAUUUAUAAUUAAGCUCUUUUUAUAUAUCAAAGAUAAAAAUGUAAUUUUAUAAGUAAAAAUAUAUUUAAAUGGAAUGCUUAAUUAGGUUUGUGGGCUACUUGAAUCAAGUAUUACAAUAUUUAAAUUCAGCUUAAUCAAUAGCUCGAGCUCUACUCAAUAAUUUUCGAUAAAAUAUUAAGAUUUUUUGAAUCCAAUUCGAAUAGCUUGCAAAUAUAAUGUAUCACUUGUACUCUUAAUUUUGAGUUUGCAUUUUUAAUUCUUAAAAUAAUAUUAAAAAGUUCUUUCUUUCUAAAAAGAAACACCCAAUCAAUUGAAGGCUUUUUAGAAAGUGGUGGCAAAGUGCAUCCUUUACUUUAAGUCUCACUAUAUCUAAAAAGAAAUUAAUGCGAACUGUAGAAAGUGGUAGGAAUGUGCAUCAUUAUUGCUUUAAAAGAAUUUCAAUCUUUAAACGGAUAGAAUUAAAUUUUCAUAAUUUGGAAGAGUUAAAGUGUAAUUUUUUUUAUUAAUUUAAAAUUUUAAAAUUUUUUAAAGAGUUCAAAUAAUAAUUUUUUAUUUUAAGAGAGCCGGGCUCCUGUCAACUCCUGGAUUUGCCUCCAUAAUUUUCAAAAUUUUAAAUUAUGUUAUUUUGAAUAAAAAGUUAAUUGAUAAAGAAAUUCCUUUAGUUUCAAAAAUUCAAUUUUUUUGUUUUAAAAAAUAUUAAAAUUUAAAAAUUAAAAGAUUAAAGUAAUAAAAUUUCUCCCAAUAUUAAUGUCUUUUUGAUACAUGCACGAAUGGAGUGAAAUUUAUUAGAUUCCAAUCAUCAAAACUGCCAAUUUUUAGGCUUGGGAAAUUAGCACACUUGCGAUGACUUUGUGGAUGGGAUUCUGGCAUUUUUUGGGUUGAGAUGUCUCAUGGCAUUUGAAGAUCAAUCUCUUAGCUUCGAAACACAUUUCGAAUCACUCGAUUUUGAGUUCGGAAGCUCAAGUUAUGACUGUUUUAGUGAAGACUGCGCGAGCAGAAUUUUUGAACGAGAUUAUGACGGGAGUUACAAAUUUUGGGCUUUUAAUUCAUGUUUAAAUUAUAUUGGGUUCAGGUUUUAGACUUACUUUUUUUAUUAUAUAUGAGCCUAAUAUUAUAGUUGUUAGAUCUUAUUAUUUUAUUAUUAUUUUAUUCUAAAUUUUUUAUAAUUAUUAAGUAUUUUAAGUUAUUUAGGAGUUUUAUAUUAACAAGAAAAUUCAAUUUAAAACUACUUCUUAUUUAGAUUAAAUUAGAAUUCUAGUAUACUUAAAAGUUUUAUUUAGAUUUAUUUAGCUAGCCUAUAUGUAGGCAUUAUUCAUUAUUAUUCUAUUUAUCUUUUGAGUUAAUAAAUUCUCUCUGGGGUUUUUUUUUUCAAGAAUUUUUCUUGAGUUUCUUUUAGAAGAGUUUUAACAAUCAUUUUAGAUUGUGGGGAUCAUUUUCAAACUUUUUAUUGCCAAGGUUUCUAUCUUGAAGGGGAAAUUAGAGCCGCUUGAAGGGGAUUGUGAAUUCUUCGUGUUUCCAAGGCUUAUUAGGACUUCUACACACCACAUUCUAUCUUUUCAUUUAUCUUCUUUAUUUGCUUCCUUAUCUUUAAUUUAUUAUUUUAUUUUAGUUAUUUAUUUUAAUUGUUUUAUCUGACUUGGAUUCAAUUUCGUUUCAGAUUGUGUCAAAAUCCAAUUUCUUUCCGAACGUUUAGAACCCUAAGUCAAAUCCAUAAUUUUGACAAACUUUAUGAUCCACUUUCGCGUUCAUCCUUCUCAUCCUUUUGUACUGGCUUGAGGAGUCGACUCUGUUGUAGAUUCUAGAUUAAUCUGAUGCUCCACCUGCUUUUGAUUUUCUUUAUUGGAAGAGUCUUUAAGAGAUAUGUUAAGUAGCAUAACAGUUUCAUCAAAAACAACAUUUCUGUUAAUCACAACUUUUCUAUUUUCAGGAUACCAUAACUUAUACACUUUUACACUAGCUUUAUAACCAAGAAAAACACAUUUAAUGGUACACAAUUUUAAUUUUCCAUUAUCAGCAUGAGUAUACGCAAAACACCCAAAAAUCUUUAAAUCAGAAUCGUCAGCAGGAUUACUAAACCAUACUUCUUAUGGAGUCUUUUUCUCAAUAGCAACGAAUAGAGACCGAUUGAUCAAAAACAUAUAGUUGACAUUGCUUUGGCCCAAAAUAACUUUGAUAAGUUGCCAUUUGACAACAUACAUCGAACAUUCUCCAUGAUCGUUCUAUUCAUUCGUUCUACAAUACCUUUUUUAAAAUGUUCAUGUUCUAAAAUGAAAAACAAUAUGAAUUGCAUGAAUUGCUUAUAUGUCCUAUGAAUUAUAAAGGAAUGCGGUUGAAAUAUUCCCAUCGAUACAUACAUACAUAUUCGUGAAGUAUGUUCCAAUAUAAUAUCAAUAUUGGGAUUUACGUUUUAUAAAGCAACAUUAUUGAUUGGUAAUAUACAUUAAUUCCAAGGCAAACCCAAAUAUUUUAAAAUUUAACCUACAACUGUGGUAAAUCAAACUUAAUAGUAACUCGAUUGUAAUGUGAAGUCAAAUAUGAAAGUAACAUUGGUUUAUAUAUAUAUUUUUCUCUAAAUUCUAAUAAUCAAGUUGGGAUAAGUGAUAAACACUGAGCUUGCCACGUGUGUUAACCACGUUUUCAUCAUGUGCCACUCCAAAGACAUCAGGCCUCUAUUCAAGCUGGCAUGGUCAGGACGUGGUAGCAUACUUCAGGGAUCUGGUUAGAAAAUAUCCCAUAUCGCUAAAGAACUAUAACACAGGAGCGUUUAUAUAAGCGAAAGAAGCAUCAGAUGGUUGUCCCUUCGGGGACAUCCGAUAAAAUUGGAACGAUACAGAGAAGAUUAGCAUGGCCCCUGCGCAAGGAUGACACGCACAAAUCGAGAAAUGGUCCAAAUUUUUUUCCCUUUUUUUUCCCACAUUUUUACAGCUCUGUUUCUUUUUUUUUUCCUGGGUUUGGUGUUCAUAUUCAUGGGUUUUUGUGCACUUAAGAUUGCAAUUAGAGUUUUCUUUCUUUCUUUUACUCUCUUGAACUGUGAAUUUGAUUUUUUUUUCCAUUUUUUCAGCUUUGUUUCUUUUUUCCCCCUGGGUUUAGUUUUCAUGUUCAUGGGUUCCGCGCACUUAAGAUUGCAUUAGAGUUUUUUUUUUUUCCUUUUUACUGGGUUUUGGCCAGUUGUACUCUGUUGAACCGUGAAUACCUCAAGUUUUCUGGGAAUAAAUUGUUGCUUAUAUAUUUGCUGGUUAACAGUGGUAAUUUUCUGAUAUAUUGGCCAGAAUUGAAGGAUGAAGGUCCAACUUUGCUUUUGGUCCUUCUACUACUAUCUUAAGAUUUAAAAGAAAUUCAAUUAAACAAUUUCUUCCAAUAAAAUUAAAUAAGAAGGCCCAGAAAUUGACCUGCACACUUAGACAUGUUUCUCUUUGAAAAAAAUUCAAACAGGAUUUUAAAAUUUGCAAUGUGUUUUAUGUAAAUCAAAUGAUAUCCUGAAUUUUGCUAAGGGUGCUUCAUAUCCUUGAAUCCUUUUUUUGCUUGGCAAGUGAUUCAUUGAGUUUUUGUGAUCAAAUUUCAUGUUUCCUUUUUUAGUACGGGAAUUUGUGGGAAAAUGCUUGGCAAUAUGGAAAUGAAACCAAUUUCCAUUUACGAAGGCACCAGCAAAGUGGUGAAGCUUAUUGUUGAAAAAUUCUUCAAUAAUGUCAAUAAUGAAAAAGUAGAAAAUGGAAAAACAGAGAAUAAUUUUGGUUCUUCAUCCUAUUUGUAGUUAUAGUGAACGGAUUUCUUUGAUUUUAGUAACUAAUAUUAUGAUUCCAACAUUUGGGGUUUUAAUCUCACUACAUGAACUUGGCUUUGCUUCUUAGUGUUAUUGUUGAACUUUUUAGGAUACCUCUAUCUUAAUCCAUUUAUGUGAUUUGAUAAUGAUAUUUGCAGGCACUUAAAUCUUCCAUUGAAAUGGAGAACACCAACUACGAGGAGGAGCUGAAGAAUGAUUGCAGGCUUGUUUGCAGUCUCAUAUACGAUAUUAAUUGCAGAAAAGAACAGUUGUCCCAAAUGGAACGUGAAUAUAACGAGAUGACCGCAACUCUUCAAGGACUCAUCAAUGGCCUCAUGGCAAAAAUUAACUCCCAAGGACUGUAAUCUGUGGGGUUGGGAGCUUCAAUAUAAUGUAACCGUGAGACAGUUGAAGGGCAAGAAUGCUGCGUUGCGCCUUGCGUUUGCUGAAGGUACUUUAGAUUAUAUAUGUGUAUGUAGUGAGCAGAAUACUAUGUGUUAAUUGAAUCGUUUGGUACCCAUUGAUUGAUCUAUAUAAAUGUCAGGAUUUGAACCCCAAACUUAGCUUUUAUUACGGGAACCGGAUCAAUUUAGGCUCGGAUAAGCUUAAUGUGUUCAGAACCAGAUAAGAACAUAAUAUAUGGGAACACUUUGGCCAUACGAGGCUAAUGCUUAUAUGAUUCGCAUUACAGACUACAUGCACUGUUAGUUGAAUAGCUUUAUGAUGUAUUAAUCUAUAAAAUCUGGGUGUCAUAUUAUGAGUUCCAUUGCUAUGUUAAUCUAUGUACUAACAAUAUUAUGAAGUAAGGCAAUUUUGUGUACAUUAUAUUGGGAUGCAAGCUGAAUUCCUAUUAAUCAGCUUCAACCAUACAUACAUACAUACAUACAUACAUACAUACAUAUAUAUAUGAAGUUAAGAACGUAAGUGCUGUUAAAUGGUACAUUACUCAGAUUGGUAAUAUAUUGGUGCCGAAUGUUCUAAAAUUUUACCAGCAUUACUGGUAAUAUAUUAAUGCCAAAUUUGACUAAUUAUUGUUUAUAUAUAUUCAAAAAUUUCAGAUUUGAUAAAGAUAAAAUGGCAAUAAUGAAUAAAAAUACUAACUUUUUGAGAUCUUAUUUAAUGAAGGGAAGUUGAAUAUGGAAACUAAAUCGACCUAAGGGAAAUAAAAGCAAAAUAUGGAAAAUAUUUCUCGGGAAAACAAGUGUUAUCCUUCAUAUAUCUUGAUGAUUCUCUAACGCCGCCAGUUUUCCCCCCUAAGUUUACAGCAAGAAGAAGAAGAAAAAGAAGACAAACGGCAACGUUAAGCCAUUUUCAUCCCAGGUUAAUUUUAUUGUAAAUUAAACAUUUUUUGUAUACAUUUUGUUACCUAUUUAUUUUAUGGUUAUGAUUUGCCGAGUGGACAUUUUCAACAAUGUGGAUUGUAUCUGAUACAGCCGAAAGAGAAUGUGCCUUGUCGAGAUCUUGUUGAACUCGUGAAAACUACGAGCGAUCAGAUUGCUGCUCUAAAGGAACAAUUGGAGGAAACAUCAGAGGCGUUGAAAGAUAUGGAAAGCCGAUACAGUUGUCUUACGGUGAAACAAAUCUUAAUUAAUCGAGAACUGCAAGAUGCUCGAAAAGAAUCAGUAAGUGUAUUUCCUCGUUUUCCUUUGUUUUCUUGGAUGUUUUAUUUCUUUAGGUGCAAGAAAUACCUCUUCGGAAUCAGGUAUGAAAGUGUUAAACCGAAGACUUCUCUGGUUCUUGAUAUGCAGGGUCUAAAUGAUGUAUUGACAAGCCGAACAACUCUUGUAGUAAAAAAAAUGGGAGAGAUUGAUCGAAAAGCUUUUGAAGUUGCUAGCUCUGGGAAGUUCCCGAACAAAGAUUGGCAAGAAACAUGUGCUAAAUUAUGUUCAUUAUGGCAACAAAACGUGCAGGAUCCGAAAUGGCACCCGUUUAAGAUGAUCAAUAUCCGAGGCAACUUGCAGGUAUGGUGCAUACACCAACUAUUCUGUUAUCCGGUUAUCGAAAAUCCGUUUUUUUACUAAAUGUGCUAAACAUAUAUGUCAGAAUCGAGCCAGUUUAUUACUCAAACUUAUAUAUAUUAAGGGGAUAGCUACUCGGUAGUGUAGGAAAUAGUAGACGAAGACGACGAGAAGCUGAAGGAGUUGAGAAAUGAAUACGGUGAUGUCGUGUACGAGGCUGUUAGCACCGCAUUGAUGGAAAUGAACGAAUAUAAUGGGAGCGGAAGGUAUGCAGUCAUUUAAGCUAGUUGAGUGACCCGCAAUCUAGUUUAUCAUUUUUAAAAUAUUUAUAGUCUAUGAAUUUUGACUUUUCUUCCAAUAAUAUAUCUCCAAAAUUCUAACUUAACCUUUUUAAACUUUGUCAUGUAAUUAUUAUUAGAGUUAAUUGCACCAAAUAUCUCCAAACUAUGGCCCUUAUUCUAAAAUAGUCCUCAAACACAAAAUAUUGUAAAUUAUAUUUCCAAAUUAUCAAUAUUAUAUCAAUAAUGUUCUUCUGUUGUUAAAAUCAUUAAAUGAGACGUCAAAUGAGACAUAAUUUAAAAUAAAAAACUUAAAGAAAAAUAAAUAUAUUGUAAAAUAUUGAUUUCAAGGUUUUCGAAGCUAUUACAAAAACUAUCAUUCAUUUUCUCUUUUACUUUAUUUUUAAUUUUUAUUUUUAAAAGUUGUAUCAACAACAUUUUACUUUUCUUUAAAAAUAUCAUUUUAAAUUAAUAGUGUCAAUAAUAAAAGGAUGAGAUAAAUAGUUUAAAAUAUUUUAAAGUUGGGAGAAUAAUUUAAAAUAAAGAUUCAAUAUUGUUAAUCUAGUACUAUUUCAUAAUAUCAUUUUAUCGUAUCAACUUUUAAAGAUGACUUUUUUUUUUGAAAUAUUUUAAAGACAACAUUUAAAGAUUGAUUAUAAUAAUAUUGUUGCAUGGAAAAAGAAUUUCCACGUUAGCAGAAAGGCUUACGCCUGACGUGUGCUUAGUAUUAUUAGUAAAGUCAAAGGUCGAGAAAGUCUAAGGCGGGUCACACAUAUCACACGCCAUGCACAGGUUUCCUUAUUUCGAGGCUAAAAUACCAAAAUACCAUCACAUUUCUUGUUAAAUUUAUCACUUAAUCAACGAUCCUCUAAAACGAAGUAAGGACAUAUUAGAAAUUUUAAUUGCAAUAAUAUCACCAAAUCUGAAAAAUUACAAAUGAGGCAAAAAAAAAUACGAGUAAUAUUUGGCCAUAAAGUGCAUAUAUUCAUUCCCUCUAAACCAGUCGGUUAAGCCUCACAAUCCAACGUAACCGUAAAUCUUUCUUGGCAGCCAUGAAAUCAGUUCUAAAAUCCCUUGCAAACUCAAUCUUCCUUGUUCUUUUCAUCGUCUUUUCAUCUUCUACUCCACUUGUAUUGGCUCAAUGUGAAGCAGAGACCAAGACUAAUGGAUGCCAUAACUACAGAGAAUCCAUGAAGCUAAAAAUCAUUGCCAUUGUCGCAAUUUUACUAUCCAGCAUGAUUGGCGUGUGUCUACCAUUGUUUUCUGGUCAGGUUCCGUCACUUAAACCCGACAGAAACUUGUUCACCAUUGUCAAGGCAUUUUCCUCCGGUGUUAUUCUAGCGACUGGGUACAUGCACGUGCUACCGGAUUCUUUCAACGACCUUAUGUCCGGGUGUUUGCCUGAAAACCCAUGGAGGAAGUUCCCUUUCACAACCUUCGUCGCAAUGCUGUCGGCUGUGUUGACCCUUAUGGUGGAUUCAUUUGCAAUGAGUGUAUACAAGAAACGUUGCGGUAAAGCUUUAAUGGCGGAUGCUAACAAUGGUGGUGGAUUGGAAAAUACGAACGUUGUACAAAUCGAUAAUUUUGAACACGGCCAUAGCCAUUCACUUGAGAUGAAUGACGACGUAUCAUCACAAUUGUUAAGGCAUCGAGUUAUUGCUCAGGUAUAUAUACAUGUUUGAAUCCUCAAAAUCGAUGGUUUUGCUUUUCAAGUCUUUACAUUAUGUAUUUCCUAAAUGUAGGUAUUAGAGUUGGGAAUUGUAGUUCAUUCAGUGGUGAUUGGUCUUGCAAUGGGAGCCUCUGGCAAUCAAUGCACCAUUCGAUCACUCAUUGCUGCCCUUUGCUUCCAUCAAAUGUUUGAGGGGAUGGGACUUGGUGGAUGCAUACUGCAGGUAACCCCCUACAUUGCACUAUUUUCUCAUUCAAACAUCCAUUUAGUGUACAAUAUUGAUUAACAUUAUGUUUGAUAUGUGCAGGCUGAAUAUGAGAUAAAAAUGAAAGCAAUCAUGGUAUUCUUCUUUUCAGCCACAACGCCACUUGGAAUAGUUCUGGGAAUUGGUUUGUCCAAGGUUUACAGUGAGACGAGUCCAACUUCACUUAUGGUGGUGGGACUACUUAAUGCUUGCUCAGCAGGGUUGCUGAAUUACAUGGCACUGGUUGAUCUCCUUGCAGCUGAUUUUCUGGGCCCUAAGCUUCAAACAAAUAUGAAGCUCCAGGCUUGGUCAUAUGUUGCAGUUUUACUUGGUGCUGGAUUUAUGUCUUUGAUGGCAAAAUGGGCUUAGUCAUUUCAACAUAUACAUGUCUUUUUGUAGUUUUUUAAUCUUUUUUUUUUUAUGCUUCAACUGAUGAGUUUAUAGUGAAUCAACACUUAUUCAAUCAAUUAUAAAAAUUAGGCAAAGAAUUUAGGCAACAAGGCUUGAAUAUUGAUCUUUAAGAUCGUUUACUCCAGAUUGCAGGGCUCAUCACAAAGUAUAUAUAUCAGAAAAGUAUGCAAACUUCAAUUUUGUGUCAAUAUCAUUAUAAUUUAAACUGUUUAAUAUUACAUCAGAUGUAGAUGUCUUUAAGCCAAUGCUUAUAGCCACAAAGUCUCUUUGGUGCAAGCUAUAAGGACAGAGUUAUGCUAUAAAUAAACAAAUAAAUGUUGUAUAAAACCCUUCUCAAAUAAAUGUUGUAUAUAUAUAUUAUUGAGAAGAUCACUAGUUAAACUAAAAGUUUAGUUCUUUAAUGCACCUAAAAAACUUUGUAGUAUCCACAUUGUUAGUGGAUUAAGACUUUAACCAAGUUAAGGUCAGCGCAGAAAAACAAGCAUGCGAGUCAGUAAUAUUCUAAUGCCACCAUCCACCAUUAUUAAACAAACAAAAUAUUUGUCAUUGACAACAAGGCAAUGUGUGUAGGUUUUGAAAAAUAUCAGUAAAGGGAAAAAAAUAAAAACUGAUGAAAUUGAAACUUGUUUUUUAAUAAGGAACGAUGGUGAUGAGCUUAUCUUGUUUGAACCAAUAAUUGCCAAAUGUGAGGACCACAAGAAAGAAAUCAAAAGGGAAAAAAAAAAAAAAAGGUAGGGCUGUUUAAGUGGGGGGAUGCACAUUUGGUACUGGUAAUGGUAGCAAAGUUUUGCAGUAUGGUACCCUUGUGUGGUCACAGAAUUUCCAAGAGACCCCCCUAACAUUACUAUAAGUAACCAAUUGUUGCGGCCAAUAAAAUUUUUACAGUCUGUACUAUAAAAACAAUGCAUACCUUAACUGUUUUUUAAUCCCCCCCAGCCCCCCGCAAUGCAUGAAUACCGAUGAUUGUUUACCAUUAUGAAAGUACAAAUGCAGACACUCCUGUUGUUGGAAAAAAUGCAUUUUAAUGGGAACUUUAAGACAUAUUCUAUAUAGGUAAAAGUGGAGAGUUGAGAUAUUGUUGAGUAAAAAUAAAGGCUUGGAUCCAUAUUGGUUAAAUACCCAAGUGUGAGAUGAGUUUAUAUAUGCGAACCCUCUUAAAAGAUAAUUGAAUGAUUAAGUUUGUAACUUUGUCUCAUGCGUAGAAAGUAUAGGUCUAAAACUGAAAGGGUUGGGGCGCACCCGCACGACGUGGGCAACGUGAAAUGUUUGGACCGGUCAGGCUUAAUUGGGCUUACGGAUAUUUUAAGCAAGCCCAAUACAAAUUUAUUUUUCCUCAGCAGACAUAAUCUGCUUAUAUAUAGACAAUAUUUAAUUUGAUUUAAUUUUUAAACCAAAUUGAUUUUUAUGUUUAUUUCCUUAAUUUUUAAAUCUAAUUUGACUUUUCCUUAAUCGCAGAUUUUAUGUUUAUUUCCAAAUUUUUUUAUUAUCCUAAAUGCCUAUAAAAUGUUGUGUAUUCUGGAGGAUUACACACACAUUCAAAUAAUUUCUUAUACCGAAAUUCUGUUCAUUUCAAAACUCUUCUUUUGCGUCUCUGUAUUUUUACAAUAUUCCAGUGAUAGAAAAAGAAAAAGUUCGUUUGUUCGAUCGUUGUAGAGGUGCUACUACUUUGAUCAUUGUUGUUGUUGUAUCCUGGGAAACAUUCGACCAACAUUUCUCCAAGUACCAUAGGAGCAACCGAAUUUGCCUCAAGGAAACUGUGUUUCACAGGCCUCGACUUUUCGUAAAAUCUCGAUUCUACUUUAUUUCAAAUUUUUAUUUGAUUUUUGUAUUUGAUAAAUUAAUUAUAAAUCAUUCUAUUUAUAUUUUAUUUCAUAUGUGUUUAUUUAUAAUUAAUUAUUUUGUUCGCUAACAUGUUUUGUCCAACACCUAUUACAAUUUUUAUGGUUCGAUUCCUUUUGAUGAAGAUUUCCCCAGGAUAAUACUUACUUCAUAAAACUUCCUAGCUGUGAAACAUGGUACUUAUCUUAUAACAAGACUUUGCUAGGAGAACCGCAAAAUAUGUUCUUAUUAACAUAUGUAACGUAUUAAUCCUUAGUUUCAUCAUGAAUUUGGAUACAAAUGUGUUAAUGGAUAUAGCCACAUAUCUGCAGAUACAGGCACAAGUGAGCAAUAAGAGAGAGCGGUAGAGAGAGAGAGUUGAUAUAUUGGGGUUGAAUUGACGGGUUGUGCAAUUGGAUGCAAGAAAGGUGCAGCAGGCACCUAAGGUCACUAGUAUAAAGGACCCACUUGAGCACAAGUUUGUGUUUCAAUUCAAAUGUUGCUCUCUCAGAUGAUGUUUGGCACCAAAUGGGUUAGGUGUUAAUCCAGUCCCCCUCCGUACAUAGCACUGCUUUCGCAUUUGUAGUGCCCCUUUCGGCCCUUUUCCUUCUGCAUACUAGCUAUGCCUAUAGCAACAUAACUAGGCUAGGCAUGUAUGGGGGUAAAGAACGGCCAUUAGUGAUCCCCUUUUAUUCUUCUUUUACUUUUCAGAUUUGGAACAGAAAGGAAGGAAGGAAAGCCACCAUGAAAGAAAUCAUUCAGUACGUAAUCGGGCAACUGAAGAUUCAUAAGCGUAAAUGAAAGCGAAUUCCGUGAUCUCGAUCUGACUAUUUUCAUGGUAAGCUUACCUAUCCUUUACUAUCAAUCACUAAUCAUUUUACGGUUUAUAGUCGUUUUUUACAUAUCAUGAAAACUAAUCAUUUCGAGAUUUGUGGUUGUCAUUCCCAAUAAUUUUGUUUUCAAUACUUUUUAAUAUUAUUUUAGAUUUUAAAAUUCUUUUCCAAUUUAAAUACUAAUAUAUAUAUAUAUAUAUUAUAGCCCAAUGUUAUUCAACCUUUAAAUUAAUAUAAACAACUUAUACUGUUAUGAGUUUUUUUCCCCAUUUUUAUCUUCAAAAAUUGUGAAUCAAAGGCAAUUAGAUCUGUGAUUUUUGGCUUUGAAAACCUUAUCAACUUGAGCACAAAUCUUUGAUCAAAUAAACUCGAUAUGAUCUUAUUAGAAAAUUUAAACUUCAAAUAAUUUCAAACUUAAAUUUGAAACUGAUUUGGAUGAAAUGAUCUGAAAAUUUCUAAUUUUGAAUUAUUCUAUUAUAGAUCUAGCUAUAGCCCAAGACCCAUCACAAAUCUAUGUAUUUGGAUAAUUACCUUCUUCCUAAAAGAUAUGUUGCAGUGCACUCGAUUAUUUAUUUAGGAUUUUUUUCCCGAUGUGGGAUUAAUGACUUUGAUUAUGUAUUGAUAAAUUUUAAUUUUUAAAGUAAAAAUAGAGAAAUUAAGUUUCAAAUGUACGAACUGUGUAAGAACUUCGAGAAUAUUUUAAUCUUCAAAUUUUUUACUUUAUAAUUUAAUACAAAUAAAUAAUCAAUACAAUGCAAAACAAUGAGAGGCUAAUCUUUUUAACAACAUGCCUACAUCCUCAUUUAAUAAAUGAUUUUAAUUUUUAUAUAAUUCUCAUUCGGCUUAAUGUUGUAUCUAAGUUGAUUAUUAGUAGUGAAGUCAAAAAAAUAUUUUGAGGGUUGAAAUUAAAUUGAAUAUUUUUACGAUAGUAAAAAUAUAAUUUUACCAUUUUAAUAGUCUAUAUAUAAUUUACAAUUAUUAAUUUAAAAUUUUAUAAUUUAUAAAGGAGCCUAAAUGAAAAUUUUUUUCAUUUUAAGGAAACUGGCAUUGGUGAUUAUAAUAAGAAUCAAAUUCUGACCUAUAAGGUUAUACAUUAUUUUUCAGUAAUUGCUUUUUUUUUUCGUUUUGGGUAACAUUUUCCCUAUGUAUUCAUUUAGUUGCCUUACAAAUAAUGUACAUUAUUGUAAAGAGAGUCGAUGUAUUAUUCUUCAAUACUUACCUCGUUUUUUCUAACCCUUUAUUUGCUAAUAAAACACAACGUUUACAUUGGGACCAUAAUUUCAUGCAGAAAGGGAAAAGACUUUGCCAUUCCCUAAUAUCCUUUUCUAAGCAAAGGAUCAUCUAUGUACUAGUGACAAAUGGGUUCAUAUCGGUCUCUCUUCGGAUUAAGAUUACCACCUAUUUGAACCGGUUUAAGUUUGACUAUUUAGAAUUUGAAUACUUUUGAGUUUAGAUUGUCUCAAUUUAAAAUAAGUAUUUAGACUAGUUGAUCCACGAACCGGUUGAACAAACGACCGAUUUGAUUUUUUAAAAUAUAUAUUUUUUAAUUUUUAAUAGUUUAUUCAAUUAAACCAAUUGGAUUGAUUAAAUUGAGUAGAGGUGGUUUCUAUUGCACACAAUCUAAUGAAAGACACAAAAAUGUACAGAAAUGUUUUAAAGUUUAGGUAAAUAAUUUAAUGAAAAAUAGACAUGAUUAGUGGCGAAGUCCUGGUUCUCUAAAAUAGAAUAUUUUCCAUUUAGUCUUUUAUAAUUUUUAAAUUUUUAAAUUAGUAAUGGUAAAAUUACACUUUCCUCGCCUAAAAUUGAUAAAAAAUUGAUUUACCCUUUUAAAAAUUAUAAAGAUAUAAACUAUUAAAAUGGUAAAAUUGUAUUUUUAUUAUCGUAAAAAUAUACAAUUUAAUUUUGUCCCAAAAAUUUUUUUGACUUCGCCCUACAUAUCAUUAUCUUAAUAAAAAAGGUAAAAAUAUUGAGUAUACAAUAAUUAGGUUGAACAAUUUUUGUUGGGAAUAUAUGUUAAAAAAAUAUAGAUUAGCUAUUAAAUGUAAAAUGGCAAAAGAAUAAAUUAUAAAGUGUACACAUAAGGUUGAUUUCGUAAAACUAAAAAUUACCAAUUUUUCACAACUUUGUCAACUAUUAUAUACUUGAGAUGGCAAGAGCCUUUUUUACUUUAAUCGGUGGUUAAUGGUUCGAUCAUUGUCCUGGAUAUGGAGUAACUUUAAAACUCGUGACCAACAUCUAUCCGUUAAUGGGCCUAUAGAAUGUGGAGGGUUAGUUACUAGGUUCGCUCUAAUAGAUACAUUGAUAAAUUAAAAAAAUGGAAUAAAAAAUGUUAGUAAAUUUGACAUUUGAAGUUGUUUAAAGUUAUAAAUUAAAUUGGUAAUAUAUAAGAGAUAUUUUUAUUUGUGUUUAUAUAGAAUUGAAGGAAUAAAAUUUUAAUAUUAACCAUAAAUUAGCAAAUAAUAUCUUCAAAUUUUAAAGUUAUAAAAGUGAAAUAAUAUCAAACAUGAAAUCAAUUACUUUAUUUUAUUUUUUAAUUUUUAUUAUAUAUAGUCAACAUUAUAUUUGAAAAUCAAUAUUACAUAUUGAGAAUUAAUUAUUAUGAACACUUUAUUGUGGGGUUCUUUUACAUUAAUAAUAUAAAAUAAAUAAAUAAAUGCUAGAAUAGGAUAAAGGGAAUAAUAUUUACAAGAAUAGGUAAUGAAAUAGUGAAAUAUCGGUGUUGUCUGACCAAUCGGCGACACCAGACUAAAAUGUGAUGAUCUAAAAGGAUAAAUUGUACCCUAAGUCCCCCUUAUUUAUUAUUUAUUAUUUUUCUUUAACACCAAAAAAUAGAUUGGCCUUUUAUAAAUUAGUCUAGUUUUUUUUUACCAAAAAAUAUUUUUGUAAGUAAACCGUUUCUAUUUAGAAAUAAAUUUUAUUUAUUUUAAAAUAAUAUUUAUAAUUUUAUUAUCCAUUUGAUUUACGUACACAGUAUAAAAUUAUAAUUAUAAAAGCUUUAGAAAAAAUCUUAUUAUGUAUAAAUUAUAAUUAUUAGUUAAAUUUAUAGUUUCCAAAUAUAAUGAGAGAAAAAGAAAACUACUAUAAAUACAGUUAAUUGUAAUGUCAAACAUAAUGUGAUUUUUUUUUAAAAUAAAUAAAAUUUAUUUCGAGUUGGAAUCGACUUACUUGAAAAAAAUACUUUUUAGUAAAAAAAAAUUAGACUAAUUGAUAAGAGGUCAAUUUAUUUUUGGUGUUAAAAGAUAAUAAAAUUUAAUAAUAAAUAGGGGUUUAGGGUGCAAUUUACCCUUUUAAAUUUGGUGCUGUCAUACUGUUAGGCGGCACCCAUGAAGAUUUUUUCGACUGUCAAUUAAAACGGAAAAUUUACAGAUAAGGUCCCUAGAAUUUUUAGAUCAUCACAUUUUAGCCUGGUGCGGCCGAGUGCUCAAGCUGCACCUGAAUUUUUUUAAACUAGAAUUUUUAGAUCAUCACAUUUUAGCCUGGUGCGGCCGAGUGCUCAAGCUGCACCUGAAUUUUUUUAAAUAAAGUGAUGCCGUUGAUUGGUUAGGCGGCACCGGUAUUUCACUAUUUCAUUUGACUAUUCUCAUAAAUAUUAAUCUCUUUAUCCUAUCCUGUAUUUAUUUAUUUAUUUAUUUUAUAUUAUUAACGUAAAAAAUCCUUUAUUGUGACCUGCGGAAACGUGGAAUGAAAACCAAAUAGGUUUUUUUUUUAGUUUUUCUUGAAUUAAAAUGCAACCAAUAAGAAUAAUUGAUAUUUUAAUUUAAUAAAAAUAAAAUUAAUUAAUGUUUGAGUAUUUAAUUUUAAAAAUGAUCAAGAUGUAAUUACAACAAUUAAUUUUAAAAGUUAUUAAAGAUAUUUAUAUAUGUCAAUUUUUUAUAAUUAUUAAUGACAUACAUAUAAAUUAAUUAAUAGCGUAUCUCUCAAAGAUGAUAUUGACAGUGGCGGAGUCAAAAAAUAUUUUUGAGAUAUCGGAAUUAAUGUAAAAAUGUACAAUUUAAUUAAUUUAAUAGUUUUUAUAAUAUUUAAAGAAUUAAAUCAAAAUUUUUAUCAUUUUAAAGAAGAACAAAGUAUAAUUUUACUUUUAUUAAUUUAAAAUGUUAUAAAUUAUAAAUAUUAUACAUGAAUUUUUUUUCAUUUUAGGGACCGGAUACUGUCAGCUCCUAUGACUAUGUAAGCCUUGAAAACAUCCUUUAUUAUUGCAUUUCUUUUUCUACGUUGGCAGUGGUGUGCUUUCGUAGAUUCUAGCCACUCCUUUUUAGAUAAAAUUUCCAAAAGGAAUAGAUAUUAUAUGAGGAAUACUUGGUUGAAGAAAGAAAAAGCAAAAAAACAAAAAAAAAAAUUGGAAAAUGACCUUACAUGAAACUACUCAUGCAAUUGGAUCAACUCAUUCACUCAACCUUUCAAGAGCUUUAUUUACUACUUGGAUACUUAAUAAUUCAUUUAUUUAAUAACUUAUUAUAGGGACCGAACAUGUCUUUUUCAUUUCACCGAAAAUCAAUUUUACAAUAUAAACUCCUAUGACCUUCCCUCUAUGUCUUGCAGUAAUGAUUCCUCUAACAAUUUCUCAAUUCAAUAAAAGAAAAAAAGAAAAGAGGUGAAUAAGAUCUUAAAUAAUAAGAGAUAUGUAAAAAGGAGGCCCGAUUAUGCCCAACCUAAACCUAAAUGGAAUGUAACGACGUAUGGAUCUAUAUGUAGUAUUCUAUAUUAAUAUAGUAAUAUAAUAUUACUAAUAGUAUCGACUCCUUUUUUAUUUUCUAGUUUAUUUUCUAUUUUAGUAUAUUUUACAUCUAAAUUAUAUAGAAUUUUUUAUAUAGAUAUAAAUUAUAUUUAAUCAAUCAAUUGAAUAGAUAUAAUUUAUUUUAUUUAGUUUAGAGUUGUAAAUAGAGAUAAUUAGAGUAAAAAAUCAUUUAUAUGUUUUAUGAUUGCCAACAUUUCUGUCAAAAACAAGUAUAUAUUUGCACCAAUUCAUCCGAGUUAGUGCAAACAUAUGAAAUAUUUAUAUGUCCAUAAAAUAUAUAUAAAUUGGGGUGUUAAGAAAACCAUGAAAUAUUUAUAUGUCCAACGAAAUAAAUCAUUCAGUACGUAAUCGGGCAACUGAAGAUUCAUAAGCGUAAACGAAAGCGAAUUCCGUGAUCUCGAUCCGACUAUUUUCAUGGUAAGCUUACCUAUCCUUUACUGUCAUUCACUAAUCAUUUUACUGUUUAUAUUCGCUUUUUACAUAUCAUGAAAACUAAUCAUUUCAAGAUUUGUAGUUGUCAUUUUCAAUAACUUUGUUUUCAAUACUUUUUAAUAUCAUUUUAAAUUUUAAAGUUCUUUUCCAAGUUAAAUACUAAUAUAUAUAUAUUAUAGCCCCAUGUUAUUCAACCUUUAAAUUAAUAUAAACAAGUACUUAUACUGUUAUGAGUUUUUUUUUCCCUUUUUUAUCUUCAAAAAUUGUGAAUCAAAGGCAAUUAGAUCUGUGAUUUUUGGAUUUGAAAACCUUAUCAACUUGAACAUAAAUCUUUGAUCAAAUAAACUCGAUAUGAUCUUAUUAGAAAAUUUAAACUUCAAAUAAUUUCAAAUUUAAAUUUUAAACUGAUUUGGAUGAAAUUAUCUGAAAAUUUCUAAUUUUGAAUUAUUCUAUUAUAGAUCUAGCUAUAACCCAAGACCCAUCACAAAUGUAUAUAUGUAUUUGGAUAAUUAGCUUCUUCCUAAAAGAUAUGUUGCAGUGCACUCGAUUAUUUAUUUAGGAUUCUUUUUCUUUCUGAUGUGGAAUUAACGACUUUGAUUAUGUAUUGAUAAAUUUUAAUUUUGAAAGUAAAAAUAGAGAAACUAAGUUUCAAAUGUACGAAGUGUGUAAAAACUUCGAGUAUAUUUUAAUCUUUAAAUCUUUUACUUUAUAAUUUAAUACAAAUAAAUAAUCAAUCCAAUGCAAAAUAAUGAGGGGCUAAUCUUUUUAACAACAUGCCUACAUCCUCAUUUAAUAAAUGAUUUUAAUUUUUAUAUAAUUCUCAUUCAGCUUAAUGUAGUAACUAAGUUGAUUAUUAGUAGUGAAGUCAAAAAAAUAUUAAUUUUGAGGGUUGAAAUUAAAUUGAAUAUUUUUACGAUAGUAAAAAUGUAAUUUUACCAUUUUCAUAGUCUAUAUAUAAUUUUACAAUUAUUAAUUUAAAAUUUUAUAAUUUAUAAGGGAGCCUAAAUGAAACUGGCAUUGGUGAUUAUAAUAAGAAUCAAAUUUUGACCUAUGAGGUUGUACAUUAUUUUUCAGUAAUUGAUUUUAUUUUUUUCGUUUUGGGUAACAUUUUCCCUAUGUAUUCAUUUAGUUGCCUUACAAAUAAUGUACAUUAUUGUAAAGAGAGUCGAUGUAUUAUUCUUCAAUACUUACCUUGUUUUUUCUAACCCUUUAUUUGCUAAUAAAACACAACGUACAUUGGGACCAUAAUUUCAUGCAGAAAGGGAAAAGACUUUGCCAUUCCCUAAUAUCCUUCUCUAAGCAAAGGAUCGUCUAUGUACUAGUGACAAAUGGGUUCAUAUCGGUCUCUCUUCGGAUUAGGAUUACCUCCUAUUUGAACCGGUUUAAGUUUGAGUAUUUAGAAUUUGGAUAAUUUUGAGUUUAGAUUGUCUCAAUUUAAAAUAAGUAUUUAGACUAGUUGAUUCACGAACCGGUUGAAUAAACGACCGAGUUGAUUUUUUAAAAUAUAUAAUUUUUAAUUUUUAAUAGUUUAUUCAAUUAAACCAAUUGGACUGAUUAAAUUGAGUAGAGGUGGUUUCUAUUGCACACAAUCUAAUGAAAGACACAAAAAUUUACAGAAAUGUUUUAAAGUUUAGGUAAAUAAUUUAAUGAAAAAUAGACAUGAUUAGUGGCGAAGCCCUAGUCCUCUAAAAUAGAAUAUUUUCCAUUUAAGUCUUUUAUAAUUUAUAAAAUUUUAAAUUAGUAAUGGUAAAAUUGCACUUUCCUCCCCUAAAAUUGAUAAAAAAUUGAUUUAUCCUUUUAAAAAUUAUAAAGAUAUAAACUAUUAAAAUGGUAAACUUGUAUAUACAAUUUAAUUUUGUCCCAAAAAUUUUUUUGACUUCGCCCUACAUAUCAUUAUCUUAAUAAAAAAGGUAAAAAUAUUGAGUAUACAAUAAUUAGGUUGAACAAUUUUUGUUGGGAAUAUAUGUUAAAUAAAAUAUAGGUUAGCUAUUAAAUGUAAAAUGGCAAAAGAAUAAAUUAUAAAGUGUACACAAGGUUGAUUUCGUAAAACUAAAAAUUACCAAUUUUUCACGUCUUUGUCAACUAUUAUACACUUGAGAUGGCAAGAGCCUUUUCUACUUUAAUCGGUGGUUAAUGGUUCGAUUAUUGUCCUGGAUAUGGAGUAACUUUAAAACUCGUUACCAACAUCUAUCCCGUUAAUGGGCCUAUAGAAUGUGGAGGGUUAGUUAUUAGGUUCGCUCUAAUAGAUACAUUGAUAAAUUAAAAAUAUGGAAUAAAAAAUGUUAGUAAAUUUGACAUUUGAAGUUGUUUAAAGUUAUAAAUUAAAUUGGUGAUAUAUAAGAGAUAUUUUUAUUUGUGUUUAUAGAGAAUUGAAGGAAUAAAAUUUUAAUAUUAACCAUAAAUUAGCAAAUAAUAUCUUCAAAAUUUAAAGUUAUAAAAGUGAAAUAAUAUCAAACAUGAAAUCAAUCACAUUAUUUUAUUUUUUAAUUUUUAUUAAAUAUAGUCAACAUUAUAUUUGAAAAUCAAUAUUACAUAUUGAGAAUUAAUUAUUAUGAACAUUUUAUUGUGGGGUUUUUUUACAUUAAUAAUAUAAAAUAAAUAAAUAAAUAAAUACUAGAAUAGGUUAAAGGGAAUAAUAUUUACAAGAAUAGGUAAAUGAAAUAGUGAAAUAUCGGUGUUGUCUGACCAAUCGGCGACACCAGACUAAAAUGUGAUGAUCUAAAAGGAUAAAUUGCACCCUAAAUCCCCCUUAUUUAUUAUUAUUUAGUAUUUUUCUUUAACACCAAAAAAUAGAUUGGCCUUUUAUAAAUUAGUCUAAAUUUUUUUUACCAAAAAAUAUUUUUGUAAGUAAACCGUUUCCAUUUAGAAAUAAAUUUUAUUUAUUUUAAAUAUAUAUUUUUAUUUUUAUUAUCCAUUUGAUUUACGUACACAGUAUAAAAUUAUAAUUAUAAAAGCUUUAGAAAAAAUCUUAUUAUGUAUAAAUUAUAAUUAUUAGUUAAAUUUAUAGUUUCCAAAUAUAAUGAGAGAAAAAGAAAACUACUAUAAAUACAGUUAAUUGUAAUGUCAAACAUAAUGUGAUUUUUUUAAAAAAAUAAAUAAAAUUUACUUCGAGUUGGAAUCAACUUACUUGAAAAAAAUACUUUUUAGUAAAAAAAAAAUUUAGACUAAUUGAUAAGAGGCCAAUUUCUUUUUGGUGUUAAAAGAGAAUAAAAUUUAAUAAUAAAUAGGGGGUUUAGGGUGGAAUUUACCCUUUUUAAUUUGGUGCUGUCAUACUGUCAGGAGGCACCCAUGAAGAUUUUUCGACUGUCAAUUAAAACGGAAAAUUUACAGAUAAAGUCCCUGGAAUUUUUAAAUCAUCACAUUUUAGCCUGGUGAGGCCGAGUGCUCAAGCUACACCCAAAUUUUUUUAAAUAAAGUGAUGCCGUUGAUUGGUUAGCCGGCACCGGUAUUUCACUAUUUCAUUUGACUAUUCUCAUAAAUAUUAAUCUUUUUAUCCUAUCCUGUAUUUAUUUAUUUAUUUAUUUUAUAUUAUUAAUGAAAAAAAUCCUUUAUUGUGACUUGCGGAAACGUGGAAUGAAAACCAAAUAGGUUUUUUUUUUUUUAGUUUUUCUUGAAUUAAAAUGCAACCAAUAAGAAUAAUUGAUAUUUUAAUUUAAUAAAAAUAAAAUUAAUUAAUAUUUGAGUAUUUAAUUUUAAAAAUGAUCAAGAUGUAAUUACAACAAUUAAUUUUAAAAGUUAUUAAAGAUAUUUAUAUAUGUCAAUUUUUUAUAAUUAUUAAUGACAUACAUAUAAAUUAAUUAAUAGCGUAUCUCUCAAAGAUGAUAUUGACAGUGGCGGAGUCAAAAAAUAUUUUUGAGAUAUCGGAAUUAAUGUAAAAAUGUACAAUUUAAUUAAUUUAAUAGUUUUUAUAAUAUUUAAAGAAUUAAAUCAAAAUUUUUAUCAUUUUAAAGAAGAACAAAGUAUAAUUUUACUUUUAUUAAUUUAAAAUGUUAUAAAUUAUAAAUAUUAUACAUGAAUUUUUUUUCAUUUUAGGGACCGGAUACUGUCAGCUCCUAUGACUAUGUAAGCCUUGAAAACAUCCUUUAUUAUUGCAUUUCUUUUUCUACGUUGGCAGUGGUGUGCUUUCGUAGAUUCUAGCCACUCCUUUUUAGAUAAAAUUUCCAAAAGGAAUAGAUAUUAUAUGAGGAAUACUUGGUUGAAGAAAGAAAAAGCAAAAAAACAAAAAAAAAUUGGAAAAUGACCUUACAUGAAACUACUCAUGCAAUUGGAUCAACUCAUUCACUCAACCUUUCAAGAGCUUUAUUUACUACUUGGAUACUUAAUAAUUCAUUUAUUUAAUAACUUAUUAUAGGGACCGAACAUGUCUUUUUCAUUUCACCGAAAAUCAAUUUUACAAUAUAAACUCCUAUGACCUUCCCUCUAUGUCUUGCAGUAAUGAUUCCUCUAACAAUUUCUCAAUUCAAUAAAAAAAAAAAAGAAAAGAGGUGAAUAAGAUCUUAAAUAAUAAGAGAUAUGUAAAAAGGAGGCCCGAUUAUGCCCAACCUAAACCUAAAUGGAAUGUAACGACGUAUGGAUCUAUAUGUAGUAUUCUAUAUUAAUAUAGUAAUAUAAUAUUACUAAUAGUAUCGACUCCUUUUUUAUUUUCUAGUUUAUUUUCUAUUUUAGUAUAUUUUACAUCUAAAUUAUAUAGAAUUUUUUUAUAUAGAUAUAAAUUAUAUUUAAUCAAUCAAUUGAAUAGAUAUAAUUUAUUUUAUUUAGUUUAGAGUUGUAAAUAGAGAUAAUUAGAGUAAAAAAUCAUUUAUAUGUUUUAUGAUUGCCAACAUUUCUGUCAAAAACAAGUAUAUAUUUGCACCAAUUCAUCCGAGUUAGUGCAAACAUAUGAAAUAUUUAUAUGUCCAUAAAAUAUAUAUAAAUUGGGGUGUUAAGAAAACCAUGAAAUUAAUAAUGAUGUAAUUGUCAUUUACUAAUCCUAUAAUUAAACUUAAUCUCAUUUUCUUUCCAUCUCAAAACUAAAAAUGGAAAAUACCACUUUGCUUAGUUGGUAGAAGCGAAUAUUUUCCCAUUAAAAUAUGUUUUGGUAUACGACAUUUUAUGGUGGUUGGCUAGUCAUUACUCAGCUGUUUCCACGAGACUUCCUUUCUUUUAAAGUAAGAUGAAGUCAUCUUUCUCAAAUCAUUACUUUCUGCCUUUGCUCUGUUAAGAAGGGGGAAAAUUAUCAGUUAUUGAUCAUAGCCAAAAGGUACGCCAUCUGCUUUGCUCUUACUCUUUUGAAAUACUUGUCCGUAUAAAUAAGCUUAGGCAGGCAGAUUUAACCCUGAAAAUGGACUUCUUUUAUGCUUUAAAUCUAUUUAGCUUUAAGAUUUUGAGUCCUGUACUUUUUGGAUUUAAAAUCUUCAUCUUUCCCUUCAAAUUUACACUUAGUGUUGUUGACCUGACAAAUAUAAAAAGAUCAAAUAAAUUUUUUAGCCUUAAUUUGAUCUUUACUUUUUAAAGUUACAUAAAAAUUCAGAAUUAAGAAGAAAACAUAUUUUCAGUAAAAAUCCAUUAAAAAGAUUGUGGAAAACACUCUUUAAAGUUCGUAGAAAAAAGGUUGUGAUCUAUCAACAACUUGUGCCUUCCACAUACUGGAAUAUGGUUAUUAAGAGGUUGAGUACUGCUUUAUCUCGUAGAAGAAGGAUUUGUACUAGAUGAUCAUAGGUUGGGUCAAUGUAAAAAUUUUAAAUUUGUUUUUCAGGUCCGGACUUGGCUCAACUAAACAAAUGCGCCUAAAAUUUUAUUUAAGUUCAACCUAGAUAAAAAAUACUAAAUCUGGACCCGUAUUAAAUUUUUUAGAUUUUUUUAUAUAAAAAUAAAUUUAAAAAAUAUAAUACAUUAAAUACUCUAAACACAUUAAAAUGAAUGUUUCUCAACAAAUUGAAAAUAUAUUAAAAAAAUUCUUUAUAUUUAAAUAACACUAACAUAGUUAUAACUUAGCAAACAAACAUUUCUAAAAUAAUAGCAAAAUUAAAAAUAAAAUAAGAGUUAUACAAUAUCUAAAUAAUAGUAGUAAAAUAGUAAUAAUAUAAUAGUGAAACAGUAGCAAAAUAACAACAUAAAAGCAGUAAACAGCAGCAAAAUAAUAAUUAAAUUCGAGUUAGGUUCAAACUAAAAAAAUCUUAUCAGAGGCUCAGCCCAUUUAAAACUCAAAUCUUAUUUUUUUCGAAGUUUAUUUUUUGGGUUUAUAUUAUUGCCUAAACUCUUUAUGUUUUGAAUGGACUUUUUAAAUUCGACUCAUAAUCAAGUCUACUUUAUAAUAAACGCUAUAUAUGGUUGGAAAGAUGGUUUGAUAGGGUACUAAAAUUAAAUGAAAAAUCAUUUAAAAAACAAAUUAAAUAUUCAAACAUUAAAUAUAUAUUUUAUAUAUAAUUGGUUUGAACUAAAUUAACAAAAUACUUUGAUAGUUUUCAGAAAAUUCCUGUAACGAGAGAAUUAGUCACUGUUGCUAGCGGCUAAUAUAUUUAAUUUCAAUAAAAAAUUACCAAAAUACUUUUUGAAUAUGAUUUAGUGCAAGUUGCACAGGUAGUUUAAAAUUUGAAGAUAUUAUUACUAUUUAAGGAGUAAAUAUAUUUUUUAAAUUGAAACAUUUAAUAUGAUUUAUUAUUUUCUAUUUUUUAAAAAAUUAACUAAAUUAAAAAAUGUGCAACAAAUUAAAUAGUUAGAAGUUUUAAAUUUAAAUCAAAAUUGAAAUUUAUGAUCUACAUGAAUAUAACAUAUAAUAUAAUGAUUGUAUCAUUAAAAUAUUAAUAAUAUAAAUAAUUACGGAAGUGUGUAAAAUUACUUUAAUUUUUUACAUUGCGUAAGUAGAUCAUUCCCCUUAAUAUUAAUAAAUUUUCAUAAAGUAAAAUUACUUUACUUUAAUUGUCAUAAAGUAAAACAUUAAUCUCAUAUUUAUAUUUUUAAGAUUAUGCAAAUGUGUUCUUUUUAAAAACUAUAUAAGAUAAUUCAAGUUUUGGUCUUUAUCGUCGCUGUGGUUAUUCAGUUUGCUCUCUUACUUGUUUGUUUACAGAAGCUCUACUUUUUACUCAUUUUUACUUGUAAUUUUUUCUUCUUGUUUUGUUUUGAUUUCUGUUGCGGCUGUGGUUUUUCAGUUUACUUGCUGUUUGCUCUCUCAAUGGAGUUCGUUAUUGGCAUCGUUAGCUCUAUUUUCACUAAAGCUGCAGAGUAUACGAUUUCUCCUAUCAUAAACCAUGUCAAAUACCUUUCCAAUCAUCAGCAAAAUGUUGAGACCCUCAAGGACCAAGCUGAGAAGCUGAAAGAUGCAAGGGACAGAGUGCAGCAUUCUGUUGAUGCAGCUCAACGAAACGGCAAAGAGAUCGAACGUGAUGUUAACAACUGGAUGUCGGCAGUGGACAGGAAGAUCCCUGAACAAGUAGAGAAAGUGAUGCAAGAUGAAGAAAAGGCAAAGAAAAAGUGUUUCAUUGGUUUGUGUCCUAAUUUUUGGACUCGUUACAAGCAUAGCCUGAAAGCUGCAGCGGAGGCGAAGGCUGUUGCCGAGCUACUUGAACAGGGCAAGUUUGGCGGUGUUUCUUAUCCUGUACCUUCACAGAGUAUCACUGUCCCACCGGGUAAAGGUUAUGAGGAAUUCGAGUCAAGAACGUUGAUUUUGAACGGAAUAAUGGAGGCACUAAAAGAUGAUAGCAUCAUCAUUGUUGGGGUGCAUGGUGCGGGUGGGAUUGGAAAAACAACGCUGGUCAAAGAAAUCGCUAGAAAGGUCAAGGGCAAGUUGUUUGAUUCAGUUGUCAUAGCAACUGUAACUCAAGCCAAGGAUAUUAAGAGGAUUCAGAACGAAAUUGCAGACUUCUUGGACUUGAAAUUUGAGAAACAGAGUAUGGUUGGAAAGGCAAUUCAACUAAGACAAAGAUUGAAGAAAGAGGAGAGGAUUCUGGUUAUCUUGGAUGACAUUUGGCAAGAGUUUGAUAUUGAGGAAGUAGGGAUUCCUUUGGGAGAUGAACACAAGGGCUGCAAAUUACUAUUAACUUCUAGAUACCUCAAUGUUUUAUCAAAUGGGAUGGAGUGUCCUCAGAUUAUAGCUAACCUUCCUAAGGAGAUGGAGUGUUCAGGACUUUCCUUUUUCCAUAUGGCCUAUGAUGGCACGGAUAAAAUUCCUCUCAAUUUCUUCAAACAAACCGAAGGCCUGAAAGCCUUAGAUUUGGUCGGAAUUCAGUUUCAAUCCCUCCGUGAAUCAAUUAUUCACCUUGCAGACCUUCGCAUGUUGUGUCUGAAAAAAUGUGCAGUUGAUGACAUAACCAUCCUUGGAGAGCUCAAGAGUUUACAAGUACUCAACCUUUCUCAGUCCGGUAUCAAAGAACUACCCAAGGAGAUGGCACAAUUGACUCAAUUAAGGUUGUUAGAUUUGCGUGGGUGUAGAGAACUCAAAAUCAUCCCACCGAAUGUCUUAUCAGGUUUGUCUAAAUUAGAAGAAUUAUAUAUGAGUGGGAGCUUUGUUGAAUGGGAAAAGGGAGGAGUAGUUGAAAAUGAGAGGAAAAAUGCAAGCCUUGAUGAAUUAAACAAUUUGCGUUAUCUAACUACUUUAUAUGUUCGUAUUCUUGAUGUCCAAAUGAUACCAAAACACCAGUUUGUUGAAAAAUUGGACAGAUUCAGGAUUUUUGUAGGUAAUUAUGGAAUAUAUGAUUGUUGCCAUAAUUAUGAAUCUCCGAAAGCAUUGAAGCUCAUGUUAUAUACAAACAUUGAUUUGGACAAUGGAAUGAAAAUGUUGUUGAAAAAGACAGAAGAUUUGUGCCUAGAGGGACUUGAAGGCGUCAAGAAUGUACUUGUGGAGUUAAAUAAUGGGAAAGAUCUUCCAAAUUUAAAGAGACUUCAUGUCAAAAAUGGUAGGCAUGUCCAACAUAUUAAAACGAACAAAAUUGGAUUUUCUGAAUUAUGUUUCAUCACACUUGAAAAUCUACCGCAACUCGUUAGCUUUUGCUCUCCAGACGAAAGGUGUUCCACUAAGCCCUUACUACUUUCCAAUAAACAGGUAUUUGUUUGGCUGUACUUAUAUUUUCUUAUACAACUUUUAUUUAUAUGCCCAUUAAUACUUCUAAUAAUAGAAAUAUAUAAUAUUGUGUAAUGGUUUUUCCGGAGCUCAAAAAUAAAUUUCAAAUCUAAAAUAAAUGAAAAUUUAAUUUUUAAUUCAAACCGAUUGAAAGUACAGAGUCAAUUCAAUAAUCUAAAUUUAAACCGAAAUUUUUUUUUAAUUCUGAAAAUAAAAUUUGAGCCCACAAAUCGAACUAAAAUUAUCUUUAAAAUUGAAAAUCAUAUUUUCAAAUUAUGUUACAUACUAUCUUUCCCUAUCGAAAAAGAAUUGUGUGUAAAUAUGUGCAAUUUAUUUUCCCUCACUUGGAAAGCUUGUAAUUGUGUUCCAUUAACACCAAAAUUAUAUGGCACAACCAGACAUGUCAUUGGGUUACGAAUUUGAGGAGCUUGAUCAUCAAAGGAUGCGGCAAGUUGGAGCAUCUGUUAUCACCCUCUCUCGCUAGAAGUCUGGUGCAGCUCCAAUGCUUUGAGAUAGAGGAUUGCAAUUGCUUAAGGGACAUAAUACUUACAGAGGAAAUUGAUGAAGAAAGGAAAGAUGUGAUUUGUUUCCCUCGAUUAAACUCCCUGUAUAUAGAUGGUCUUCCAAACCUCAUCUUCUUCAACUCAGGAAACCACAAUAUUGAGUUCCCAUUGUUGAAAGAGCUAAGGAUUAGGCGUUGCCCCAAGUUAAUAGAAUUCAUUAGUCAGAAUAGUAAUCAGUCCGGCAUGCACGCUCUCUUCAGUGAGAAGGUGAUUUAUUUCAUUAGUCUUACACUCUUGCAUAAAUCUGUUGAUUUGUCCUUGUUUUUUUUUUCUACCUUCAUUAUUUGAGCUAACCUUAUUAUGGGCAUGGAUUAUAUAUAUAUAUGAAUAGGUUGCAGUUCCUAGCUUGGAAGACAUGCAUAUCAGUGACUUGAGUAAUGUGAAGAUGAUAUUUUAUAAUUGUUGGAGCUAAGUGCAACAAAUAGCAAGGUUCAACAAAAAGCUUGCCGAGCAAGAAUCGAGACUUGCGGCAGAAACAAAGAAGAAAAAUGAAAUAAAUUUUAAGCAAAGCUAAAAUAGAGAGUAUAUGGAUGAAAUCUUGAUUGAAUUCAUUCAUUUUUUUUAAAAUGGCAUAAAGCCUAUUUAUACAAGCUUACAACUUGACAACUUAGUUGGAAUACAACUAAGUUUCAUUAUUACAUCCACUUAAAAUAAAUCACCACCUACUACCACUAACAAACUUAGUUGGAAUACAACUAAGUUUCAUCAUUAUAUCCACUUAAAAUAAAUCACCACCUACUACCACUAACAAACUUAGUUGGAAUACAACUAAGUUACAUCAUUACAUCCAAAUAAUAAUAAUAAUAAUAAUAAUAAUAAUAAUAAUAAAACAUGUGAUUGCUACAUGCUAACCAUUGCUUCAAUACUCCUCCUUGGUUUGCAUGGAGCAAACACCUAGCUUCCUUCUUAGACAUUCGAACCUUGUGACAUUAAGGGCUUUAGUCAAAAUGUCUGCAAGUUGAUCCUCAGAAUUACAAUGGAUCAGCUUCACUUCCUGAGCUUGCUCCAUUUCUCGAACAACAUGCAACUUGAUGCUGAAAUGCUUUGUUCUUUCAUGGAACACUGGAUUUUUAGCAAUUGCAACUGAAGAUUGGUUGUCACAGAAGAUCUCAGUAGCUUCCUUUUGAUGCACUUUCAAAUCAGCUAAGAUUUUCCUUAGCCAAAUGACUUGGUUGACAGCACUUGCAGCUGCCACAUAUUCUGCUUCAGUAGUAGAUUGAGCCACCAGACUUUGCUUCUUCGAGCUCCAGCAAAACAUGGCUGAACCAAGGUUGAAAGCAUACCCUGAGGUGCUUUUCAUGUCAUCUAUCGAGCCAGCCCAGUCACUAUCAGUGUAGCCAACCAGCUUCAGAUUUCCUUCCUUGCUGUACCUUAAACCAUAGCUCAAAGUGCCUUUGACAUAUCUAAGCACUCUCUUAGCAGCUUGUAAAUGCUUUUUAUUGCAACAAUGCAAGAACCUUGAGAGCAAUCUUACAGCAUACAUUAUGUCUGGUCUAGUGGCAGUUAAAUAUAACAGACAACCAACUAGACUUCUGUAGGUUGUUUCACAAACCUUCUCAAAAUCACCUUGGCUCGAUAGUUUUUCUCCAACAGCAACAGGUGUUUUAGUUGCUUUACUGUUUUGCAUGGAGAACUUGGUCAGAAUCUUUGUGGCAAAGUUUCUCUGACUUAGAAAUAUCCCAUUUUGUGCUUGAGUCACCUUCAUUCCAAGGAAAUAAGACAUUUCCCCUAGAUCAGACAUUUCAAAUACUUCUUGCAUCUUGGUCUUGAAAUCGACCAGCACUGCUCGAUCUCCUCCUGUCACCAACAGGUCAUCAACAUAUAGGGAUACGAUGAGCUGUGUUUGUGUCCCUUGCUUCUUGACAUACAGUGUUGGCUCACUCUUGCUUCGAUCGAAUCCCAAAUUAGUCAAGUAGCCAUCGAUUCUGCUGUACCAGGCCCUUGGAGCCUGUUUUAAGCCAUAUAGGGCCUUCUUCAGUUUGUAGACCAUAUGCUCUCUGCCAGCUAUCUCAAACCCUUGUGGUUGUUCAACAUAGAUCUCUUCAUCUAAGAAACCAUUCAGAAAGGCUGAUUUCACAUCGAGUUGAUGGAUCUUCCACUCGAGCUGUGCUGCUAAGGCAAUCAGUAAUCUGAUGGUGUCUAGCCUGGCCACUGGUGCAAAGGUCUCCAGGUAGUCCAGGCCAUACCUCUGACUGAACCCCUUGACAACUAGCCUUGCUUUCAGUUUGUUCAAGGUACCAUCAGCAUUUUGCUUGGCUUUGUACACCCAUUUCACCCCAAUUAUCUUCCUUUUGACUGGCCUUUCAACUAAUUCCCAGGUCUGGUUCUUCUCAAUCAUGCUAAUCUCCUCAGCCAUUGCCUGCUUCCACUCUUGCUGAGCUUCAGCCUUUUCAAAAUUGCUUGGUUCAACUAUGACUACAUGAGCUCUUUCAUAAAUCUCAGUCAAUGGUCUUGUUCCUCUAACUGGUUCAUCAUCAAUGUCCAUUUCAGGAACAUUUUGAUCUGGCUCAGCUUGAUCUGCUGCAAGUCCUUCUGAAACUUCCUCAGGUUCAUGUUUUUCCCAGUUCCAACAUGACUUUUCAUCAAAUACCACAUCCCUACUGACUGACACUUUCUUUGUUGAAGGAUCCAAGAUCCUAUAAUCCUUCUUAACAGUGCUGUAGCCCACCAAAAUACCAGGUCGAGCCCUUUCAGACAAUUUGUCCCUUUUGACAGCAGGUACAUGAGCAUAACAGAUGCAUCCAAAGACCUUCAGAUGAGCCAGUGAUGGCUUGAAUCCAAACCAGGCUUCGAAUGGAGUCUUCUGAUCCAAGACCUUGGUUGGAAGCCUAUUUUGAAUGUAGUUUGCAGUGUUAACUGCCUCUGCCCAUAGUGCUUUAGGCAGAUUCUUCUGAAUCAUCAAGCACCUGGCCAUAUCCAUCAAACUCCUAUUCUUCCUUUCACUUACACCAUUUUGCUGAGGUGUAUAUGUGUUGGUAAGUUGAUGUUUGAUGCCUGCCUUAUCACAGAAGGCUUGGAACUGAGCUGAGGUGUACUCAGUCCCAUUAUCAGACCUUAUAGACUUCAGCUUGCAACCUGUUUCAGUCUCAGCAGCAGUCUUGAACUUCCAAAAUACUGAGGCCGCCUCUGAUUUCUGUUUUAGGAAGUAAAGCCAACAAUAUCUUGAAAAAUCAUCAAUGAACAGUAUGAAGUACCUGUUUCCACUUAAUGACUCAGUCCUCAUAGGGCCACACACAUCAGUGUGCACCAGUUGGAGUUUUUCAGAGGCUCUCCAGGCUUGAUUCGAGGGAAAUGGGAGUCUGGCCUGCUUUCCUAGCUGACAUACUUCACACACAUCAUCAUGAUCCACUGAGUUGAUGAAGUUUUCAGCCAAGUCCUCUCUGACCAUUCGAGCCAUCGAUCUGAAGUUGGCAUGUCCCAGUCUUUGAUGCCAAAGCUUAGAUUCAUCUGAUGUGACUGUGUAGGCAAUGUCUGACUCCCUGGUCCAGUCAACUACAAAGCUCUUAUUAGCCAUAGGAACUGCCAUCAGCUUGGAUCCACUUGGAUCAUUGAUUUGGCAUUGGUUGUCUUUGAACACAACAGAAUAACCUUUCUCCAGCAACUGAGCUAUGCUGAGCAGGUUUCUGUCAAUUUUAGGCACCAAAAGCACAUUUGAAAUCACUUUGGCACCUGUGGGGGUGCAUAUCAGCACAUCACCCUUGCCUUCAGCUUGAAUAAAAUGUCCAUUUCCUAUCUUGACUUUAGUUCUGCAGCUUCUGUCUAAAGACUUGAAGAUUGCAGCAUCAGGUGUCAUGUGGUUGGUGCAUCCACUGUCUAGAAGCCAACCAGAUGAGAACCUUUCUUGAGCAGCUGAGCAUAACACAGCAAAGACUUGCUCCUCUUGGUCACCGUCCUCCUUAGCUACUCGAGCCUCAGCUUUCUUCUGUUGAAACUGACUCUGCCUUGAUUUGGCCUUGCUCUUGCAGACUUUCUCAACAUGACCCUUCUUUUUACAAUGCUGACAUACAUCAUCUGGAUUGAACCAGCAUUUUUCUUUUGGAUGACCAGCCCUUCUGCAGUGCUUGCAAGUCUGACCCUCUUUUCUUGCAACAUCAGUCCUUGGCUUGUCUCUCUAGGCCUUCUUGCCUUUGUAGGCAGUGUUUGUUCUUGCCUGAAAGGCACCUUCUUGAUGCUCCUCCAGUCUGCUUGCUCUUCUUUGCUCUUGAGCAUAUAAAGCAUUGAUAAACUCUGUCAGGGAGAUGGUGUACAGGUCCCUUGAGUCCUCGAGAGAUGAGAUUUUUGCCUCAUACCUCUCGGGCAGAGUUGCAAUAACCUUCUCCACUAUCCUAGCUUCCUUGAGCUGCUCUCCAAGGAGCCUUAUGCUGUUAACCACAGCCAUAAUCCUGUCAGAGUACUGCUUGAUAGUUUCUUCUUCCUUCAUCUUCAAAUUCUCAAAAUCUCUCCUUAAGUUCAGCAACUAUUGCUGCCUUGUCCUCUCUGUCCCUUGAAACUCCUCUUGCAACUUGUCCCAGGCUUGUUUUGGUGAUUCACAGGCCAUAAUCCUUGUGAAAAUCACAUCUAACACUGAGUUCUGGAUGCAAGACAUGGCUUUGUGCCUCUUAGUCCUCUCAUCAGCAUGCUGCCUGAUUUGAGCCACUAUUGGAUUGCCUCUAAGUGGCUCUGGUUCAACAUCUGAGUUGACUACCUCCCACAGAUCGAAAGCUUGUAGGUAGGUCUUCAUUUUAACCACCCAUAUGUGGUAGCCUUCUCCAUUGAAGACUUGAGGUGCAGUUGGUGAAAAGCUUGAUGAAGCCAUGAAUUUGUAUAACAGAUCCCUUAAGAAAUAGGCUCUUGAUACCAAUUGUUGGAGCUAAGUGCAACAAAUAGCAAGGUUCAACAAAAAGCUUGCCGAGCAAGAAUCGAGACUUGCGGCAGAAACAAAGAAGAAAAAUGAAAUAAAUUUUAAGCAAAGCUAAAAUAGAGAGUAUAUGGAUGAAAUCUUGAUUGAAUUCAUUCAUUUUUUUUUAAAAUGGCAUAAAGCCUAUUUAUACAAGCUUACAACUUGACAACUUAGUUGGAAUACAACUAAGUUUCAUCAUUACAUCCACUUAAAAUAAAUCACCACCUACUACCACUAACAAACUUAGUUGGAAUACAACUAAGUUUCAUCAUUACAUCCACUUAAAAUAAAUCACCACCUACUACCAUGUAAUAGCCCGAUUUUAGGCUUAGUCGGAACAGUGGUUUCGGGACCACAAAUCCGACGAAAAAAAAAAUGUAAUGGCUUGAAUUUUCAGAGGUGUCAGAACGGUGAUUCGAGAUCACUAAAUUCGACAAAUGGGUAGAAAAUAUUAUUAAUUUAGUAAGUAUAAGUUAAAUAUGAAGUUAGGAAAAUUUUUGAAAUAGUGAAUAGUGCACUAGAAAUAAAUAUUAAAAUAAUUAGAAUCGAAAUGAGGUAUCAAGACCUCGGGGAUUUUAAACUGAGCCAUAAAUAUUUUUAUAAAUAUUUAUGGAGUGUUAAAAAGUUAGUAUUAAAGUUUCGUUAAGAAAUUUUAAAGUUCCGAUAAUUAAUUGAACAAAAAGGACUAAAUUGUAACAAAUGCAAAAUUUUGGAAAAUGAUUAAAUAACUUAAAUGAUAAAAGGAAGAGGGCUUAAAAGGCAAAUAGACCCAAGGUCUAUUUGGGCUGGACGGCAGAGGCAUGAAAUCAGCAAAAAAGUAAGGAGAAUUAAGGGCAAAAUUGGAAAAUUGCAAAAUUUGCUUAAUAAAGUUAGGACCCAAGUGGAAUUAUCUAGAUUUCUCUUCAUUUUUCUGAAUUCUCAUCAGCUAAAACACCAUGGAAGGGCUUCUUCAAGCUGGUUCUUCAUAUUUUUAUUACAAGUAAGUUCAAUUCUUGACUAUUUCUUGAAAUUUUUGUAUUUUUAUGACUUUUACAACUAGGCCCACUUGUUAAAUCCAUUAGUUUUUGAUUUUAUGAAAGAAUUUGAAAGUUGAUAUGAAUAUGUGCUGGAAGUAUAUGAUGAUUUAGCAUGAAAUUAGAGAUUUAAAUUGUUCAUAUGCUGAUUUUAUUGAAAGAAUUGAAUAGAAAGUGAAUGUUUGGGACCUAAUAGUAAAAGAGUUUGAAGAUAGAGUUAUAUGUGGAAAUUCUGAAUUUCAAUAGUUGUGUAACAACUUAUAAUGUCUAGUAAAGUACUAAUUGAGAAAAUUAGAUUAAUUGAGGGGUUAAUUGAGAAAGGACCGAAUUGUAUAAACUGUGAAAUUUGGGGCAAAAUGGAAAUCAACAUUUUGCACUAAAGCAGUUUUGGACAGCAGCAGUAGUGUAACUUUGAAAAAUCACCAAAAAUUGUAGAGAUUGAAUUAGAGGAUGAAUAAAAUAUGAAACUAAAGCUUAUUGAGUCUAGUUUCUUAUAAAAGAAAUGAUGUGAGCAAUGGAAUUGUAAAUCAUGAGAUAUAAUAGAUUUUGUGAGACAAGGUCAGAAUGAAUUCGGGUUCCCCUGUUCUGACUUUGGAAAAAUCAUUAAAAAUUGUACAAAAAUGAUUAUGAGUUAUAGUUUAUAUGGUUAGAAUCCUUAAUGAGUCUAUUUUUAGAAGAAACAAGCUAAAACAUCAUCCGAAUUCUGUACAAUGAGAUAAUUAAUUUUUAGUGAAGAGUGGUCGGAACUGUCAGACAGCGAAACAGGGGAAACUUUAAAGAAUAAACUGUACUAUUUGGCUGAACCAAAAAUUAUGAAAAUUUUAUGGUAUGAAGAUAUGUGAGUCUAGUUUCAGGGAAAAUUAACGGAUCUUAAUUUGGAGCUCUGUAUCUCCGGAUAAAAAUAUUUUAGUGACUCUGACUCGGAUAAACAGCUUUGAAUAUACAUGUUAGUAAAUAUUGAAAUUAUGGUUAAUGUUGUUUAAGUGUGUUAUACACAUUAAGGAUGUGGAAUGGAGAGGAGGAGGAGGAAAAUUGGGAAAUAUAUGAAUGAUUCGUGUAUAAAUGGUCAUAUGUUUGAUUAUAACUCAUAAACGAUGAAAUAUGAAUGAUGCUUAUUUUUGUGCAUUAUUGGUCAUGGUUUAAGCUCAUGUGUGAAAAUAAAGUUUCAUAGUAUGUGUGUAUGGUAUAUUCAGUAUAUGAUUUGGCAUGAAAUAAUACCAUGAAUGGUUUAUGAAUUAACACAUGUUGGUAAGCCUGAUAUAUGAAUAAAUGAUCAAAUUGAGCGGAACGCCGGAUUUGAGUACUUCUGAUCAAGUGACAAAGUGAUAAGUGGUAGCUUUAGCUACACUUAUCUGAUCAAGUGACAAGUGGAAAGUGAUAAGUAAUAGCUUCGGCUAUACUUAUCUGAUCAAGUGACAAAGUGAUAAGUGAUAGCUUCGGCUACACUUAUCUGAUCAAGUGACAAGUGAAAAGUGAUAAGUGAUAGCUUCGGCUAUACUUAUCUGAUCAAGAGACAAAGUGAUAAGUGAUAGCUUUAGCUACACUUAUCUGAUCAAGAGACAAAGUGAUAAGUGGCUACACUUAUCUGAUCAAGAAACAAAGUGAUAAGUGGCUACACUUAUCUGAUCAAGAAACAAAGUGAUAGGUGGCUACACUUAUCUGAUCAGGGACAAGUGAUAAGUGAUCAUACGUAAGACCAUAGUUAUCCUAUGGCAAAGUGAAAGUGAAGUACUCAAUUUUCCGUGACCGUUCCCUAAUUUGAUUAAGGAUGGUAAGUGACAAAUGGGCCCAAAAGAAUUAAAGUAAAUGGAUAAGUGGUAGUGUAUUUAUAUCAGGACGAUGUUGUUAUUCAAACUAAAGUGAUAUUUUCAUUGCUAAAUUGAGAAUUUCAUAAAUGUGUUAUUGAAUGGUAUAAUCAAUAAACAUUGAGUUAAAUGGUAAAUACGUAUUAGUUUUGAAUUUGAUGUCAUUGAAUUGUACGUGAAUUAAAUGAAAAUUGCUAGUGAUAUGAUUUAAAUUAUGAGCAUGAGAAAUUGCGAAUUGAAUGAAAUGGAAAUGAAGCAUUAAAUUGCAUGAGUAUGUAUCGGGUCUCGCAGGCCCUAAUUAUUAUGAUUAUAAUAUUUUGAGGAUAUAUUGUGAAAAGUUAUAGAAACAUGUUAAUUAUUUUGAAAGUUUUAAUUUUGAUGAAAUUUUAUAACUCGGUUAAAUACGUUUACAAGUGUAUGUGUUUUGGUAAUGCCUCGUACCCUAUUCCGGUGUUGGAUACGGGUAAGGGGUGUUACAUACCACCAACUAAGUUUCAUCAUUACAUCCACUUAAAAUAAAUCACCACCUACUACCACUAACAAACUUUGUUGGAAUACAACUAAGUUACAUCAUUACAUCCAAAUAAUAAUAAUAAUAAUAAUAAUAAAACAUGUGAUUGCUACAUGCUAACCAUUGCUUCAAUAAUAAUGACCUACCACCAGGUUCCUUUAAAAAUAUACGAAAAGUAAGUGUUUGGGGAUGUGGGAGUUUGAAAAAUCUAUUUCCAGUAUCAAUAGCCAAAGAUCUUCCACAACUUGAACAUUUAAGCAUCACUGGUUGUGGAGUUGAGGAGAUUGUAUCGAAAGGGGAUGGAGUGGAGGAGCAGCCUGUGAGGUUUGAGUUUCCGCAAGUGUCUUACCUUGACGUUUCAUUGGUAGAAAACCUCAAAUGUUUCUAUGAAGGGCAACAUACAAUAGUCUGGCCGAUGUUGAAGAAAUUGACAACAGAUAGGUCUGCUUUGCCAAAGAUAGUGGCAUCGGAACAUCUUAGAUUAAUCCAAGGAAAUGAGGAGCCAGUUUUGUUGGGUGAAGAGGUAUGUAUAUCAUUACAACUAUAUUUCUUUUUAUGAUUUAAACCACUGCCACAAGCAUCUCAAGUUGAAAUAUGCCACGAUCAUGCAUUUCUAAUUAUUAUAUUUUGUUUGGUUUGGAUUUUUUUUUUCGUAUUUUUGAAUUUUCACUAUAUAUAUAUUUUAAAUUUUUUGUUACAUUUAUAAUUAUUUUUUCAAUUUUUUUAAAAACAAGACUGAAUAAACAUAAUAGGUAAAUAUUGAGUGAAUACAGUUCAAUUUGAUAAAAUGUAUAAAUAUUGAGGGUUAAAUUUAUUAUUAUGUUAAAAAGAUGCUAAAAAAAAUAAAAAUAUUUUAUUUGUUUUUAAGUAACCAAAAUAAAAAUAUUUUAACACUAAGUGACUAUAUAUGUAAUUUACCCUGCAUUUAAGUAGUGGAUCGAAACUAAAUAGGAUCUUUAAUUUGCUUUAAAAAAUUGCCACUCAAUAAAAAAUCAAAACUUUAAAAGUUAAUUACACUAGACAUCUCAAACUAGGACCUUCAUUUUAAAUUAGUCCUAAAAUUUAAAACUAUUGAGGUUAUAUCAAUUACGUCUUUCUGUUAUUAAAUUCGUUAAUUUAACCAUCAAAUUAAAUCAGUGUAAUAUUUUAAAACAUUGGUGUUUUAUCUCCACUGUUCUGCUUAUACUUUUUAUCAUAGAAAAAUAUAUAUAACAAUGGUUGUUUAUCUAUUUUAAUUUAGAUUUGCUACUCUUCUUUCGGCUUUCAUGUUCUGUAAUUUUUAUCAGUUUUAAUUCUCAAGGUAUUGUGUUUUCUUAAAACAAAAAAUUCAUCUAUUCUGGAUUCGUUUGAUUUAAUAUUGAUUUUGUUGGGAUUUAAUCAUCAAAAUCAAACACUAAAAUUGUAAAUCUUCUUUCUUUCUUUUUUAAAGCAUAUACAUCAACAUUGAGCCUAACUUGCUUAUAUUUGAUUGGUUUCCAAGGUCAUUCCCAAAUUAGAGGAACUUGAGUUACAAAAUUUUGGUGAUAUGGACCAAUUUCCACCAGACUUGUUUCAACAUAUUAAAGUUUUUGCACUGAGUGGUGGCUCUCCAUUUUCUUUAUUUCCUUUCGUCCGAAGAUUCUACAAUAUGGAAAGACUUAAGUUCUCUUUUUUAGAUUUCAAACAUGUAGUCCCUUGUAAAGGAGACGCCGGGACUCUCCCACCAAUUAGAAAUCUGGAAUUGUUUUCUGCCAGAAAUCUUAAUCAUAUUUGGAGGAAAGGUUCGGAGCUUUACCAUAUUCUUUCUAAUCUUCAAACACUCACAGUUCUGCGUUGUGAUGAUUGGAUAAAUAUUAGAGCCUUCUCAUCAUCUUUACAAAAUCUUACAAUUUUGAAUGUGUCAUUAUGUAAAAUGACGACAAACUUAGUCACACCCUCAGUACUUAAGAAUCUUGUGCAAUUAACGACAAUAAAGGUAGAAGACUGCACUAAAAUGACAGAAAUAGUGGGCAACGAGGGAGACUGUCAUCAGACAAUAGUUGUUAGUAAAUUGAAAUGUUUACAACUAUGCAAUUUGAAGAGCCACCGGGUAAAGAUCUUUUGUUCACAAGCUUUUGUCCACGGUAUUACAACUUCGAGUUUCCUUGUUUGGAAGAAUUAGUUGUGGAACGUUGUCCUUGGUUAAAGAUCUUUUCUGAGGGAGUUUUAAGCACCCCACAAUUACAGAGAAUAAAACAGUCGCGUUACUUUGAGGAAUGGAGUUGGACAAGUGACCUUAAUACCACCAUACAACAGCUCUACACAGAAAAGGUACAAAGUUAAUAAGUUCAUAAUGCUAGUUAGAUUCCUCGUGUCCUAAUACAAUUAAUUUUAUUACUACUUCAAUAACCAUUGAAGAGUGUUAAUCGUUAUUUUGUUAUUGUCUGCAUUUUCUAUUUAUGAUUGCUAUCUAGUGGAAUAAUAUCAGAUUAAUUUUUAGGGUGGACUCUAUGGCCAAUGUGAUUUCAACAUCUCUGACACAUUUCCGGAGUCGAUAGAAAUAUGGACUAGAAACACUCAAGAAAAUUUGGGCAUCAAAAACCUUAGGAGCCUGCACUUUUAUAAAUGUAGCAGCUUGAAGUACAUAUUUACUCCGUCUAUGCUUUUGGGCCUCAAUCUACUACAAAGGAUAAAAGUGAGAGAAUGCAGUUCAAUGGAACAAGUAGUUAGGGAGGAGGAGGAAGCAAUGACACAUAAAUUUACAUUUCUUUCGCUACGCUCCGUAACAAUUGAGUCGUGUUCCAACUUGACAAAUUUCCAUUUGGGAAGUCAAGCUCUUGAAUUUCCACAGCUGAGUGAUAUCAGGAUAGCUGAGUGUCCAAAAAUGACUGCAUUUUCUUCCUCAGUUUCAAGAGAGAGUGGUGAUGCAAGUGAAAACGUGGUUGGCAAAGGGGGCAUCUAUGAUAACACUGCAACUUUUUUCAGCAAUAAGGUAAGUUUGGUAUUCAAUAUAUAUCUGCACAACUUAUUUCACAUUUUCUUUUGAUUUGAUCAACAUGAGUGUGUCUGGUCUACAUAUCCAUACUAGUGCUACACCUUGUCAAAAUUUAAUAUAAUAAAAUCCAUAAAAAUAUUAAUAAAUAAGAUGAUGUUAAAAAAAAAUUGGAGUUUAAAGUAUAAAUAAAUAUAUAAAAUAAGAUUUGAAGGAAAAACUUAAAGUGAAAUACUAAAAAACAAAAAGAAUUUAAGAGAAGUUUAAAAUUAAAUAGUAAUAGACAAUAAAUAAUAAAAUAAUAAUAGAAAAAAGAAAACAAAUCUUCCUUCAUUUUAAUUUGUUGAUGACCUUCACAAAGGUCAUUUGAGAUCAAAGGAGAAGAAGCCUGAAAACAAAAGGUGAGGAGUUUGAAGAAGAAAGAACCAAAUAUAUAGAGGAGAAUUGAAGUGAGAGAGUGGAUGGGUUUUAUUUAAAGAUUUAAUGCUUUUUUUUUUAAUUUCAUAUAUAGAAAAAAUCAUUGAAAGAAAAAAAAGUUUAAUAUAAUUAUUUAAAUUUACUUGUCGGGUUUUUAUAAAAGUAACUCAAAUUUUUUAUUAAUUAUGAAAAUGACUCAAUUUAAAAAUUAUGUACAUAAAUUAUUCGAUUUCUAUAGUGUUUGUCGGUGCCGCUAGACACAAUGGUGGCAUCGACCUACCAUCAUUGACUAAUGAUUGUAUUUUAUUUAAAAAAUAAUAGUUUUCUAGUAGUAUCGUUGGAAAAAUUAGUGAUAUCAAACUAAAGUGUGAUUAUAUAAAAUGUUUGUGGACUUGACAAAGUAAUUAUCCUUUUGAAAUUAAAUUUAAAUAACCCUUAAGAAAUAUAAGAAUAACAAAAAUAAACCAUUCUCAUUUUUUUUUAAAAAUAAACUUAAAAAAUUAUAUAAAAUUCUUAUUUAAAUUACCCAAAUAUAUCCCUCGCACAGCUUCCUCAAGUUUAUCUAAAUUCAAGCAUUUUCAAUUCAUUCCCUAGCAUAUUUAAAUUUAGAUAAACUUAAGGAAAUUUUUUGAGGAAUAUGUUUGGGUUAUUUGAAUAAGAAUUUUAAAUAAUUUUUUAAGUAUUUUUUCAAAAAAUGAAAAUGGUCUAAUUUCAAAAGAAGACAAACAUAACAUGCAAACAGGUCAAAUGUUGAAAAACAUUUAAUUUGGUUCAGAUACCAACGACACCCCUUUUUCAAACAAUCUAAAAACGUUAACCGCUUCAAAAGAUCCCUGCAUGUUUUAUAUAAUCACAUUCAGUCUGGUGCCGUCAAUUUAUUAGACAAAACCACUACAAAUUUUUUUAAAAAGCAAUCAUUGGCUGAUGAUGGAGGCUAAUGCAGUAAGCACUAUAGAAAUCAAGUCAUUUACGUACAUUAUUUUUAAGUUGGAUCAUUUUCGUAAUUAACCAAAAAAUUUUGGUUACUUUUAACUGUCUAGUUGAUGUGUGAAUAUUAACCUUUAGAUCAGUUUAUAAAUCUUCAUACUCAUCUACUCAUUUUGAUUGUCUUUCAAAGUAAAGAAGGAAGAGUGAUACUAUCUUAUAAUAAUAUUUAUGUCAACAGGUUGUCAUUCCUCGUUUGGAGCGUCUGGAUUUGUCCUCCAUCAACAUUCAUAAGAUAUGGCACCACUCAUCCUCCCCAUCUAUCGGAUACCUAAAUUUCUUGCGGGUGAAGAGGUGUCACAAUUUGAAAUACCUGUUCCCGUUUUUCUUAGCAAAAGAUCUUGAGCAACUCCGAUUCCUUGGAAUUUUGGACUGUAAUAUGAUGGAACAAGUAAUAUUCACGGAUGGAUUGGUUGAGGAACAUCAAGGGAGGAAUCAGAUGUUUUUCUUUAAUCAACGUUCGCUGUGGCUAAACGACCUUCCCAAACUCACAAGUUCGUGCUUUGAAAAUUACUUUGAAUUUCACUGUUUAGCAGAUUUAACACUAAGAAAUUGUCCAUUGCUAAAAACAUUCAUCUCUAAAUGUGUACCCGGAGAUGAACCUCAAAUUGGCCAACAUGUACAGGCAAGUAACUUGGAGGUUCAUAACUCAUCUCUCCUCAAUGAAAAGGUCAUUUCUUCACGGAUUCUCCUUUUAAUUUAUUUUACUUCGAUUUAUCUUAUUCAUUUGAAGUUCUUUCUUUUUCAUACAUAUUUCAGUAUUAACCUAAUGAUAUGAUUUAUUAGGUUGUUUUCCCUAGUUUGAAGAGGCUGCAAAUUCAAAAUUGUGAUUUGUUAGAAGAAAUUAUCGAGCUGCAAGGAGUCAUUGCUGAUGAGUCACAGUCAACAUCAGCUGCUCAAUCUAUUGUGGCUGAAACAGUGACGACCAAGUUUGUAUUUCCCAAACUAAUAAACCUGGGAUUGGAUAAGGUGCCAAGAUUGAAAAGUUUCUACUCUAGGAUGCAUACCACCCACUGGCCUUCAUUGAAAAAAAUGGACAUUAUUGAAUGCCCCAAAGUACAGAUAUUUACUCCACAAUGUCCCGGGAGUCAGGUUGGAAUCUCAAACCAACAACCCUUGUUUUGCGUCAAUGAGGUAAGCUCGCGAACAGUUUCAUAUUCCAUGAUCAUUACUUGAGAUUACCUAUAAAAUGCUUUUUGAAAAAACUAAUAUUCUCUCCUCUUUUAAUUUUAUGAGAGUCUAGUUCUUACUAAUUUAAAACUCUUUCAUCGAUGUCUAAUAUAUUCUUUGCCAUCCAGGACACUUUCCCUGUAUUAGAAGAACUAACUCUGAAGACGAAUGAUAUGGGGAAGGGGAUAUGUGAUGGACAACUCUCAUUGCAGUGUUUCCAAAACCUUAAGCAUCUUAACCUCCAAUUCUUUCCCGAGACAUCCACUACUCUUCCGUAUUCCUUCAUUCGGUCACUACCAGUGCUUCAUAAGCUUGUUAUAGACAAUGCUUCCAUUUGUCAAAUAGUACAAUCUGAAGGACUCAGCGACUAGGAAUGGCAUACAUCAGCAUUCUAUCAGCUAAAGGAAUUAAGUUUGUCUCAACUUCCAGAGUUGACGUUAAAGACUUUUGAACCAUCUUUGCUGUCUUUCAAAAAUCUAACAACACUGAAAGUUUCAAGAUGCCAUGGGUUCAUCAAUUUAAUCGCAUGCUCAACAGCUAAGUGCCUGACGCUACUGGAAAGAUUGAUCAUAGAUGAUUGUGAGAUGAUAGAGGAAAUCAUAGCGUGUGAGGCUGAAGAAAUACAAGGCGGCAUUGUAUUUCCCAAACUGAAGUAUUUGCAACUAAGUUGUCUGCCAUGUCUAGCAAUCUUUUCCUUGGCCCAUCACUUGUUGGAAUUCCCAGUCUUGCUAAUGUUGAUGGUGACAAAGUGCCCCCAAAUGAGGAAUUUCUGCCAAGGAGAUUUAAGCACGCCAAGGCUGGAACAAAUGCACUUAACAAGAGAUGAGGAAGGUGAACUGAAGUGGGAAGGCGACCUUAACACUACCAUAAAACAUAUGUUCGAUGAAAUGGUACAAAUCAUUUAAAGGAUUUAAAUUCAUGUGUUUUUACAUACAUACAUACAUAGUUAAUUGAACAAUUCCUGGUUUGUUAUGAUCAUGCACAGAAUGUGCAAAAUUCUGAGGUGACGGAGGUUACUGAUCAGUUGCCCAAUCUGGAAUAAGGAAAUAUGUUUGGGUGCUUAUGCGAAAAGCUCAAUUUCGUUUGAAUUCAAAACAAACGGUAAUUGACUCCUCUAUUUUCAUCAUGGCUUAACUAAUGCUUUAUAAAGUGACCAUAGAGACGCCCUUUUCAUUGUAGGUUGAGUUGCUCUACUGAAGUACGAGGCUGCAACUUUUGGUAAAAUGUGAAAGGUUAUUUCAGUUUUUGUAAAACUACCAUUUGAACUGUUCCAUUUCACAUUAUACCCUCAAAAUUGAACUUCAAGUGCAUCAUGCUUGGCAUUGGGCUACAAACAUGUAAACUUUUACUAGUAAGGUUGACCCCUGUUUUAAGGAUUUGCCAACUUUUGAUGGUUACCAUAUCAAUGUCAGCUUAAAGCUAUCAAGUAUCUUUACAAAUAUAAUAUAUAUAUAUUAUUCCUUAAUGAAGGAUAAAAGUAGGCAGCUAUCUAUUAAUGGUACGGCUGAUUCUGAAAAGACGGCUGAAAUUGAAUCAAUGGGUUGUUGGUAAUUGCCUGAUGGAAGAACAGGGCCUAAUGUUACGUGGAUCCUGAUCAAGUUUUAAAUUUUCAGUUGUAGGCAUUACUGAUUAUUGCCAUUUGGUUGUUGAUCCUCUGAUUUUACGGUUGACUGUCUUGCUUAUACGUUGCAAGGUUGGCGGGUCUCAAGUAUGAAUUUCCAAGCCGGCUGUCAUCCAUAAUUAACUAAGUGUUCCAAUCUGUUGAAAGGUGGUUAGCAUGCAGCAUUGAAGACCACCAUGCAGAAGCAGCAGUUUGCACGAGAAAGCAAGGAUGUUUAGUUUCAUUUGAAUUUUUUUUUUUGUUUAUGUAAUGUAAUCUAGUUCAUUUUGAACUAUGAUAAGAUGAUAUUUGAUGUAAACUUGAUGGUGAUUGAGCUGUUUACCAGCUUUAUUCAUUUGCACAAGUUAUCAUUCCAAUUUACUAGGAAACUUAGUGGUAGUAGGUAUAGUUUUGGUUAACCUACUGUCUUGACAAGCUAGAAGCUUGAUUUAUGUAUUGGCAUUAAGCCUUUUUUUGAUGAAUGAAUUUAAUCAAGUUUUCAUUCAAAAACUCUCACCAUUCUCCUUGCUUUAUUCUUUUUAGUUUUCUGCUUGUUUCUGCUGCAAGUCACGACACUUGCUGCUCAAGCAAUAGGCUGAAACUUGUUGUUAGUUGCUCUCAGCUCCAACAGAAUCCAUGGAGUUUAUGGUUUAUUAGUGUAACUGUCCAUUUGGUUGUGGAUUGGUUCUUAAGGUGUUUUGAUGCUUGUAUGUUACAGUGCCUGCUCCAAGCAACACCCUUUAAUUUCUAAUGAAUUUUAUUUGUUGAGGAAAAAAAUAUGAGGAUUAAUCUGAUAUUUUAUGUUUGGGUUUAUGAAGAUUUUUGUACCUUUAAUGAAAAAAGCAAAUAAAAUAGAGAGGUACAAGAUCACAUCCAUAGAUCAACAAAGGGGUUUAAUAUUUCUAUAAAAAAAGUUGUCCCAAAAAGGCCUUCUAAUGGGAAUUGAAAAAAAAGCUUGUAAAAAUUUACAAAAGGAAUUGAUGAGAAUCUGAUACAGCCAUCACAUGCGACAGCUUUCCCUUAAAAGCAUUCGUGGCUGAGUCUAGUCUUAAUUUUUAUUUGUAUCUUUUAUAUCCGUUUUAUAAUUCAUAUUUAAGAUUUGUAUUAUGCGCUUAAUAUUUCAUUAUUUGUUGUCUAUGAUGCUCAUUCUUGAAAAAAAAAACAAACAAACAAAUGCAAUGCAUGCAUAAACCAUAAAAAAAAUAAAGAACAUAAGCAACUAAUAAUGAAAUAUAUUAAAAUGAAGACCGGUAAUUGAUUUAAGAAUUACCCUAAUUUCGGUAAAUAUAUUAAAACAUGUGUCCCUAAUCUUUUUCAAUUUUGAUAUUGAAAAAAUUGGUAUUCUUAAAAUUAUGAGAGUUAUUCAAUUAUUUUCAUUUUUGAAAUUGAUAAAUUAAGGACAAUUAAUCACAACGUUAAUGUUUUUAUCAAUUAUAUAUGAUUUUCUUGAUAUAAUGAUAAAUUUAGUCCUCAAAGUUUACACAUUCUAUCAAUUUGUUAUUGAUUUAACAAAUUUAACCCACAAUAUUUACACAUUUCGUCAAUUUGAUCAUGAUUUAACAUAUUUAACCCGUAAUAAUUAUACAUUCUAUCAACAUUUACGCAAAAUAUAUAAUCAUCAAGGAUUAAAUUUGUUUUUAUACUAAUCAAAAUUAUGUAUAAUUAACAGAAACUAUUAGCGCUUGAUUAAUUGUUCGUGGUUACUUUCAAAAAAGAUAAGGAUUAAUUUGUUCAAUAUCAAAAAGAUGUUUUUUAUUUUUAUUUUUUAAUUUCAUAGGUAAGAAAAUCUCAAAAAAAAGAAAAUCUUUGAAAUAAAAAAUAGAAUGUUUUAUAUAAUUAUUUGAAGUUACUCUCACGUUAUUUUUACCCAUUCAAAGCUAGCAAGUCUUUAUGUACAAAAUGGUAUAGCUCUGCAAUUUGGAUUAACAUUUUGGUGACCUCCAUGUGAAGUGAAAGAAAAUUGAGAAUGUCACACAAUUAUUAUUUUUGCCUCCAUACCCCUAUGCCACCAAAGAAAGUUGAAUUAUUAAGGCACAAAAGUACUAAGGAGUAGGAGCUAGAAAAAGAGGGGCAUGAAAAUAAAGAGACUUACAUUUAUUAUUUGCAUAAUACAAAAUCAGUCUUUAAUAUUUACAUAUUUUAUUAAUUUGAAUUUUAUUUUUAUUUAGUUAAAUUUAACUUUAAACCCUUUAAAAAAAGUUAAAUUUGAUCAUCAACAUUUUAAAAAGAGUCAAAUUAUUAUUUAACGGAAAUGUUAAAUUUUGAAAUACAUAUAACAAUUCGCGUGUAUUUCAUAUUAUUUUUUUAAAUUUUUUAUAUUUUUUUGAAAUUUUUAUUUUUGAAUAUUGUUAGAAAAAUAUUUGGAACAUUGUUAGUGGAGUUUUUAACCUCCACCAACAAAAUUAAUGGGUUAAUAAGUGUCUUACAGGGAUAUAAUAAAAUAUUAAUAUAUAUAUAUUAAAAUAUAUAUAUAUAUGUUAAUUUUUUUAAAGUUGUGGAAUAAAAAUAAUAUAUUAUUGGCAUACCAAAUACUCACCUUUUUAAUUAAGAUUUAAAAAUAAAAAAUAGUUAGUAAAAUGAAUGGAUUGCAAAUUGAGAAAUUUGAUAUUGAAUAUUAAAAUUUUCUUAAAAAGAAGACAUAUAGCAAGAUAAGAAAGUUAGUGAUUUAUUUGAUUUAAUUUUAAUUUUUAAAUUGAUGCAUUUUAUUAUGAAUUUUUAUUCUUUGUGUAUUUUGUAUAAUUUGUUUGAAAUUUUCAAUUUUCAAUUUCUCACAUGAGUUUGAGAUAUAAAAAAAAUUACUCUUAGGAUUGGUGAAACAGUGGAUACAAGAGUUCAGCUUAUCAUAUAUUGAUGAUUUUGUUCUUCGAAAUAUUGUCUACAGAUAGGAUAUCAGAGUUCUAUUAAUUAGAGUUCCGUUAAAAAGUCGAAAUUUCUAUUUUAGCCUAGGACUCUAGGAGUUCUGUUAUCGAUAUUCUAAUUAUGAUCAUGAUCUAUAAAAAAUAUGAGUAACAUGUGAUACGUAAAUGAAAAUUUUUAUGAUAUGAUAAGUCAUAAAUUAAGUGAAAAUGUAUGAAAGUGUAUGAUUAUAUGAAAGACAAAAAUAAUUAAUUUAAUUUAAUGAUCUGUAAAAUUGAAAAAUGAAAUACAUGAAUUAUAUAAGAGAAUGUUGACGAUCAAUAUGUGGUAUGUAAAUGAGAAGGAAAAAAUUAUAUGACCAAAUACUAAAAUAAAUGAAUAAUGAAAUUAACUAAAUACUUUGUAAGUUCAAUAAUUUAAAAAAUUGUUAUUUUUCCCAUUCAAAGUUGAAAAGUCUUUUAUGUGAAAAAUAGUGUAGCUCUUCAAUUUGGGUAUAACAUUUUGGUCUUCUCCAUGUGAUGUGGAGGAAAAUUGACAACAUCACACAAUCAAAUCCAUUUUUUCUGCCAUACCCUUGUGCCUCCGAAGAAAGUUAAAUUAUUAAGGCACAAAAGUACCAAGGAGUAGAAGCUACCAAAAGAGGAGCAUGAAAAUAAAGAGAGAUACAUAUAUUACUGGCAUGAAAUAUUUACAUUUUUUAUUAAUUUGGAACUUCUUGCCUUUUACUACUAGCUUGAUUUGUAUCAUCGCUCUCACCUUUUUGAGCUUGUAUCUGAUAGUGAAACCAAAGAUUAGUGAAAGCCUUCGCACCAAAACUGAGUUCUAGGAACUGCAAUAGGAUCAAUUUCAACAACUCUAAUGGGAUAUUAAACAUUCCCAACUCUUAAGAUCACCAUCUCAUCAAUUUUACACAAUUAAAAUGAAUGUUUCCCUUCACAAAAGGUUUAGGAUGAGCAGCACCAUCGUCCACACUAAUAAAACUUCCCCAGUGAUUGGCGAUGUUUUUAAAUGUAGAGAUCGGACAAGCAUGGAUCGGAACCCCUAAAGUUGUUCUAUAAUUAACCAAAAUGUUUUCAGACCAUGACUCAACUUUUGUGAACCACCUCAUCGAAAUUUCAAUAAACUCUUUUAUAACCUUCUCCACCGUUAAACUCCAUUAGCAACUUGGAGGCCACCCUCUUCUAACCGCAGAGCAAGGUUCUCAAGAGUACAUAAAUCUCUACACCAUCCCAUAAUACAAAUUGUAGCUUAGAAAGUUUUUCUUCCUCGAUAAUCCCAUCUAUAGGAAUUGACUCUAUCUCUUUCUUACCUGUAGCCACCUCCUCCAUGAAACAAUUCUUGUUUAUAGCUUUUUCACCUCCGAGGGUUCCACUCGUAUCUAGAGAAUCCUUUGAUACCUCCAGAGCCUUUGAAGCGUGCAAAGUUGACCCAUAUUCUAUGUCCAAAUAAAUGGAACCGUUCAGACGAAGCGUCGCCCUUCUUGCAUCAGUAAAGUUUGCGAAUCUCACAAAACCAAAUCUUUCUCCUUUUUAUGAAGACAUCCAUAACCCUGCCGUGAUACUCGAAUAUCUUCCAAAGACCUGUCCAUUGCAUUCGUGGAGGACGAUUCACUACAAAAACAGUAACACAACUCUGUCCAGUGUCCACCACCCAACCCAUUACUCAUUAAUAAAACUCCUACUUCAUCACUUAACUAAAGCUUUCUUUUUGAUAUUUUUAUAUAUUUUAAUUUUGUUUUGUAUUCAAAUAAUUUGAUAAUUAACUUUUAACAAUUAUCCCAUAGUUUUUACUAUAAAUUUAAGGAAGACAAUCUUGAUAAAAUUAGUUUGAGGUAGGAACAGUUUAUUGGAACAGCGUAGUCUUUUAUAGGAUUAAAAAUAUUAAUGCAAGAAAUAAAAAACAAGUGAUUAAAGGUUUAGAACAAGCAAUCAAACUUAUUUUAUGUUAAAAUUUUCGAACAAUAUGAAAAUAUAUAAUUUUAAUUGUUCUUUUACCAAUUAAAUUGAUUUUUGACAGGUUUAACUAUUGACUUAAAAAAGAGUGUUAAUUUGAAUGGUUAAAUGUAAUGAUGCAUGGUUUGUCUGACAUCGUCACAUGGAAAAUGGGAUUAAAAAUGGAAAUUAAGCAAAGGCAAAAUGAAUAUAUUUAUUGUUUUCUAAUUUGGUGUAGGGUGCCAUAUUUGUUGAUAGCCACUCACUAAUACAUUAUAAAUGGAAUAAUUGCCUAUUUUACCUUUUUCAUGAAAUUUAUUGACAUCACCAGCUCAUUUUUCAACCACAUUACUCAAAUGAUUGACAGAGAGAGGUAAAAGUAAUUUAUAAAUGUAUUUCUUUUUUUUCGAGUAUAAUUUGUAUUUAUUUCUAGCCAUUUUUAUAAAGUUAUUGUUUAAAAAAGGGGUAAUUAUCAAAUUCAUAUAUGAUUUGGAUCCAAUGUACAAUUUGAUACAAACUACAAUUUGGUGUAAUUAUACACAUAAACUUGAAUUGUGAUUCAUAUGAGCACAUGAAACUUUGAUUUUGAUUCAAUUGUAUGCAUUUAAUGAAUGUAUACGUUUAAAAAAAAUGAAUAUUUACAUUUAUUUUCAUAUUUGAUUAUAUACAGGGGCGAAACCAGAAAAUUCUUUUAGGGGGCUGAAAUUAAAUUGUAAUUUUUACGAUAGCAAAAAUGUAAUUUCACCAUUUUAAUGGCCUAUAUCUUUAUAAUUUUUAAAUGAUUAAAUCAAAUUUUAUAUUUUUAGCGGAGCAAAGUACAAUUUUACCUUUACUAAUUUAAAAUUUUAAAAGGCCUAAAUAGAAAAUUCACCAUUUCAAGGGGACUGAGACUAGAGGUGAUCAUGGGUUGGGCCCACCCGAAAAAUAGGAGGGUCCAAGUAAAAAUAUAGACCCAAAAUAUGGGUUUCGGCAAAAAAAGAAGCCCGUUUAAAAAACGGGCCGGGCUCGGGUAAAAAUUUUUUGGCCUAGGCCCAACCCGACCCGGCCCGAAUUAUAUAUUAAAUAUAUAUAGUUUUUAUUUUUAAUCAAAUAUGUAUUAAAUAUAUACUUUUUUGGUGUUGUACAAUUUGAUAUGGGUUGGGCUCGGGCUUAGCAAUUUUCUUUUGGGCCGAGCUUGGAUAAAUUUUUAGGCCCAUAUUUUGGGCCCAGCCAAGCCCGAGCCUAAAAAAUGGGCCUAAAAUUUUGUCUGGGCCCUGCUCAGCCCAUGAUCACCUCUAACUGGAACCCCUGUCAGCCCCUUAGUUUCGCCCCAAAUUAUAUAAUAGUUUGUAUAUGCAAUAUAUCAACGUAAAAUUGUGCUAAUUCAAUAAUAUUGUUAGUGAUUUCUGAAAAUUGAAUCAAAUCAAUAUUUCAUAUAUAAAAUUGUACAAAAUCAAAGUUCAUAUACAACAUAAAUAAAUAAAUAAAAAGUUCAUAUAGAACAAUAUACAUUAAAUCAAAAUUUAUAUAUAAUUUUGAUAUUUAUCUCAUUCUUUAUUAAUUAUAACGUGUGAACGAGGUGAAUCCAAAUUUUGUCAUUUAUUUUCCUACCAUCUUUGCGAAAUAAAUUUCAACUUAAGAAGGAAAAAAUAAUUAACAUUUUCAAAUUCUAUCAAGAUAGACAUGUUCAUAGGUCAGACUCUCGGCUUAGGUUCAAAAGUUCACUAAAAUUUUGGGAGGGUUUGGAUAAAAAUAUCAUACCCAAAGAAUGGACUCGAGCAAAAAAAAAAGACCUGUUUAAAAUAUGGGUCGGGCUCGGGCUUGAAUAUUUAAGGCUAGACCCGUUUUAAGUUUAUAAUUUUUUAUAUUAUGUUAUUUUUUAUAUAUUAUGUAAUUUAGAACACAAUAAAAAAUAAACAUAUAGUAAAUAUAUAAUAUAACUCUAAUGUAAACAUUAAAAUAAUAUUAAAAUGACUAUAUAAAAAAUUUCAAUAAAUAAAAAUGUAUAAAUAUUAAAAUAAUAUAAUAUAAAUACUUUUUAAAAAAAUUAAAAAAUAAUAUAAGCGAACCUAAAAUGGGUUUAGAUUAGUUUUUUGUAAAUAUGGGAGUGUUUUGACAAAAUUUUAGGCCUAAAUUUCAAACCGGACCGAACUUAAACAAAUAUAAAAUAUCUUAAUAUCAUGCUUAAACCAACCUAUGAACACUUCUACAUAAAAAUAAUAUAGACGAAUUGAUGUCGUUUAGUUCCACAAGGUCAAACUUCAAAUUAAUACGAGUGUAUUAUUAAAAGUUUUCGUCCUCGCAUUACUUGUAAUUAGUUUAUGUCUUUUAAUUCAUUGAGAAGUAACAAGCAUGUAUGGAUGUCCAUUGUACAGGCCCAUUUUGACCUAAUCCAUUACAACCCAUAACCCAAGCAAAAACAAAACCUACCCAGGCCCAACUAAGCCUAACCCACCAAAACCAAAGCCCAAAUCAGCAACCCAAUUCAGCCCAAUCUACCUAACCCUAGCCAAUUUGUAGAAAAAAGAAACAGCAGCCACCCUAGGUGCGCCGCACCUAGGGCCUUCGUCCACCUACCCCCUGCCACCGCCUCUGACCAGCGCCGCACCUGCUCUCUGCCAUCGCCCAACUGCACCUGCAAGAAGAGAAACCAACACGCAACAACAAAUAGUAGACAUAGAUAAAAAAAAUGUUAAAAUCGGCUAUAAAAGCCGAAACCAGAGGAAUGUAAAGGGUUCGGCCCCUCUUUGACGAUUAAAAGAAAUAAAAGUUUUUUGAAAAUCUUAAAGGUGACUACUACCUUUUUAGAUCUGUUUUUUUUUGUUCUUUUAAAUAUUAUUUUUGUUUUUAAAUACAAACAAAUUAAAAAUAAGAAUAAAGGAGAAGGCUUUUUACCUUACCUGCGCCGCGACGGAGGUGGAGGAAGGCGAACGGUUUCGCCCCAUUUUUUGGGUCUUCGGCUUUCUAUUCAGGAGAUUCAGCCCCGGAUCUGUGGCCUGGAGGCCAUGGACUUCAAAAAAGGACGAAAAAGGUCCGAUUUUGAACCUCCGGCGGCCACACACGGUGGCUCUGCGGCGGAGACUCGUCGGAAAUCUCGAGCCGGACCAUGGCCGGACCUGAGAGAAAAAGAGAGAGUUUUCUCUCUGUUUUUUUAAAAAGAAGAUGAAACUGUUUCUUUUAGCUUUUUUUAGUAUUUAUAUUAAACGUGAAACGACGCCGUUUUAGCAAAAGGAUCCGCGCGUCGACCCGACCCGACCCGGAGGAUCCGCGUGUUUUCAGUUUUUGGGAUAUUUCGCGUGCAGUCCCCCUGAUUUUGCAGCGUAUUACAAUUUUAUCCUUUUGUUAUUUUCUCUUAUUUUUAAUUUAGCCCCUGCAAUUUUAUUUUUAUUUCGACUUGGUCCAUUUCAACGCUGCGUUUUGGGGCUGUGGUUUAUUUGCAGUUUUGGCCCUUUCCUUUUCAGCGCGCGUUGCAAUUCGGUCCUUCUUGUUUUUUUAUUUCAAAUUUGCCUAGUAUAUUUGUUUUUAUUUUGAUUUAGUCCCUUUUUAGCAAUCUUAUUUAUUUUGAUUAAUUAUUUUAAUGUAUUAUCAUUUAUUAUUAUUAUUGUUGCAUUUAUUAUUCUGAUUAUCAUUUACCCAUUCGCAUCGUUUUUGGAUUUGGUUAUACAUACAUACUUAUAUAUAUUUUUAUAUUUUAUAACUUAUAUACAUAUAUCUAUAUUUAUAUUCUUUACCUUCACAAAUAUAUGUAUACGUACCUAUAUAUAUAUAUUAUUUUAUAUAUAUACAUCCUUUUACAUUUUUAGGUUUUUAUAUUUUGUUCAUUAUUUAUUUAUUUAUUUACAAUUUUGUUAUUAUUUUAAAAGAAUGCUUUAACUUUAUUUGCUUAUAUAUUCAUUUUGUAUGCUAUUGAUUUGUCUUUUUUUAUUUAUCUUAUCUUUGAUGCUAUUGCUCGUGUUAUUUUACUUGCAUUAUCAUCAUCAUUUCAUUAUACCCAUUUUUAUUUAGAUUUCGAAAAAGAAAUUUUAGAAAUAAGUAAUAUUCGGUAUUUUGGAUCUUCGAGAGAAUCGAGCCCUAACGUAUUGGGUUCCGACUUUCUUCGUUGAACUUAAAUAAUUGAGAUUAUUCUUUUAAAAAUGAUAAAAAGCUCGUUACCGAGAAUUCAAUAUGUUGUGUCCUAACGCAUUGGAUGUGACACGUUAUUUUUUCGAAACGAGAAUUUUUCUAAAUAAAUGUAAUAUUCAAUGUUUAAUAUUUUGAGAAAUUGUGCCCUAACGUAUUGGGUUGCGAUUUCUUCAUUUGAUUUAAACAAUUGAAUAUUCUUUUAAACUUUAUUACACGAAUUUUUUCAAACUCAAGUUAAACGAUAUCGGGAAUUAAAAAAAGGAUCGUGUCCUAACUUACUGGUCGCGAUAUCUUUUUUUAAUCCAAGAUAGUUAAAUAUCUUUUAAAUAAGCAUUUUUCAUUCGCGUAUCGGGAAUUCGAGACAUUGUGUCCUAACUUAUUAGAUAUGAUUCUCUUUCUCGAAUAGCGUGAAAUAUGCCCCUUUUUCAGAAAUUUUUCAACGUUUUAAUACAAGGAUCGUAUUUUUAAAAUUCUUCAAAGUUCUCAAUUUUCGACAUUAAGACAUUAAGUAGUCAAUUAGGUACCAAUUUUGGGCGUAUCGAGGGUGCUAAUCCUUCCUCGUGCGUAACCGACUCCCGAACCCGUUUUUCUGAAUUUCGUGGACCAAACUUGUUGUUUUAAUAAAAUCAAACCGUUUAUUAAAAACAACUAAUUUUAAGGUGAUCCAAUCACACCUCAUAAAAAAGGAUUGGUAGCGACUCCCGUUUCUUUUUUCAAAACCCAAGUCGACCCCGUUUUCCAUCCAAAAAAUGGUGUCAACAUCCAUCUUCUACCAUAGUUGUCUUCUAAAGAACUUUAUAAAGGGAAGCUAUGCCACUCUAUUUAAGGGUUGGUUUUGGAGAUUAAAGUGUAAUUUUAUCAUCAUAUUAACUUAAGUUUUUUUUUUAAAUUUAAAAACGUGUAAAUGGUAAAUUUACUAUUUUUGGAAGGUCAAGGCUAUUGCUUCCCCUUAUCUUUGCCCUGCUAGUAGUUGACUAACACGGUCUCAUACAGUAAUACUCUUAUCGAAUAUAAAGCCUUGUUUAAAUGGAGAUAUUUAUAAGAGGAAAAAUACUAAAUAAUGCAAGCUCGCCCAUGCCUGGUCACUGUGAGCCCCUUUGUGAGGAAGCACCUGAUCUUCUCUCGAAGUUACGAGGUUAUUUUGUCAAGUUCUUUAGAGAGAGUUGUCUCACACCCCUAGGUAUUCUCUACCUACCCACUUGUGUCGGUUUUGGGUACACGUACCCUUUUGAUGAAGGUCGUUCAAGCUUUUCCUGGAAGUAUAAUUUUUACUUCCACUUACAAUUUCAUAAAAUAAUAAUUUAUCAAAUCAAAAUUAUUCAAAUACAAAUUCAAAAUAUUUGAAUCAAAAUUAAAUUGGAGCUCCUCACUCAGGCUUCUACUUUUGUGCAUUGAUAAUUCAGUGGCAGCACUUCCCCCUUGCCUUAAUUGUUGAAAAUUGAAUAAAAAUUGUACCUUUCAUUUCCUUCCCUCAGACAAGUUGUUCAUUGUUGCUCCCACUCUUCAGUCUUCUCUAAAAUAAUGUAGGAAUCCCAAGUCACUAUAAUUAGGUGAUGAGGAUGGUACUUACUUUUUUUCCAAUAUCAGGGUAUUUAUCGUUAAUAAUAGUGAUUGAUUUUUUUUGUUGCGAAUUUGUACAAGAGCUUAUGUAAGAGUUUAAUAUAGUUCAAUGAUUAUUUUAUAAUUUUUUAAAGUUAAAUAAUCAAAAUAGAAAUUAAUUAACAAUUUAGCUAGAGAGCUUACACGUAGUUUACCCAAAAACAUAUCGACAUGAUCCCCCAUUGGAGUCCGAAGCCAAAGCUCACAAAUUGGGUUAACAUUUGACAUUUGGGGUUUCAAAUUGAGAAUUAAUUGAAAUAGAUAACAAUUAGCAAUUAAUUGAGAAUAAACAAAUUAUAUUCCAUAUAGUGUAGUAUUGAAUAUAUGUUUACUUCAUUAAAGGUCUCUUUUUUAUUCAAUUAAUUUCUCCAACUCAAAUUUAGCAACUUAUUAUGGUACUAUGAGAUUAUAAGAAUGGUUUUUGGAAGUAAAUCAGUGAGUGAAGUUGUAAAAUUACUGAUUUUCGAUUUAAUUACUUUAAUCAUUGGUCUAGUUUCAAUUAAAAAAUUUAUUCAUGAUUUAGCCUAUAAAUUAUAUAUAUUCUCUCACUUUAGUCUAGUUUAGACUUGCCUAUGGCCCUGCUCGAAUGUCCACCUGAAAAGCGAGAUGAUUUAGGUAAAUAUAUAUGCCCAAAAAGUUGGUCUGGAUAAAAAAAUAAUGCUCGUUUUCUAAACGGAUUGGGUCUCAGGUAAGCUUUUCUUGCUCAACCUGGCCCGAAUUUGCAAAAAAAAAAACUAUUGUUGUUUUUUUUACUAUUUUAUCAUUGUUUUUCUAUCAUUUCGUUAUUAUAUUGCUACUAUUUUAUUAUUAUUGUUUGAAUAAUGCAUAACUCUUGUUUUAUUACUAAUUUUGCUACUAUUUUAGGGAUAUUUACUUUUUAAGUUACACUUAUCUCAGUGUUAUAUAUUUAAGUAUUUUUUUUUAAUUUUCAUUUGUUCGGAAACAUUUAUUUCAAAUUUUUUAGUGUAUUUGAUGAAUUAUUUUUUAAAAUUUAUUUUUAUAUUAAAAAUAUAAAAAAUUAAUAUGGGCAGACUAGGCUUUUAACAUUUUAAUCUAAGUUGGGCUUGGAUAAAAUUUUAAGCCUAUUUUUCGAGCUGAACCGAGCUCAGGCCUAGAAAUUAGGCCUAAAUUUUUUACUUGGCCCUAUCAACCCAUGGACAACCCCAGUCUAGUUUCAGUUGGGAAUGAGAAUUACUACUAUUUUGUUGUUAUUAAAUUGUUAAACCAUUGUUUUUUUUUUUUGGUGCCACUUCAAAAAGCCAUUGGGCCUUAGUCAAGACGAGGUAACAUAGAAUAGUUCAGGGUCCUAACUGGAAAAUAUCCCACAUUGAUUAUUGUGAUGUAGAAAGUGGAAAAUAUGUAACGAGCGUCAUUGGAAAGAUGUAUGUCAAACUAGUGGAGCCAUAAAUUGGUAGUUUUCUAAGGUUGGUUUCAAAAUGAAGGGGGAGCUCCCAAGUCAAAAUAAAAUUGUUUAGUAUUUUUUAGUGUUUCCCUUUUAGACAGGUUAAAUUGUGUAUUUAUAUGUAGGGGUGUUCAUUCGGUUAACCGAUCGGUUAAUCGAAUCGAACUUUUUUAAAAAAAAUUAACCGAACGAAAUUUUUUCGGUUAAUUCGGUCGGUUAAUCGAAAAUUAUAUGUUUUUUUAUUUUUGGUUAAAAAUUAACCGAAUUAACCGAAUUAACCGAAUUCCCGAAUUACCCGAAUUAACCUAAUUGAAUCAUACAUAAUUAAAUUAUUUUUAGACUUUAAUACUUUAGUUUUAGUUUUAGUUUUAGAAUUUGUUUUUAUUUAUUAAAUUAUUUGUAAAUUUUAUGAUUGGGUUGGUUUGGGUAAUUGGGUUGGAUUGAAUACUUGGAUUUGGAUUGGGUUUAGGUGAAUAGUGGACCUAUUUAUAUAUUAAUAAUUUUAUUUAUUAAUUUUUUCGGUUAACCGACCGGUUUCGAACCGAAUUAACCGUUAACUGAAAAUUCAUAAAAAAAUUAACCGACCCCCGACCGAAAAAAUUCGGUUAACCGACCGAUUACCGAAUUUUUUCGGUUUUACCCGAAUUAUGCACACCCCUAUUUAUAUGAUAUGAUUACUGUUCACAGAUAUGAUAUCGUAGGUAGGUUCCCAUGCAAAUCAACGUAUACCCUACUUUAGGUUAACAUGUAUUUAUAUGAGGUGGAUUUACAUAGUGCAAACCCACAUCAUGCUGUCUCGUAGAAGGUUGCAAACACCUUACAUGCGAACUCAAAGUGCGAACUGUAAUGGAUCAGUAAUAGUGAAUAUCAUAACAAAAGUAAAUUAAAAUAUUUAAUUCCUUCCAAAUAUUAAUUUCAAUAAUUAUUCAACUCCUAUUAUUUUAUCCUUUUGUAUAUUGAAUUCCUCUAAGCAAAGAAAAUAUCCAAAUUAAAAUUUUUAAUUUUUUUAGACAUAAUAUCAAAUUUAACCUUCAACGUUUACAUUUUUUUGUCAAUUUGGCAAUUAUUCUUUUUUGAGCUAAAUUUGACCCUUAAUCUUUCAAAAAAGAGUCAAAUAUUUUUUUAUGAAAUCUUUUUUUAAUGAAAACAUUAAUAAAAACAUUAAUUUUUUUAACAAUAAUGGUGUGGCAACCCGCAUGGUAGUCCACGUAUACUUCCAUACUAGUAUGACACUAUUUGUAUUAUAUGUCAUGUCAACAAAUAAUUUUAAAAAAGUAUUUAAAAUUCAAAAAAUUAUAAAAAGCUCAUAAUAUGUAAAAUAAAAAAGCAUGAAGUACAUAUAGAUUGUCAUUCAAACUAUCAUAUUUGAAAAUUUAAUGUUAUAAUCGAAAUUUUUUUUAAAAAAAUAACAAUUUAACUCUUUUAAAAUAUUAAUGGUUAAAUUUAACUUUUUAAAAAAAAUUGAAAGUCAAAUUUAGCUCAAAAAAUAAAGAUUAAACUGACAAAAAAUAUAAAUGUUAAAAGGUUAAAUUUCAAAUUAUAUCAUUAUUUUAUUAAACAAACCUUAUUAAAAAUGUAUUUAAAUUUUAUAAAUCUUAUUAAAAUAAUAUUAAUAAUUAUUCAACUCCUCCACACAAAGAAGCAUCCAAAUUAAAAAUAUAUAUUUAAUUCCUUUCAAAUAUUAAUUUGUUCAACUUCUUAAAUUAAGUAAUUAAUCAAUUUUCGUUUUAAACAAAAAACCGGAUAGGAAAACCAUCAUUUUCUCGGGAAACAAACAGAGAAAGCUGCAAACUUUCCAAAUAUAUACCUUACUCGAAAAUCUGCCACGUCUUAUCCUUGAUAUGAUGGUUUCUAACAUUGCCACUUGGCAAGUUAUUCAGUAACAAUGCCAAUCUGCCACCAUUAUGCUUUUCCUUGCAGUACAAAAUUCCAGGAUGCCUUUACUUCUUUUGCCUCUUGGAUCAGCAUUUACUAUCACCAAAAUCAAAAUCCCAACUUUGAAAAAAAAAAAGUUUAAUUUUUAUCCUUUUUUUAAAAAAAUUUAACAAUUUUUUAUUUUCCAUUGUCAACCUUGUAAAAUUCUUUUAUAUUUUUAUGUUUUUAGUGGGAUUUUUACAUUUGUUCCAAAUUAUCAGUUUGUCAAGUUCUUCAUGCUUUCCAUGUCCCAAAGGAUCACAUUUUAUUUAAGAAAUAGAAAAAGACAUUAUUUUUGUUCUUCAUGCAACUUAUAAGUUAUAGAGAAUGAAUUUCUUUGAUUUUAGCAACUAAUAUUAUGAUUCCAACAUUUAGGGUUUUAUAUGUUUUUUUUUCUGUAUGAAUUUGAACUUGAGUUAGCCAUAAAAACCCCACCUUUAAUCUCAAUAUAUGAACUUGGCUUUGCUUCUUAUGGUUAUUAUUGUUUAAUUUAAUUAAUGUCUUGAAAGGGUAUUCUAGUUUAAUUUAAUUAACUAGUCCAUUUAUUUUGAUUGAUAAUGAUGUUGCAGGUGCUUAAUCUUUCCAUUGAAAUGGAGAAAAUCAACUACCAGGACGAGCUGAAGAAAGAGCGUAGGCUUGUUCGGAGUCUCGUAUACGAGAUCGGUUACAGGAAGGAACAGGUGUCCGAAAUGGAACAUAAAUAUGACAAGACAACCACGGCUUUUCAAGAACUCGUUGAUGGCCUUGUAGCGAAAAUUGACUCCAAGGACAGUAGUUUGCGGGAUUGGGAGCUUCGAUAUAAGGAAAUGGGGAAAUGGUACAUAAAUAUGAUGAGACGACCGCAGCUCUUCAAGGACUCGUCGAUGGCCUUGUAGAGAAAAUUGACUCCAAGGACAGUAGUUUACGGGAUUGGGAGCUUCGAUAUAACGAAACCGUGAGACAAUUGAAGGGCGAGAACGCGGUGUUUCACCUUGUGUUUGCUAAAGGUAUACUUUAGAUUAUAUAUUGCAUACAUAGCGAGCAGAAGACUAUGCAUUAAUCCAAUCGUGUACGAUGAACAACAUGUCGUUUUCGAAGUUCCAAGGUUUGCAUUUAGAGCUUUGAUUGAUCUUUAGGCUAUUUUACACAUCUAGUUGCUUAGUAUUAGAUUCGGUGAAGAAGUUGCAACUUUAGGAUAGUGAAGGAGACAUAAAUGUCAGGAUUCGAACCCCAAACUCUGCUUUUAUAUCUGUUAUCACGGGAACCGGAUGAACUUAUGGAAACGAGGCUUGGAACCUAAAAGGAAGCAUAUAUAUUUGAGAUAUUCCGAUUUUCUUCCUGUUGCUAAUGCUUCUAUCAUACACAUUAGGAUUAUGUGAUCUUAUAUAUAUACACACGCAUAUAUACGAGAUACUGAUGAAUUUCUGCCUCCUGUUAUUGCUUAUAUCAUAUGCUUUAUGGACUGUUGCUUUACAUUUUUUAUGCAGAAAUUCAGAAGGAAAGGGAUGAAAAUCUUAAGCUGAAGUGCCAACCUGGCUUUCGAACCAAGUUGGUCGAAGAUUAUAUAUCUCGUAAUGAUAACGAUAUGGAACGAAGUAGCUUGUUGAAUGAAAUGGAAGGGGUUAGCAUACUCAUCUUAAUUUUGGUUUUCGAUAUAUGAACUAUCUUUUGUCGAGUUUGUACCUUUGUGUAAAUGAAUCCUGUUAUCAUGUUUAGGUUCAACGUUUUUAAUGGUUAUGAUUUGCCGAGUAGACUUUUAACAAUUCGGAUUAUAUCUGAUAUAGCCGAAAGAGAAUGUGGCUUGCCAAAAUCUUAUUGAACUCGAGAAAACUACAAGCGAGCAGAUUACUGCUCUAAAGAAAGAGUUGGAGGAAAAAUCAGAAGCGUUGAAAGAUAUGGAAAACCGAAACAGUUGUCUAACGGUGAAACAAGUCCUAACUAAUCAAGAGCUGCAAGAUGUUCGAAAAGAAUCCAUACGUGUAUUUUUCAUGUUUUCCUUUGCUUCCUCCUAUGUUUCCUCUUCGAAAUCGGGUUUAAACUUGAAAGUGUUAAACCCAAGACUUCUCUGGUUUUUGAUGUGCAGGGUUUGAACGAUUUUCUGAAUAACCAGACUAAUCUUAAGAGUGAAAAGAACGGGAGAGAUUGAUCAAAAAGCAUUCAAAGUUGCUUGCUCGUUGAAGUUCCAGGACGAAGAUUGGCGAGAACCGUGUGCUAAAACAUGUUCAUUAUGUUGUUCCAAUAGGGUCGGAAGCGUGUAAAUUAUUGUACUAAAAAAUCACAAAAAGUUCAAUUCCCAGGGAAGAGAGGUGGAUCACAUGGAUCUCUUAAAUACCAAGUCUUUUCUUAGACAGAAUAUCCCUUCUAUAGUAAUUUAAUAGCACAAUUAAAUACUACUAUUAUACCCUCAAAUAUUGAAAGAAAAAUAGGACAAGAAAGAACACAAGAGAUUUAACGAGGUUCGGUAAAUUAUACCUACGUCCUCGGGCACUAACACCAGAUGAUAACUUUACUAUCCCCAAAGUAUUACAAACAAAUAGAAUUCCUUAAGAAUUCUCAAAUGGGAGAAGAGAGAAAACUAAGAGAGAAAGAUUGGUUGGGAUGAAUUGAAAUGAGAAAUGAGAAGGCCUAUUUAUAGUUGAGGUUCAAGGACCAAACAAUAAAUAGCACAUUAUCUCAAGGACCAAAAAAAAAUUAUCCCUUGCCACUUUUCCAAAGUUGGUGGUUGUCAUUAUUGAUUGUCUCCCAUUAAUGUUAAUGGCAACCAUUAUUAAUUGUCUAUCAUUAAUGUUAACAAUCUCCACCUUGAAGAUUUGAUUAGGAUAAUCACAUCUUCACACACUUCCUUCAACUCCCUAAAUUCGAUAAAGCUAUCUUUUGUAGUGCCUACAAAUGCGCUCUCGAGCGCCAUACACCUGAAGGUGCUCAAAUUCUCAGGAUGUUAAUCAAGUUCAAACAAUGAUUAAACUUGAUUGUUGUUACCACCUUGGUCAUCAUAUCUGCGGGAUUAUCUGCUGUCGGAAUCUUCUAAAGUAGAAUUUUUCCUUUUUCAAAGACUUCUCGCACAAAGUGAUAUCUUACGUCAAUAUGCUUGGUUCUUGAAUGAUAGACUUGAUUUUUCGCUAAAUGAAUAGCGCUCUGACUGUCACAAUAUAAACUUAUGUGACUUUGAACAACUCCUAAGUCUUUCAACAAUCCAUUAAGCCAAAUAGCCUCCUUAACAGCUUCUGUAACUGCCAUAUAUUCUGCCUCUAUAGUAGAUACAGCUACUGUAGACUGUAAGGUAGACUUCCAACUCACUGGGGCUUUCGCAAGAGUAAACAAAUACCCCGUAGUUGAACGACGUUUAUCUAAAUCACCAGCAAAGUCGGAAUCAACAUAUCCAACUACAAACUGACCAAGUGCUUCAUCCUGUUCAAAAAUUAAACCAACAUCUACGAUUUUUCAAAGAUACCGUAGAAUCCAUUUCACAGCUUGCCAAUGUCCUUUUCUAGGAUCAUGCAUAUACCUGCUCACAACUCCAACAGCUUGUGAAAUGUCAGGCCUCGUACACACCAUCACAUACAUCAAACUCCCAACUGCAUUAGUAUAUGGGACUUUCGCCAUAUAUUCUCUUUCUUCUUCAGUUUUCAGAGAUAAUUGAGCACUAAGUUUCAAAUGAGAAGCAAGUGGGGUACUUACAUGUUUUGUGUUUUCAUUUACACCAAAACAUUGUAAUACCUUUUUCAGAUAUUGCUUCUGAUUCAAACAAAGCUUGCCUCUCUGUCUAUCUCUACUUAUCUCCAUGCCGAGAAUCUUCUUGGCCUCACUUAGAUCUUUCAUCUCGAACUCUUGAUUCAACUGAGCCUUCAGCUUAUCUAUCUCUUUUUGGCUCUUCGAAGCGAUUAACAUAUCAUCAACAUACAAGAGUAGAUAAAUGAAAGAUCCGUCAUGCAGCUUCUGCAAAUACACACAAUUGUCAUAUUUGCUUCUUGUGUAUUUCUGCCUUCUCAUAAAGCUAUCAAAUCGCUUGUACCACUGCCUCGGGGAUUGCUUCAAUCCAUAUAGCGAUUUGUUAAGCUUACAAACCCAAUUUCUACCACCAGCAUCUGUGUAUCCUUCUGGCUGAGUCAUAUAGAUCUCCUCUUCUAACUCACCAUGCAAGAAAGUCGUCUUAACAUCAAGUUGAGCUAGCUCUAAAUUCAACUGUGCUACCAAGGCCAACAAAAUUCUAAUGGAGGAAUGCUUCACAACAGGGGAAAAUACAUCAUUGUAGUCAAUUCCCUCCUUCUGAGCGUAGCCUUUAGCUACCAAUCUUACCUUGUAGCGAAUAUCCUUCUUGCUAGGAGAUCCAUCUUUCUUUGCGAAUACCCACUUGCAUCCGAUUUCCCUUUUACCUUUCGGUAAUUGCGCCAACUCCCAAGUAUUGUUCUUCCGGAGAGACUGCAUUUCUUCAUCCAUGGCGCUUUUCCAUUUAUCACUUUCUAAGCUUUGCAUUGCUUCUUGAUAAGUGAUAGGAAUAUCAUCAACAACGGGAAGGGCGUAGGCCACCAUAUCAGUAAAUCGAGCAGGUUUACGAAUUUCUCUCCAUGGCCUUGCAACUGCAACUGGUUCUGGUGUACUUAGUGGUUCUUGGGUCAGAACCUCUUCAACCUCUAAUUCCUCCAUUGUGGCUGGAGAAUUAGACUUAUUAACUGGGCAAAUCCCCAUCUGCUCAAACUCCACCUAUUUUGGAGUACACUCCACCUGCUGUGGAGUAUUGCUCGUCUGAAUAUCUUUAUCUGCUACCUUUUUCAAUGUGGCAGAUUCAUCAAAGGUAACAUCUCUGCUACAGAUCAUUUUCUUUGUGCUUAAGCACCAAAGACGAAAUCCCUUCACUCCAGAAGUGAUUCCCAUAAAGAGAGCUUUUUUUGCCCUCGGAUCUAACUUUGACUCCUUCACAUGGUAAUAUGCAGUGGUUCCAAACACAUGUAAGGAAUCAUAAUCUGUAGCCGGUUUUCCAGACCAUACCUCCAUAGGAGUUUUUCUUUCUAAUGCAGAUGAUGGCAAACGAUUAACAAGAUGGCCAGUGUAUGUCACAGCCUCAACCCAAAAUUGCUUGCCCAACCCAGCAUUGGACAACAUACAUCAAACUUUCUCCAGCAAUGUUCGAUUCAUACGCUCUGCCACUCCAUUCUGUUGUGGUGUAUCCCUAACUGUGAAGUGUUGAACAAUACCAUACUCUUGGCACACAUCGAAGAACGGAUCACUUUUAUAUUCCCCUCCAUUGUCCGUCCUAAGCCGCUUGAUUUUCUUGCCAGUCUGGUUUUCGAUCAUAGUUUUCCAUUUAAGAAAAACUCCAAGCACUUCAUCUUUAGUUUUCAUGGUAUACACCCAAACUCUUCUGGAAAAGUCAUCAACAAAAGUAACAAAGUAGUGUUUUCCUCCCAACGAAGGUGUUUUGGAAGGCCCCCACACAUCUGAGUGAAUAUAUUCCAAAAUACCUUUUGUAUUAUGGAUAGCAGUGCCGAAUUUCACUCUCUUUUGCUUUCCCAGAACACAGUGCUCACAAAAUUUUAAUUUGCAAGCCUUUGCACCUUUCAACAAUCCUUGUUUUGCCAGAAUUUGUAAGGAUUUUUCGCUGGCAUGUCCCAACUUCAUAUGCCACAACUGCAUUGAGUCCAAGUCUUUGUUACCGGAAGCUGCAGCGACUGCUCCAAUAACUGUACUACCUUGGUAGUAAUACAAGUUAUUUUUCCUGAUGCCCUUCAAUAUCACAAGUGCGCCAGAUGUCACUUUCAAAACCCCAUCUCUCAUAGUAACAACUGAACCAUUGGAUUCCAAGGCUCCCAAUGAGAUGAGAUUUUUCUUCAAACUGGGCACGUACUGAACAUCAGUCAGAACUCUGGUUGAUCCAUCUUUAUUCUUUAAUUGGAUUGAACCUAUCCCAACAAUUUUACAGGCAUUGUCAUUGCUCAUAUAAACAACUCCUCCAUUUAGUUCUACUAAAUCAGAGAACCACUCCCGGUUAGGGGACAUAUGAUAGGUACAACCCGAAUCCAAUAUCCACUCAUCUGAAUGGAACGACGAUGAUGAUGCAACCAGUGAUAGUUCAGAGUCACUAGUAUCAUGCUUAGCAACACAAGCAUCUACAGCAGCUUUUCCCUUAUUCUUCAGCUUUGGACAAUUUUUCUUCCAGUGGCCUUUCUCAUGACAAAAAGCACAUUCAUCUUUCCCGAGUCUGGACUUUGACUUUGAUAUCCCCUUUUGAGUUUUCUUCCGAGUGUAUGAACGACCUCGGACUACUAAAGCUUCUGUAUCUCUGAUUGAGUUUUUCUGUUUGUCCUUCUUUCUCUGUUCAUAACUGUAUAAGGCCGCACAGACUUCGCUCAGAGAUAUAUCACUCCUGCCAUGAAGUAGAGUAGUUUCUAGGAACUCAAACUCCUCAGGAAGUGACCCCAACAGCAUCAAAGCCAAAUCUUCAUCUUUGAAUGUCUCAUCCAUAUUCAGCAAAUCAGUGACUAACUGAUUAAAUUUGGUGAUGUGAUCAUUCAUUGUGGUACUUACGUAUGUGAAGCGAAACAGUCUUUUCUUCAAGUGGAGCUUAUUUUGACUGUUUUUCUUCAAAAAAAUUUCUUCAAGUGCCACCCACAACUUAUUUGCAGAAGUCUCCUUUGAAAAAGCAUACAUCUGCUCUCGAGAAAGGCAUGAUCGAAUUGUGCCACAUGCCAACCGAUUGAUCGCCUUCCAAUCUUUCUCCUGUACAUCAUCUGGUUUCUCUUCAUCAAUGGCAAUGUCUAGACCCUGCUGAAAAAGGGCAUCUAGAACCUCACUUUGCCACAUACCAAAAUGGCCCGUGCCAUCAAAGAUUUCCACGGCCAAUCUUGCAUUUGCAAUUGUCGGUCUUGUCCACAUGGACGAUGUUGAAGCUCCUACACCGACCGUUUUCUCCAUAAUCUUUCAAUAUAUCUAAGGAAAUCUUUUCUGAUGUGGAAGAUCAGUUUAAACUGCAACCACAGAGCAUACUACGAUUAACCUUCGGCUCUUGAUACCACUUGUUGUUCCAAUAGGGUCGGAAGCGUGUAAAUUAUUGUACUAAAAAAUCACACAAAGUUCAAUUCCCAGGGAAGAGAGGUGGAUCACAUGGAUCUCUUAAAUACCAAGUCUUUCCUUAGACAGAAUAUCCCUUCUAUAGUAAUUUAAUAGCACAAUUAAAUACUACUAUUAUACCCUCAAAUAUUGAAAGAAAAAUAGGACAAAAAAGAACACAAGAGAUUUAACGAGGUUCGGUAAAUUAUACCUACGUCCUCGGGCACUAACACCAGAUGAUAACUUUACUAUCUCCAAAGUAUUACAAACAAAUAGAAUUUCUUAAGAAUUCUCAAAUGGGAGAAGAGAGAAAACUAAGAGAGAAAGAUUGGUUGGGAUGAAUUGAAAUGAGAAAUGAGAAGGCCUAUUUAUAGUUGAGGUUCAAGGACCAAACAAUAAAUAGCCCAUUAUCUCAAGGACCAAAAAAAAUUAUCCCUUGCCACUUUUCCAAAGUUGGUGGUUGUCAUUAUUGAUUGUCUCCCAUUAAUGUUAAUGGCAACCAUUAUUAAUUGUCUUCCAUUAAUGUUAACACAUUAUGGCAACAUAAUGUGCAGGAUCCGAAUUGGCACCCGUAUAAGAUGAUCAACAUCCGAGGCAACUUGCAUACACCGAUUGCUCAGAAAACCGUACUGUUAUCAAACAUCUGUUGUUCUACGAAAUGCGAGCUGGUUCAUUACUCAAAACUUACAUAUUAAUGGGAUGCCUUCUCGGUAAUGCAGGAAAUAAUAGACAAGGAUGAUGAGAAGCUGAAGGAGUUGAGAAAUGAAUAUAGUGACACAGCGUACGAGGCUGUCAGCACCGCACUGAUGGAAAUGAACGAAUAUAAUGCCAGCGGAAGGUAUGCGAUCCCGGAAGUUUGGAACAGAAAGGAGGGAAGGAGCGCUACCAUGAAAGAAAUCGUUCAGUACGUCGAGCAACUGAAGAUUCACAAGCGUAAGCGAUUUUCUUAAUGCUGAGCUUAGCAGUCCAUUGCUUUCAUGGAAAAUAAGUAGAAUUAUACACAAUCCUUAGGUAGGUAUUAAAUUUUAGAAUUAUAUUUGACAUUAAAAAGAGCUAUUUGUUCAUUCCAGCAUGAGCUCCAAAAUUAGGCUCCAUAUUUACAAACCUAAAUUAAACUUACUCCAUAUUUACAAACAGAAAUUAAACCUACCUACGAUAGUUGCAUAAAAAAAUAUUAUCAAUUUAAAAAAAAAAGUAAUUAAGUUGUUGGUAUUUUUCAUUUAAUUAAAUACUUCACUUUUUAAAAUGUAUCAAAAACUUUCUUUAAAUUUUAAAAAAUAAUAAUUAAAUCUUUGUUUUUCUUUUACAUACUCAAUGGCUACUUCAACUAUCAAAAAAAAAAAAAAAAGAAAAGACUUUUUGACAAUUAAAAGUAACUGCUUUAAUUUUUUUAGUUAAAGUCAUUCAGCGUCACAACCAUACAGGCGUGAUGUGUAAUAAAAAAUUAUAAAAAAUAAAAAUUAAUAAAAUUAUUAAAUUCUAAUAAAAAAUAUAAAAAUAUUUAAAAUUUAUUUAAAAUGUCAUAAAUGUAUAAAUAAAAUAUAUUAAAAAUGUUAUUUAACCACUAACUUUAAUUGUUGACUAGUAAAGUCCAUAAUUUUUUUUUCAAUUAAAGCCAUCAUGUGUCGCAAUGCAAUGUGACCUGUGAUGAAAAAUUAUAAAAAUAAAAAUCAAUAAAAGUUACAGAAAAAUUAAAAAAUAUUUCUUUUGGUACAAUAAUUUUUAUAAUUUUUUUAUAAAUUUUAUAUUUUUAAAUUUUUAUAAUUUUCUUACUAUUUUAUAAAAUUUUAUAACUUUUGCAUUUUUUUAUAAUUUUAAAUAUUUUAUAAUUUUUAAAUUGUUUAUAAAUUUUAACUCUUUUUUAUUAAAAUUUAAUAAUUUUUUAACUUUGAUUUAUUUUUAUUUUUUUUAUAUUUUUUUACAUGUCACACUAUAAUUGUGACCUUUAGUGUUUUACCAAAAUAUUAGGAGUGGUUAAUUUUAACAUUCAACCGCUAAAAUUAACAAUCACAAGACUUUUAACAGUUCAAAUAUUCAAUUGGAUAAAAAAAUUUAUUAUUUAAUAAAAUAUAUUAAAAUAAGGGUUUCGACUCAAAUCAUGAUGAAUUGAGCCAUCGAACUUGAGAAAUUAAAAUGUGAACAGAAAUGGGCUCUUCAAAAACCCUUACCCGAGCCCAAGAAGAUCCCCCAAAAACCUUCAACUUAUAACCCUAAUUUGCCUCUCAACUACACUAUAAAUCCUAUCUUCAACAAGACUCAUUCAGCAUUUAUAUCUUCUAAAAAACCCUUCGUUCGUCUAAGGUUUCUCUUUAGAAAUUUUCUCUUCGCAGAGAGUAAUUUUUGCCUUCAUUUUUUUUUCUCUUUAUUUUCCCAUUUUCAAUCUGGGGUUUUUUCCAAAAUGAGUUAAAAAUCCAAUCUUUACACUAGAUGUGAACCCUAAUCACAUUUAUUUUAUCUGGGUUUUGAAUAAAAUCUACACUUGUUUGUAUACUUAUGAAAUAAAAGAACCAUUUUUAAUGCUUUGUUUCUUAACAAGAGUGCAGAAAUAAAAAGCUUGAUUUUUUGCUUCUUUUAAAACAAAGAAACCAAGGAUUAAGCAGCGGCCAGACAACCGUAGCGAUGAUAUCCACAGAUGAAGGGCUAAUUUCUUCUUUAAUCCCUUUUUUGUCUACUGAUUCCAUCUCACAUUUCGUUUUUUAAGUUUUUAGGGUUCAUCACUUUUGAAUUGAUUGAAAAAGCUCUAAUCAAAGUUGAAACUUGGUUAAAAAAUGGGUUUUUUUAUAUGAUUUUACCAUUUUCAAUGCUUUUUUUUUAUGUUUUUUCAAUUUGUAAAAUCAAAUGAGAAACAAUCUCAAAAAAGAAAAAACGACAUUAAUCUAUCAAUCAAUCAAACUGAUUUUGAUUUGAUCAGAUAAAAAAUCAUUAAAUAUCAUAUUCAUGGGAAUUGCAGAGGUUUACUGUUGUAAUUCUUACGAUAUUUUAUCAGAUAUAUUUUACAUCUUAAUAUAUCAUUAAUAUAAAGUCAAAUUUUUUUAACAGGUUAUAUUUUGAUAUUAGUCCCUAUAUUUUGUUGAAGUUAUGAAUUUAGUCUCUAUAUUUUUUAAAUUUUAAUAUUUUAGUCUUUAUUAAAUGAUAAUUGUUAAAAGUUAAAGUUUUGUUAUUUUUAAAAUCUAUUGCAUCAAACAUAUUAUCACAUGCUCAAUGUCAUGUCAACUUGUUAUUUUCAUGUAUUCUUUACUAAAAAUUUAAGGGUAAAUUAUCAAAAUAGUCACUUUUGUUUGACUCAGGUUACAUUUUAGUUACUUACGUUUGAAAUGUUACGUUUUAGUCACUUAUGUUAUCACGUUGUAACAUUUUAGUCACUGAGCCGUUAGUUUUUGUUAACGGUGCAACAGUAAACUGAUGUGGCACGUUAAAUCAUCAUUUCAAACAAAAAUUCUAGGUUAACUUAUACAAUCGGUCCUCAUAUUUUUUCGUUUUGAGCAAUUUAAUUUUUUUCUUUUAUGUUUUUUUUAACUUUCUUUCUUUUCCAUUCUCUUAUGCUUCUCUCUUUGUUUUCCUCCCUUCUCCAUUUCUUUCAACGUAGUUUUUCUAUGUUUUAUUUUUUUGAACAAUUUAAUUUUUUCGAGUGAGGCGAGCUUGUGGACUAGUUACAAAUGGAAAGCAUAGAAAAACUAUGUUAAAAGAAAUAAAGAAGGGAGGAAAAUAGAGGGAGAAGAAUAAGAGAAUGGGAAAAAAAGUUAGAAGAACAAAAAAGAAAAUUUUUAAAUUGUUGAAAAUGAAAAAAUAUAGGAACCAAUUGUAGAAUUUAACCUAAAAUUUUCGUUUGAAAUGAUGAUUUAAUGUGCCACAUCAACUUAUCGUCCAUUGUCGACAAUUAACGACUCAGUGACUAAAAUGUUACAACACGAUAACGUAAGUGACUAAAAUGUAACAUUUCAAACAUAAGUGACUAAAAUGUAACCUGAGUCAAACAAAAGUGACUAUUUUGGUAGUUUACCUAAAAUUUAAUUAAUAGAUUAACAACUGUUAUUUGAGUCGAAACUAAAAUAUAAAAAAUUACGACUUAAACUGAUCCAAUUAAAACAUAUGGACUAAAUCUACAACUGUGCUUACAAUACAUAAUUAGCAAUUGAAUUUAAACAAUUAGAUUUAACAAUAACUAUUUGUGUUAAAAGACUAAAAUUUAAAAAAGUACAGAGAGUAAAUUUGAAAUUUUGACCAAUUUGAAAAGUACAGAGACUAAAACUAACUAAAUUAAAGUACAAUGACUAAAUCCAUAAUUUUUAUAAAGUACAAGGAUUAAUAGAAAAUUGUAACCUUUUUAAUAAAGUAAUUUUGAUUUUUAUUAAUUUAUUUAUAUCUUUUGCUUUUGUAAAUAUAAUAUUUUUAAAUAUUAUUUUGAUUUUUUAUUAUUUUUCAAAAGUUUUUACUUUUAGAAUGAAUGGUCUAAUUUAACCUUCAGUCCAAUUCUUACAAAAUUGAUAAACACUAACAAUGCAUAAUUUAAUAAAACUUUUCAAGUAAUUUAUAAAAAAACACUCAAAUUAAGUAAAUUAAACACACAUUUCAUUUUAAAUUAAAAUUAUAAAUAUUUAUGUGUUAAAAAAUAAAAAUAAAGUAUCAUCGAAGCUGCGGGCUGCAAUCUUCCCAAGCAACUUCAGCCCCCAUUACUUCCCCACUCUUUUUUUUCUCUUUUUACCAACACUCAGAAAAUCAAAAUUUUACCACACUUUCCCUCAUUUUCCCGGAAAAUAAAAUAAAGAUAUUAAAACCAAACAAAAAUCCAAAAAAGGAACUCGGUGAAGAUUUAGAUUUAGACCCUGAAAUUUUUGCCAGUGAAAGUUUGACCAAAUUGCCAAUGAGAAGGGACAAUGUUCCACGAAGUAGAGGUCCGAUGGUCGCUGCCGGUGACCCUAGACGACAGAGAUUGGCCGACUAAAACGGCGUUGGAUUGCCAGUUUUGGCCUCAGUUUCGGCUCAUGCUCAUCCACUCCGUUUUCGACCCUUUAAUGCUUGCUUUCACGAUAUCGCCGGCGCCGGCCACGUUUGUGAUUAGGACCAAGUUGAAGUAUCGGAAACCGUUGAUUGUGAAUCUGAUUCCUCCUCGUUUCUGGCAUGGCACCCUGAAGAAUCAUACGAAAAAGGAAAUGAAGAUUGGGUCAAAUCUAUUGACACUAAUUGUUGAAGUUCGAAAAUCGGUCUAAUAUUUAAGAAGGUAAAAGCGUUUGAACGGGAUGAGAUCAUCUCAACAUAUUGGUUAGACCGCGAAUCGAUUAAAAUAUCGGAGAAAGUAACUUGAUCAAUUAACUCGAAACUAAUACAAAUCAAGAAAAUUACUAGACAAGUUAACUCGGGAUUUGAUACAUCUAAGUUUGAUUUUUAUUAUAUAUAAUUUUAAUUUCGGUUUUAAAAAUAAAAAGCUAAGGGAAUAUACCUUCUAAAAUAGAGAAUAAAAGGGGCGCAACUGGCUAAUCCUUUGUUCUAUUGGCUAUUGCUAAUGCCUUGGAAGUUGAAAGUGUACCUUACUUUGAUUAGUGAAUGGCCGAAUAUGCUUACAAGAAUAAAUUAAGAAAUUCAACGUGGCUUAACAUACAUUUGUAUUUACUGUCACAUGAAUUUGGAUAACAACGAUUGAGAUGGAGAGAAAAAUCAUAUCCAAUUAUGUUUAACACUAGCAUUACGUACAUAAGCUCACACCGACUGAAGAAAACUUUACAUAUACAAGUAGAAGAAAUUUCCGAAUGAACAAAGUCAGUCUUCGCAUCCUAGUUGUUGUUCCAUUCAAUCUCUGUAUGCCCAAAAGAAAAUGAGAGAAAACAAUUACUACGACUAAUGACAUUGUUGAUAACAGGAAAUAUCAUUGUCAGAGAAUUCAAGACUCAAGAGGGAGCAUAUAUAAUUAAUCUAUACUAUAUUACCAUACAUAUGCCCUCAAAUAUUUUUAAAAUUAAUCGUUCAAAUCUAAAUAUAUAUUUGAAAAGAGUAUACGAUAUUAUAAAGGAUCGUAAAAAUCGAAAUAAUAUUUAAUUCUAUAUCGUCUUCUAGAAAGAACAUGAGCUAUGGUGAUAAAAUAUUCGAAUUAUUCCUCUAAUCUCAUUUAUAUCAUAAUUUAAAUUUGAAGAACUUACGAGUAUCGAUGAGAAAACCCACAGGGUCUUUAAUGAGGGAGUUGUUUUAAUUUCUUGACUUAAAUUCAUUGAUUCUAAGGAAGCCUUUACAAACAGACAUAAUUAUUAAUUGAUCCAAUUUCAACAGCAUAAAGUAGGAUCAUAGGAUAAGGGCUUAGACAGAAACAACUUUAUUCUUUUUCUUUUAUGAGCGAAUCCAAAAAUUUUAUGUUGGGAGUUGUUUUUCCGCAAGUGGUGGGAACGGGCAUCAAUUAUUGCUUAAAAGUUAAGCUUGUAAUUUACAAUCAAGGCAUCCAUCAUUUUCUUCAUCCUGGUUAAUGAUAAUUCGAGAUAAAUGUUCCAUUUCCAGUUAAAAUAAAAAUUUUCUCAAGUUAAUUGUUUGAGGAGUAAAUUUAAAAAUAAUAAUAAGAUUGUUUUCUAAAUUAUAAAAAUAAAGAUACAUCAAAAUUAAAAUUUUAAAAAUAUAAAAAUUUUAAAAAUUAACAUAGAAUACACAUAGAUUGCUAUGUAGGUUGUCGUGUUUAAAAAUUUAACAUUUUAAUUAGUAUUCUAGUUUUUUUUUAAAAAAAACAUCAUUUCAGCUCUUUUUCAAAACUAAUAAAUAAGAUUAGAAAACUAAAAAUCGAAUAAAGAAUCGAAUUUAACUAGAUGUUGAGGCUUGUUUUACACAGUUUCCUUAACACAAAUUUGUCCGCUUCUACGGUACUUGGAGAAACAUUGGUCGACUGUCUCCCAUGAUACAAUAACACGAUGACUGAAAUAGCAUCACCUUUACAUGAAAUUGGCUGAUAUUAUGACGAUACUAGGUAGCAUAGAUAUCAUUAUGGGAGAAGUGGAUCGUUGAAAUGAUAAUUUAUACGACAGAAGUAGAAUAUAUCAAUUCCUUUUACACAUUGGAAUCUUUAAAAGAGGUCUAUGGGAUCAUAUGGAUGUUGGUCCCUAUUUUGACUCUUGUUUUGGGAAUCACAAUAGGUGUACUAGUAAUUGUAUGGUUAGAAAGAGAAAUAUCUGCAGCAAUACAACAACGUAUUGGGCCUGAAUACGCCGGUCCUUUGGGCAUUCUUCAAGCGCUAGCAGAUGGAACAAAACUGCUUUUCAAAGAAAAUAUUUUUCCAUCUAGAGGCAAUACUCGUUUAUUUAGUAUUGGACCGGCUAUAGCAGUCAUAAGAGACCAAUGAACAAACCUUGCAUUUUUCUGUCACCGGAACGUUGGAAAAUAUAGAGAGGAAAAGAGAAGAAUUUUCGAGAGCAAAAUAAACUUGGUUUUAGAGAGUCUUUUAGUGUAAAAAAUUUGAAGAAUUCUUAAGCAUUCAAGAUGGAGGAAUUUUGGAAAUAUCCAUAAUUAAAUAUAUAAAAUUUGUAUUAAAUGAGCAAUUAAAUCAUAAUAUAUGUCUUUUUUAAAUUAGAUUUUAUAUAUAUUUGCUGAGAAAAAUAAAUUUUGUGUUGGGCUUAAAAUAUCUAUCCCUUUUUGGGCCUGACCAGUUUAGACAUUUCACGUUGCCUACGUCGUGCGAGUGCGCUCCAACCCCGAUGGGUUUGGAUCUACACCCCUGCGCGUGAGACAAAGUUUCAAACUUAGUCAUUCAAUCAUCCUUCAAGUGGGUUCUCAUAUAUAGAGACAUCUCACACUUGGUAUUCAAUCAAUGUGAGAUCUAAGCUUUUCUUUUCCUCAACAAAUAUUCACAAGUAACUUACUUUGAGCAUUAAUUUCUCACUUAUCACUCAACCAUUUUGAGCAUACGAUAUACUGUUGUAAAGAUAUCAUUGAGUAGAAUAUAAAAUCAUAAUUUUAUGAUUCAAUUCUCCACCUUUACCAAUUGAGAAUAUGCUUUAAAGUUUCCAAAAAUUACAAUUUUUUCAACAUUUUAUACAUCUAUUUUAAAGGCAUAAUUGAGCCAAGUAGAGCCCGAAUAAUGACAAGUUGAACUUGACUCGAACAUCACUUUUUAAGGUCAAUCUUGAUUUAGAACAUAAUUGAGUUGAUUAAGCUCGUUUAUCAAUUUUUAUAAUCAAACCCAUUCAUAAUUAAGCUCUUUCUAUAUAUCAAGGAUAAAAAUGUAACUUCAUAAAUAAAAAUAUAUUUAAAUGGAAUGCUUAAUUAGGUUUGUGGCCUACUUGAAUCAAGUAUUACAAUAUUUAAAUUCGACUCAACCAAUAGCUCGAGCUCUACUCAAUAAUUUUCAAUAAAAUUUUGAGAUUUUUUGAAUCCAACUCGAAUUGCUUGCAAAUAUUAAUGUAUCACUUAUGCUUUUAAUUUUAAAUUUACAUUUUUAAUUCUUAAAAUAUUAUUAAAACCCAAUCAAUUGAAGGCUUUGUAGAAAGUGGUGGCAAAGUGCAUCCUUUACUUUAGGUCUCACUAUAUCUAAAAAGAAAUUAAUGCGAACCGUAGAAAGUGGUAGGAAUGUGCAUCAUUAUUGCUUUAAAAGAAUUUAAAUCUUUAAACGGAUAGAAUUAAAUUUUCAUAAUUUGGAGGAGUUAAAGUGUACUUCUUUUUACUAUUUUAAAAUUUUAAAAUUUUAAAAUUUUUUAAAGAGUUAAAAUAACAUUUUUUAUUUUAAGAGGGCCGAGCUCCCUGUCAACCUCUAGAUUUACCUCCGUAAAUUUCAAAAUUCAGUUAAAUUAUGUUAUUUUGAAUAAAACGUUAAUUGAUAAAGAAAUUCUUUUAGUUUCAAAAAUUCAAUUUUUCUGUUUUAAAAAAAUAUAUAUUAAAAUUUAAAAUUUAAAAUAUUAAAGUAAUAAAAUUUAAAUAUAUCAAUGUCUUUUUGAUACAUGCAUGAAUGGGGUGAAACUUAUUAGAUUCCAAUCAUCAAAACUGCCAAUUUUCAGGCUCGGAAAAUCAGCAGACUUGCGGCGACUGGAUCCUGGUAUUUUUGGGUUGAGAUGUCUCAUGGCGUUUAAAGAUCUAUCUCUUAGCUUUGAAACGCAUUUUGAAUAACUCGAUUUUGAGUUCGGGAGCUCAAGUUAUGACCGUUUUAGUGAAGACUACGCGAGAAGAAUUUCUGAACGGGAUUAUGACGGGAAUUACAAAUUUCGGGCUUUUAAUUCGAGUUUAAAUCAUAUUGGAUUCGGGUUUUAGACUUAAUUUUUAUUAUAUAUGAGCCCAAUAUUAUAUUUGUCAGAUCUUAUUAUUUUAUUAUUAUUUUAUUCUAAUUUUUUUUAUAAUUAUUAAGUAUUUUAAGUUAUUAGAGUUCUAGUAUUUUAAGCUAUAAAGGCCAGAAAAAUGUAUUCUUGGGGGUGAUUUUUGAAGGUAAAAAAGCAACAGAAAAUCAAUACAAAAUAAUCAAAAAUUUCAAACAAAAAAAGAGAGAUUUAGAAGGUAGUUUUUUUUUCUCUGUUUUUGUUUGUUUUAUUUAUUAUUUUUUCUUUCUUUUUCUAAACAGAAACACAGAAAAUAAAACGGGACCGAAAACUCACCUUUUUAGAGGGAGGGCUGAGAGAGAGUUGAGCAAGAAGAGAAGGAUUUUUUUUUUAAAAAAAUGAGGUUACCAAUGAUUUUUUAAAGUUUUUUUAAAUUAUAUAAACACCCCAAAACGACGUCGUUUUGAGUUUGGCUUCUGACACUUAAAACGGCGUCGUUUCACCCUUGACCCGCGUGCGACCUGACUCGCUCCAUGGGGAUCCUCGUGUUUUCAAUUUUUAGGCUAUUUACGCCUCUGGUCAUCCCGCGUUUUCCGGUUGUUUUAAUUUAGUCCCUUUUUUACUUUUUUUCUCUUUAUAUAUUUGGCCAUUGAUUUUGUGGCGUGUUUUAAUUUAGUCUCUGGCUCGCUAAAAAGGACGCGUGUCAAGGAGAUCGGGUUAUUUUCCCAUUUGGUUCUCGUUUGUUUUCGGGCCUUUCGAAUUAGUCCUUUGUUCUUUUUUUAUCUUAAUUUAUCCUGCUAAUUUAAUUUGAGUAGCAAUCGGGUCCUUUAUUCAUUUAUUUUUGUGUAUCUUUAUUGUGUAUCUUUAUUUAUUUUGCUUUAUUAUUUUUACUUUAUUACUCCUUUUUAUAUAUUUGUUUAAAAUUGGAUUGUGUAUAUGUUUAUUAGUUUUUUUUUUCUUUUGGUUAUCAUUCUUUUACUUUUUAAAUAUUUAAAUCUAAUAUUAUGAACAUUUACUUUAUCUAUUUACUUAUUUAUUUAUUAUUCUUUUACUUUUCAAACGCUUAAAUUUAAUAUUAUUUACAUUUGUUUUAUCUAUUAUUCACUUAUUUUUUCUUUUACUUCUAAAGAAAUUUUAAAUUCGAUAUUAUUCGUAUUUGUUUUAUUAAUUUAUUUUUUAUAUUUCAAUUUAAUGAUAUUUGUUUUAUCUAUCCAUCAAUUUAUUAUAUAUAUAUAUAAUUAGAUACCACUUAUAUUCAUUAAGCAACUUUCAUUUUCAUUUAUAUUUUGAAUUAUUUUAUUUAUUGUGUUGUGGUGUUAUAAAUUGAUUUUUUUAUUAUUGCUAUAUUCACUGUUAUUGCCAUAGUAUUUGGUCAUUUAGUUGUCAUUUAGUAUCCUAAUAUAAAUCGUACUCAUAGUCAUAUCACAUUAUUUCAUUACCAUUGUAUUAUACACUAGGUUCACACAUAUUUAUCCAUUUUUUUAUAGACGAUGCCCGAAUUAAACAUGUAUGCCUUGUAAGUGUUACAUUAAUAUUUUAUUCGGUGCACAAAAAGAAAAUUAUUUUAAAUAAGUAAUAUUUCGUAUUUUAGAAUUCGUAAAUUCGUUCCUUAACUUACGGAGUUUCGAUCUUCUCGAUAAAUCUAAAUAAAUGAACCUUUUUUAAAAACAUAAGUUUUUAAAUAAUCUCAGGAAUUAAGAAGAGAUCGUGUUCUAACUUAAUGGAUAUGGUUUCAUUCUAAAACUGAGAUAAUCGAAUAUCUUUUAAAAUAAAUAAAUUUUCGGUGUUUAUUCUCGUUUCGAGGAUUUAAGGUAUUGCGUCCUAACUUACGGGAAGUAAUCCUUUUUCUCGAUUAACGUAAAAUAUUUUUUUGUAAAAAUUCAAUUAAGCGAUAUUGUAACAAAGGAUGGUAUUUUAAAUCUCUUUAAAGUUUUUAAUUUUCGACAUUAAAACAUUAAUUCAUCAAUUAGGUACCAAUUUUUGGCGAGACGAGUGUGCUAAUCUUUCUUCGCACAUAACCGACUCCCGAACCCGUUUUUCUUAAAUUUCAUAGACCAAAAUCAUUAUUUAAGUAAAAUCGAAACGUUUUAUUAAAAUGAUUAAAUUACAAGGUGAUCCGAUCACAUCUCGAAAAAAUAUCGGUGGCAACUCCAGUUUUUUCAUUUUCAUUUUUAAAAUAAAAGUAGACCCCUUUUGUUUCAAAAAUGGAGAAAGUGUGUUCCUAUCUUUUGUCAGCUUUACCAAAAGGGAAAAUAAUUGGCGAUAGAAUGUUGCUUUCUUUUGUCAACUUUUUAGCUGUAUCCACUAAAUGAUAAGAACUGCAUUCUCAAGUAUUUGUGUUUCUUUAGGAUUCUAUUGUUUACAUCUCAAUUUUUUUUUUACAUUGAGUUGCACUUUGUCAAAUUACUUCUCGCAUUACUCUGUUAAGAAAAUUAUCUUUUCGCUCGUUCGUAACUACGAGAACUAAUCGCUGAAUCCUUCUCUUAUUCGUUGGAAAGGUACGCCAUCUGCUUUCAUUUUGGUUGAUUUGGUCUUACUUCUUGGUUUACAGAAGCUUUACUUUUUGCUCAUUUGAUUUGUAACUUUUUCUUCUGAUUUUGUUUUAAUCUUUGUUGUCGCUGUGGUUAUUCAGUUUACUUCUUGUUUGACCUCUCAAUGGAGUCUGUUACUACCCUAGUUGGCUCUAUUGUCACUAAAGCUGUAGAGUAUACGAUCUCUCCUAUCAAAAACCAUGUCAAAUACCUUUCCAAUCAUCAGCAAUAUGUUGAGACCCUCAAGGACCGAGCUGAGAGGCUGAAAGAUGCAAGGGACAGAGUGCAGCAUUCUGUUGAUGCAGCUCAACGAAACGGUGAAGAGAUCGAAGGGGAUGUUGGCAAAUGGUUGUCUGCAGUCGACAAAAAGAUUCUUGAACAAGCAGAGAAAGUGAUGCAAGAUGAAGAAAAAGCAAAGAAAAAGUGUUUCAUUGGUUUGUGUCCUAAUUUCAGGACUCGUUACAAGCUUAGCCUGAAAGCCGAAGAGGAGGCAAAGGCUGUUGCCGAGCUACUUGAACAUGGCAAGUUUGAAAGGGUUUCCUAUCGUGCAGCUCCGCAAGGUAUCGUGGUUGCACCAGUUAAAGGUUAUGAGGAAUUCGAGUCAAGAACGUCCAUUUUCAAUGGAAUAAUGGAGGCACUAAAAGAUGAUAGCGUCAGCGUUGUUGGGGUGCAUGGUAUAGGUGGGAUUGGAAAAACAACGCUGGUCAAAGAAAUUGCUAGAAAGGUCAAGGACAAGUUGUUUGAUUCGGUUGUCAUAGCAACCGUAACUCAAGCCAUCGAUAUUGAGAAGAUUCAGAACCAAAUUGCAGACUUCUUGGGCUUGAAAUUUGAGGAACAGAGUAUGGUUGGAAAGGCAUUUCGACUACGAGAAAGAUUGAAGAAAGAGGAGAGGAUUCUGGUUGUCUUGGAUGACAUUUGGGGAAAGGUUGAUAUUGAGGAAGUAGGGAUUCCUUUGGGAGAUGAACACAAGGGCUGCAAAUUACUAUUAACUUCUAGAGAGCUCAAUGUUUUAUCAAAUGGGACGGAUGCUCAGAAAAAUUUUCCCAUUGGGUUUUUAAAUGAAAAGGAAGCCUGGGACCUGUUCAAGAAGAAGGCUGGCGACUGUGAUGAAAGUUGCGAUUUGAAGCCUAUAGCUAUGGGGGUAGCCAAAAAAUGUGCAGGACUGCCGAUAGCUAUUGCGACAGUUGCAGGGGCUUUGAGAAACAAAAGAUUGUUUGAAUGGAAGAAUGCUUUACGAGAACUGGAGAGGCCUUCGUCAAGCAACUUCACGGGGAUAACUGCGGCAUAUUCAGCUAUAGAGUGGAGUUUUAAUUAUUUAGAAAGCGAGGAAGUUAAGCGGACUUUCUUGCUUUGCAGUGUAAUAGGCCAUAAUGGUCUCGUUGAGGACUUGGUAAGAUACACUCUAGGUUUGGGUUUAUUUGAUGGUGUCAACACUAUGGAAGAAGCUAGAAAUAAAGUAUUGACGGUUGCGGCUAAUCUCAAAGCGUCUGCCUUGUUGCUUGAUAGUUAUAAUGAUAAGCGCUUUGAUAUCCAUGAUGUUGUUUGGGAUGCUGCUAUAGCUAUUGCAUUGAAGGACUACCGUAUGCUUGUUUUGAGAGAUCAUGCUCCAAAGGAGUGGUCCGAUAAGGAGAAAAUGAAGACGUGGAGUGUGAUCAGCUUACGUUGUCCUCAGAUUAUAGCUAACCUUCCUAAGGAGAUGGAGUGCUCAGGACUUUCCUUUUUCCACAUGGCCUAUAAUGGCGCGGUUAAAAUUCCUCUCAAUUUCUUCAAACAAACCGUAGGCCUGAAAGCCUUAGAUUUGGUCGGAAUGCAGUUUCCAUCCCUCCCUGAAUCAAUUAUUCACCUUGCAGAGCUUCACAUGUUGUGUCUAAAAGGAUAUGCAGUUGAUGACAUAACCAUCCUUGGAGAGCUCAAGAGUUUAGAAGUACCCAACCUUUCUCGCUUAGGUAUCAAAGAACUACCUAAGGAGAUGGCACAAUCGACUCAAUUAAGGUUGUUAGAUUUGCGUGGGUGUAGAGAACUCAAAAUCAUCCCACCGAAUGUCUUAUCAGGUUUGUCUAAAUUAGAAGAAUUAUAUAUGAGUAGGAGCUUUGUUGAAUGGGAAAAGGGAGGAGUAGUUGAAAAUGAGAGGAAAAAUGCAAGCCUUGAUGAAUUAAACAAUUUGCCUUGUCUAACUACUUUAUAUGUUGAUAUUCUUGAUGUCCAAAUGAUACCAAAACACCGGUUUGUAGAAACAUUGGACAGAUUCAGGAUUUUCGUAGGUAAUUAUGGAGGAUAUAAUUGUUGCCAGAAUUAUGAAUCUCCGAAAGCAUUGAAGCUCAAGUUAUAUACAAACAUUGAUUUGGACAAUGGGAUGAAAAUGUUGUUGAUAAAGACAGAAGAUUUGUGCCUAGAGGGACUUGAAGGCGUCAAGAAUGUACUUGUGGAGUUAAAUAAUGGGAAAGAUCUUUCAAAUUUAAAGAGAUUUCAUGUCAAAAAUGGUAGGCACGUCCAACAUAUCAAAAUGAACAAAAUUGGAUUUUCUGAAUUAUGCUUCGUUAAACUUGAAAAUCUACCGCAACUCGUUAGCUUUUGCUCUCCAGACGAAAGGUGUUCCACUAAGCCCUUAUUACUUUUCAAUAAACAGGUAUUUGUUUGGCUUUACUUAUAUUUUCUUAUACUACUUUUAUUUAUAUGCCCAUUAAUACUUCUAAUAGUAGAAAUAAAUAAUAUUGUGUAAUGGUUUCUCCGGAGCUCAAAAAUAAAUUUCAAAUCCAAAACAAAUUAAAAUUUAAUUUUUAAUCCAAACCGAUUCAAAAUCAAUUCAAUAAUCUAAAUUUAAAUCCAACAAUUUUUUUUAAUUCUGAGAAUAAAAUUUGAGCCCACAAAUCGAACUAAAAUUAUCUUUAAAAUAAAAAAUCAUAUUUUCAAAUUAUGUUACAUACUAUCUUUCCCUAUGGAAAAAGAAUUGUGUAAAUAUGUGCAAUUUAUUUUCCCUCACUUGGAAAGCUUGUAAUUGUGUUCCAUUAACACGAAAAGAAUAUGGCACAACCAGACAUGUCAUUGGGUUACGAAUUUGAGGAGCUUGAUCAUCAAAGGAUGCGGCAAGUUGGAGCAUCUGUUAUCACCCUCUCUCGCUAGAAGUCUGGUGCAGCUCCAAUGCUUUGAGAUAGAGGAUUGCAAUUGCUUAAGGGACAUAAUACUUACAGAGGAAAUUGAAGAAGCAAGGAAAGAUGUGAUUUGUUUCCCUCGAUUAAACUCCCUGCAUAUAGAUCGUCUUCCAAACCUCAUCUUCUUCAACUCAGGAAACCACAAUAUUGAGUUCCCAUUGUUGAAAGUGCUAAAGAUUCAGCGUUGCCCCAAGUUAAUAGAAUUCAUUAGUCAGAAUAGUAAUCAGUCCGGCAUGCACGCUCUCUUCAGUGAGAAGGUGAUUUAUUUCAUUAGUCUUACAUUCUUGCAUAAAUCUGUUGAUUUGUCCUUGUUUUUUUUUCUGCCUUCAUUAUUUGAGCUAACCUUAUCAUGGGCAUGGAUUAUAUAUAUAUAUAUAUAUGAAUAUAUAUGAAUAGGUUGCAGUUCCUAGCUUGGAAGACAUCAAUAUCUGGGACUUGAGUAAUGUGAAGAUGAUAUUUUAUAAUGACCUAGCACCAGGUUCCUUUAAAAAUAUACGAAAAAUAAAUGUUUGGGGAUGUGGGAGUUUGAAAAAUCUAUUUCCAGUAUCAAUAGCCAAAGAUCUUCCACAACUUGAACAUUUAAGCAUCACUGAUUGUGGAGUUGAGGAGAUUGUAUCGAAAGGGGAUGGAGUGGAGGAGCAGCCUGUGAGGUUUGAGUUUCCGCAAGUAUCUUUCCUUGAGGUUACAUGGGUAGAAAAGCUCAAAUGUUUCUAUGAAGGGCAACAUACAAUAGUCUGGCCGAUGUUGAAAAAAUUGAGAACAGAUAGUUCUGCUUUGCUAAAGAUAGUGGCAUCGGAACAUCUUAGAUUAAUCCAAGGAAAUAAGCAGCCAGUUUUGUUGGGUGAAGAGGUAUGUAUAUCAUUACAACUAUAUUUCAUUUUAUGAUUUAAACCACUGCCACAAGCAUCUCAAGUUGAAAUAUGCCACGAUAAUGCAUUUCUAAUUUUUAUAUUUUGUUUUAUUUGGAUUUUUUUUUCGUAUUUUUGAAUUUUCAAUAUAUAUUUUAAAUUUUUUGUUACAUUUAUAAUUAUUUUUUCAUUUUUUUUAAAAACAAGACUGAAUAAACAUAAUAAGUAAAUAUUGAGUGAAUGCAAUUCAAUUUAAUAAAAUGUAUAAAUAUUGAGAGUUAAAUUUAUUAUUAUGUAAAAAAAAAGCUUAAAAAAAUGAAAAUAUUUUAUUUGUUUUUAAGUAUCCAAAAUGAAAAUAUUUUAACACUAAGUGACUGUAUAUGUAAUUUACCCUGCAUUUAAGUAGUGGGUCAAAACUAAAUAGAACGUUUAAUUUGCUAAAAACAAUUGCCACUCAAUAAAAAAUCAAAACUUUAAAAGUUAAUUACACUAGACAUCUCAAACUAUGACCUUCAUUUUAAAUUAGUCUUAAAAUUUAAAAUAUUCUAAUUACAUUCUUAAACUAUUGAGGUUAUAUCAAUUACGUCUUUCUCUUAUUAAAUUCGUUAAUUUAACCAUCAAAUUAAAUCAAUGUAAUAUUUUAAAACCUUGGUGUUUUAUCUCCACUAUUCUGCUUAUAUUUUUUGUCAUAGAAAAAUAUAUAUAUAUAACAAUGGUUGUUUAUCUAUUUUAAUCUAGAUUUGCUACUCUUCUUUCGGCUUUCAUGUUCUGUAAUUUUUAUCAGUUUUUAUUCUCAAGGUAUUGUGUUUUCUUAAAACAAAAAAUUCAUCUACUCUGGAUUCAUUUGAUUUAAUAUUGAUUUUGUUGGGAUUUAAUCAUCAAAAUCAAACACUAAAAUUGUAAAUCUCUUUUUUUUGUUUGUUUGUUUUUUUAAAGCAUAUACAUCAACAUUGAGCCUAACUUGUAUAUGUUUAAUUGGUUUCCAAGGUCAUUCCCAAAUUAGAGGAACUUGAGUUACGAAAUUUUGGUGAUAUGGACCAAUUUCCACCAGACUUGUUUCAACAUAUUAAAGUUUUUGCACUGAGUGGUGGCUCUCCAUUUUCUUUGUUUCCUUUCGUCCGAAGAUUCUACAAUCUGAAAAGACUUGAGGUUUCUAAUUUUGAUUUCAAACAUGUAGUCCCUUGUAAAGGAGACGUCGGGACUCUCCCAUCAAUUAGAAAUCUGAAAUUGGUUUCUGCCAGAAAUCUUAAGCGUAUUUGGAGGAAAGAUUCGGAGCUUGACCAUAUUCUUUCUGAUCUUCAAACACUCACAAUUCACAAUUGUGAUGAUUGGAUAAACAUUAGAGUCUUCUCAUCAUCUUUACAAAAUCUCACAAUUUUGAAUGUGUCACUUUGUAAAAUGAUGACAAACUUAGUUACACCCUCAGUACUUCAGAAUCUUGUGCAAUUAACGACAAUGAUCGUAAGAGGGUGCACUAAAAUGACAGAAAUAGUGGGAAACGAGGGAGACUGUCAUCAGACAAUAGUUGUUAGUAAAUUGAAAUGUUUACAACUAUGCAAUUUGAAGAGCCUCACAAGCUUUUGUCCAUGGUAUUACAACUUCGAGUUUCCUUGUUUGGAAGAAUUAGUUGUGGAACAUUGUCCUUGGUUAAAGAUCUUUUCUGAGGGAGUUUUAAGCACCCCACAAUUACAGAGAAUAAAACAGUCGCAUUACGGUGAGAAAUGGAGUUGCAAGUGAGAGUGGUGAUGCAAGUGAAAGCGUGGUUGGCGAAGGGGGCAUCUAUGAUAACACUGCAACUUUUUUCAGCAAUAAGGUAAGUUUGGUAUUCAAUAUUUAUCUGCACAACUUAUUUCACAUUUUCUUUUGAUUUGAUCAACAUGAGUGUGUCUGGUCUAUAUAUACAUACUAGUGCUACACCUUGUCAAAAUUGAAUAUAAUAAAAUCCAUAAAAAUAUUAAUAAAUAAGACAAUAUUUAAAAGAAAAACUGGAGUUUAAAAGUAUAAAUAAAUAUAUAAAAUAAGAAUUGAAGGAAAAACUUAAAGUGAAAUACUAAAAAACAAUAAGAAUUUAAGAGAAGUUUAAAAUUAAAUAGUAAUAGACAAUAAAUAAUAAAAUAACAAUAGAAAAAAGAAAACUAAUCUUCCUUUAUUUUAAUUUGUGGGUGUAUAAGAAGGAGAUAAUUGUGGAAGACCUUCACAAAGGUCAUUUGAGAUCAAAGGAGAAGAAGCAUGAAAACAAAAGGUGAGGAGUUUGAAGAAGAAAGAACCAAAUAUAUGGGUUUGAUUUAAAGAUUUAAUGUUUUUUUUUUAAUUUCAUAUAUAGAAAAAAUCAUUGAAAGAAAAAAAAAGUUCAAUAUAAUUACUUAAAUUUACCUGUCGGUUUUUAUAAAAGUAACUUAAAUUUUUGAUUAAUUAUGAAAAUGACUCAAUUUAAAAAUUAUGUACAUAAAUUAUUCGAUUUCUAUAGUGUUUGUCGGUGCCCCCAGACACAAUGGCGAUAUCAGACUGAAGUGUGAUUAUAUAAAAUGAUUGUAUUUAUGUACAUAAUUUUUAGUAGUGUUGUUGGAAAAAUUGGCGAUAUCAGACUGAAGUGUGAUUAUAUAAAAUGUUCAUGGACUUAACGAAGUAAUUACCCUUUUUUAAUUAGCGGAAAAAGGGGUCUUCCGGUGAAUAUGGGGCACCAAAUUAAAUGAUUUUCAUCUUUUGGUCUAUUUGCAUGUUUCCCUUUUUGAAAUUAAAUUUAGAUAACCCUUAAGAAAUAUAAGAAUAACAAAAAGAAAUCAUUCUCAUUUAUUUUAUUUUAUUUUUAAAAAAUAAACUUAAAAAAUUAUAUAAAAUGCUUAUUUAAAUUACCCAAAUAUAUCCCUCACACAACUUCCUCAAGUUUAUCUAAAUUCAAGCAUUUUCAAUUCAUUCCCUAGAAUAUUUAAAUUUAGAUAAACUUAAGGAAAUUUUUUGAGGAAUAUAUUUGGGUAAUUUGAAUAAGAAUUUUAUAUAAUUUUUUAAGUAUUUUUUUUCAAAAAAAAUGAAAAUGUUAUAGUUUUGUUAUUAUUAUAUUUUUAAGUGCUAUUUAAAUCUAACUUCAAAAGAGGACAAACGUAACAUGCAAAUAGGUCAAAUGUUGAAAAACAUUUAAUUUGGUUCAGAUACCAACGACACCCCUUUUUCAACCAAUCUAAAACCGUUAACCGCUUCAAAAGAUCCCUGCACGUUUUAUAUAAUCACAUUCAGUCUGGUGCCGUCAAUUUAUUAGGCAAAACCACUACAAUCUUUUUUAAAAAGCAAUCAUUGGCUGAUGAUGGAGGUCAAUGCAAUAAGCACGAUAGAUAUCAAGUCAUUUACGUAUAUGAUUUUUAAGUUGGAUCAUUUUCGUAAUUAACCAAAAAAUUUUGGUUACUUUUAACUGCCUAGUUGAUAUGUGAAUAUUAACCUUUAGAUCAGUUUAUAAAUCUUCAUACUCAUCUACUCAUUUUGAUUGUCUUUCAAAGUACAGAAGGAAGACUGAUACUAUCUUAUAAUAAUAUUUAUGUCAACAGGUUGUCGUUCCUCGUUUGGAGCGUCUGGAUUUGUCCUCGAUCAACAUUCAUAAGAUAUGGCACCACUCAUCCUCCCCAUCUAUCGGAUACCUAAAUUUCUUGCGGGUGAAGAGGUGUCACAAUUUGAAAUACCUGUUCCCGUUUUUCUUAGCAAAAGAUCUUGAGCAACUCCGAUUCCUUGGAAUUUUGGACUGUAAUAUGAUGGAACAAGUAAUAUUCACGGAUGGAUUGGUUGAGGAACAUCAAGGGAGGAAUCAGAUGUUUUUCUUUAAUCUACAUUCGCUGUGGCUAAACGACCUUCCCAAAACUCACAAGUUUGUGCUUUGAAAAUUACUUUGAAUUUCACUGUUUAGCAGAUUUAACACUAAGAAAUUGUCCAUUGCUAAAAACAUUCAUCUCUAAAUGUGUACCCGGAGAUGAACCUCAAAUUGGCCAACAUGUACAGGCAAGUAACUUGGAGGUUCAUAACUCAUCUCUCCUCAAUGAAAAGGUAAUUUCUUCAAGGAUCCUCCUUUUAAUUUAUGUUACUUCGAUUGAUUUUAUUCAUUUGAAGUUCUUUCUUUUUCAUACAUAUUUCAGUUAUUAGCCUAAUGAAAUGAUUUAUUAGAUUGUUUUCUCUAGUUUGAAGUACUUGUCGAUUCAGAAUUGUGAUUCGUUAGAAGAAAUUAUUGAGCUGGAAGGACUCAUUGCUGAUGAGUCACAGUCAACAUCAGCUGCUCAAUCUACUGUGGCUGAAACAGUGACGACCAAGUUUGUAUUUCCCAAACUAAUAAACCUUGGAUUGGAUAAGGUGCCAAGAUUGAAAAGUUUCUACUCUAGGAUGCAUACCACCCAGUGGCCUUCAUUGAAACGAAUGAGCAUUAUUGAAUGCCCCAAAGUACAGAUAUUUACUCGACAAUGUCCUGUGAGUCAGGUUGGAAUCUCAAACCAACAACCCUUGUUUUGCGUCAAUAAGGUAAGCUCACGAACAGUUUCAUAUUCCAUGAUCAUUACUUGAGAUUACCUAUAAAAUGCUUUUUGAAAAAACUAAUAUUCUCUCCUCUUUUAAUUUUAUGAGAGUCUAGUUCUUACUAAUUUAAAACUCUUUCAUCGAUGUCUAAUAUAUUCGUUGCCAUCCAGGACACUUUCCCUGUAUUAGAAGAACUAACACUGAAGACGAAUGAUAUGGGGAAGGGGAUAUGUGAUGGACAACUCUCAUUGCAGUGUUUCCAAAACCUUAAGCAUCUUAACCUCCAAUUCUUUCCUGAGACAUCCACUACUCUUCCGUAUUCCUUCAUUCGGUCACUACCAAUGCUUCAUAAGCUUGUUAUAGACAAUGCUUCCAUUUGUCAAAUAGUACAAUCUGAAGGACUCAGCGACCAGG
Molecule: long non-coding RNA, 105369 nt
Filed under: Gossypium barbadense (sea-island cotton)
Lineage: Eukaryota; Viridiplantae; Streptophyta; Magnoliopsida; Malvales; Malvaceae
Source: RNAcentral